This 97567-nucleotide long non-coding RNA is filed under the name Capsicum annuum. RNAcentral's name for it is "long non-coding RNA (CANN_LNC010598)". Lineage: Eukaryota; Viridiplantae; Streptophyta; Magnoliopsida; Solanales; Solanaceae. The record is from RNAcentral.
UCUCUCUCUCCCUCCAUGUUUUCUUACUCUUCUUUUGCAUUCUUUUAUUUUAUAAUGAUUUAUUGUUUAUUUUCCUUUUUUGUGCUUUUGACACAUUCUAAGUGAAGGUUCUUGAAAUUUUUGAUUAUAUAUAGUAUCUUAUGGGUGUUGAUGUUGUUGUCGUGAAAUUUUUUAUUUAUUCGUGAAUUUGAGGUUUUAAGUCAUUUCUAAUUCUAUCGAAUUCUUGAUAUUUUUUUAAUUAUUUAGUUUAUGGGUGUUUGUGUUUUUCUUGAGGAAUCGGUCAUCAAUGAUUUUGUUUCAAACUUAAUCCACAGUUUCUUUAGUUUUUGGUCAUUAAAGUAGAACCCUAAAAUGUUGUUUUAGGUUAUGAUUAAUGUUUCGCCGAAGCUCAAUAUUUUUGAAGUUUAGCUCGAGCUUGGUGUGUUUUAAACAUUUUUUGAAAAGAUUUAUGUUGUUGCUUUGUUGGUAUAACCAAGGUUUCCAUCUUGAGUUUUCAAUUAAGUUGAGGCAUUGUGGUUUUUUUUUUUUUGUGUGUGUAAGAUUGAUAUCAAACCAUUUUAAAGCUCGAUGUUGAGAUUUUGCUUUGUAAACUCUUAACUCAUUCUGGUGAUGUUGGUAAACUCAUGUUAACUGACUUAUGUUAAUUUUAGCAUGCGUUUACAGAGCAAAACUGCAAAAAUGGUUUGAUAUCAAAUCUAACACAAGAAAAACACAAUUCAACCUCAAAUUCAAAGCUUAAGACAGAAACCUCAGUUUUACCAAUAAAGCAACCUCACAAAUCUUAAAGAAAAUGCUAAAAAAACAGCAAGCUUAAGUUAAAAUUUAAAGAAACUAAGCUUCCACGAAAUAUUGAUUAUAACCACAAUUCAACAUUUUAGGUUUUUAGCUAAAUGACUGACAACUGAAGAAACUGUGAACCACAUCUUAAAGCAAAAUCAUCGAUAAUCAGUUCCUCAAAAAAACACGAACAUCUAUGAACUGAAUAUAGUGAAAAAAAAAUCAAGAAUUCUGUUGAAUUGAAUCAAAGAAAUUAAAUGACUUAAAAUCUCUCUGUCACAAAGAAAGAAAAAAACCAAUAAUAAUAAUAUCAACACUCACAAAAUAGAUACAUAUAAUAUGACCAAAAUUUUCUAGAACCUUCACUGAAAGGUGUCAAAAGCACAACAUAAGGAGAAGGAAUACAAAACUAUGAUGUGUAAUGAAGAAAAUUCUCAAAUAGAAAAACAAAUGGACAAAAGAGAAAAUAGAGAAAGUUAAGAAGAGUUCUUGAGACUAAUAUGUGUCAGGUGAGUUAAGGAACUUGUAUAAAACAAGAAAAGGAAAGAGGAGUAGAGAGAAAGGAAUGGUUACAACUAAAGAAAAAAACUUAUAAUUUUAUUUAUUCUUGGUUACUUAUUUGGUGUCAUUAAUUUGAAUGUUAAAAACUCUAAUUAAGGAAGAAUAGUUACAUUCGUUGUAUCACAUCUUUGAUUGUUAAGAUUAUAAUUUUGUGUAAUCAUUUGCUUGUUUAUUUGGGAUGGGAGAAUAAUAUGUUGGACAAUUUUAUUUUGACAAGAAUGACCAUGUUUGGAGAUGGUUUAAAGUACUUGAAUAUAUUUUUGUCUUAAUUGCCAGGUUUCGGCUAUUGUCAGAGUUUAGUUGGAUUUUGGAAUAACUUUUACUAUAUUUACAAGUGAUGUAUUUUGAAUUUUCAUAUGUUGUGUUUUGAUGAGGAUGAUAUAAAAUGAGUUUAAACAAAAAAAAAAAAAAACAUAAUACAUAACCAAACUUUUUAACUUGACCUCAAAUUAUAUUUAUGAUCUUCAACUUUGGAUGUGCACAAGUAGACCCUUAAACUAGUAUAAAAUUUAACAAAUAGACACAUAUAUCUUAUGUGACCAAUUCUUGUCCUACAUGGCAUUCUAGGUGUAUUAUGCCAAGUAGGACGUAUAUGUCUAUUUGUUCAACUUUAUACAAGUUUAAGCAUCUACUUGUGCACACCCAAAGUUGAGAUCAUAGAUAUAAUUUGAGGUUAAGUUAAAGGAUUGUUUAUGUAUUAUGCCUAAAAAUAAUAAUUGGAGAUUCAUGUAAUUUAUUCCAACUUGAAUGGGACUGAAAUAAAGUUGUUAUUAUUGUUGUUGCUCUAUAUUUUGUUGCACUACAUACUUCCAUUCGUCUGUUUCUUGUACUUUUGGCAACUGUCAUGCAAUCACAUGGCUUUGAAUAACUUAAAGUAUGGGUGUCAAACAGGUCGGACCGGGCCAAUUUGGAACCGGCCCUUUCAUUUUAAUCGGGUUGAGAGUUGAUUUUGAUGCUAGCUGGGUCGGGUUGGGUCGGGCCAAAUAAUAAAAAAAUUAAAACCCACCCUAACCCGACUCAUUUAAUCCAAUCCGGUCAAAUCCACCAAAAUCCGAUCAAAUCCAGUUAAAAACCGGUCAAACCCAUUUAAAAAAUAAAUAAAAAAUCCAAUAUACACUAUAUACACUCCAAUAUACAAUAUAUGUUUUUAAAAAAAUAUAUAAACAAUUACACAUAUAUACGUACCAUUCAAUAUAUAAUUAUAUAUGACUAUAUGUACUACUUUAAAUAAAACAUAUGCUAUAAUAGUAUAAUAUAUAUAUAUAUACACUACAAUAUAUAUAUAUAUAUACUAAUUUAUAAAACAUNNNNNNNNNNNNNNNNNNNNNNNNNNNNNNNNNNNNNNNNNNNNNNNNNNNNNNNNNNNNNNNNNNNNNNNNNNNNNNNNNNNNNNNNNNNNNNNNNNNNNNNNNNNNNNNNNNNNNNNNNNNNNNNNNNNNNNNNNNNNNNNNNNNNNNNNNNNNNNNNNNNNNNNNNNNNNNNNNNNNNNNNNNNNNNNNNNNNNNNNNNNNNNNNNNNNNNNNNNNNNNNNNNNNNNNNNNNNNNNNNNNNNNNNNNNNNNNNNNNNNNNNNNNNNNNNNNNNNNNNNNNNNNNNNNNNNNNNNNNNNNNNNNNNNNNNNNNNNNNNNNNNNNNNNNNNNNNNNNNNNNNNNNNNNNNNNNNNNNNNNNNNNNNNNNNNNNNNNNNNNNNNNNNNNNNNNNNNNNNNNNNNNNNNNNNNNNNNNNNNNNNNNNNNNNNNNNNNNNNNNNNNNNNNNNNNNNNNNNNNNNNNNNNNNNNNNNNNNNNNNNNNNNNNNNNNNNNNNNNNNNNNNNNNNNNNNNNNNNNNNNNNNNNNNNNNNNNNNNNNNNNNNNNNNNNNNNNNNNNNNNNNNNNNNNNNNNNNNNAAAGUGGUACAUAUAUAUAUAUAUAUAUAUAUAUGUAUGUAUGUAUGUAUGUAUGUAUGUAUGUAUGUGUGUAUGUAUAUAUACUACAAUAUAUAUACAAUUUAUAAAACAUAUACACAUGUAUACAUUAAAUAUACACAUCUAUAGAUGAUAUAUACACAAAUAUAAAAAACAUAUGCUACUUAAUAUAAUAACUUAAUAAUACUUGAUAGUAAAUUAAUAAUAUAUUAAAAGUAAGUUUUUAUAGUUAAUUAAUAAUAUAUUAAAAAUAAGUUUUUAAUUUAAACUAGAAAUUCAUUUUAAAUCAUUUUAAANNNNNNNNNNNNNNNNNNNNNNNNNNNNNNNNNNNNNNNNNNNNNNNNNNNNNNNNNNNNNNNNNNNNNNNNNNNNNNNNNNNNNNNNNNNNNNNNNNNNNNNNNNNNNNNNNNNNNNNNNNNNNNNNNNNNNNNNNNNNNNNNNNNNNNNNNNNNNNNNNNNNNNNNNNNNNNNNNNNNNNNNNNNNNNNNNNNNNNNNNNNNNNNNNNNNNNNNNNNNNNNNNNNNNNNNNNNNNNNNNNNNNNNNNNNNNNNNNNNNNNNNNNNNNNNNNNNNNNNNNNNNNNNNNNNNNNNNNNNNNNNNNNNNNNNNNNNNNNNNNNNNNNNNNNNNNNNNNNNNNNNNNNNNNNNNNNNNNNNNNNNNNNNNNNNNNNNNNNNNNNNNNNNNNNNNNNNNNNNNNNNNNNNNNNNNNNNNNNNNNNNNNNNNNNNNNNNNNNNNNNNNNNNNNNNNNNNNNNNNNNNNNNNNNNNNNNNNNNNNNNNNNNNNNNNNNNNNNNNNNNNNNNNNNNNNNNNNNNNNNNNNNNNNNNNNNNNNNNNNNNNNNNNNNNNNNNNNNNNNNNNNNNNNNNNNNNNNNNNNNNNNNNNNNNNNNNNNNNNNNNNNNNNNNNNNNNNNNNNNNNNNNNNNNNNNNNNNNNNNNNNNNNNNNNNNNNNNNNNNNNNNNNNNNNNNNNNNNNNNNNNNNNNNNNNNNNNNNNNNNNNNNNNNNNNNNNNNNNNNNNNNNNNNNNNNNNNNNNNNNNNNNNNNNNNNNNNNNNNNNNNNNNNNNNNNNNNNNNNNNNNNNNNNNNNNNNNNNNNNNNNNNNNNNNNNNNNNNNNNNNNNNNNNNNNNNNNNNNNNNNNNNNNNNNNNNNNNNNNNNNNNNNNNNNNNNNNNNNNNNNNNNNNNNNNNNNNNNNNNNNNNNNNNNNNNNNNNNNNNNNNNNNNNNNNNNNNNNNNNNNNNNNNNNNNNNNNNNNNNNNNNNNNNNNNNNNNNNNNNNNNNNNNNNNNNNNNNNNNNNNNNNNNNNNNNNNNNNNNNNNNNNNNNNNNNNNNNNNNNNNNNNNNNNNNNNNNNNNNNNNNNNNNNNNNNNNNNNNNNNNNNNNNNNNNNNNNNNNNNNNNNNNNNNNNNNNNNNNNNNNNNNNNNNNNNNNNNNNNNNNNNNNNNNNNNNNNNNNNNNNNNNNNNNNNNNNNNNNNNNNNNNNNNNNNNNNNNNNNNNNNNNNNNNNNNNNNNNNNNNNNNNNNNNNNNNNNNNNNNNNNNNNNNNNNNNNNNNNNNNNNNNNNNNNNNNNNNNNNNNNNNNNNNNNNNNNNNNNNNNNNNNNNNNNNNNNNNNNNNNNNNNNNNNNNNNNNNNNNNNNNNNNNNNNNNNNNNNNNNNNNNNNNNNNNNNNNNNNNNNNNNNNNNNNNNNNNNNNNNNNNNNNNNNNNNNNNNNNNNNNNNNNNNNNNNNNNNNNNNNNNNNNNNNNNNNNNNNNNNNNNNNNNNNNNNNNNNNNNNNNNNNNNNNNNNNNNNNNNNNNNNNNNNNNNNNNNNNNNNNNNNNNNNNNNNNNNNNNNNNNNNNNNNNNNNNNNNNNNNNNNNNNNNNNNNNNNNNNNNNNNNNNNNNNNNNNNNNNNNNNNNNNNNNNNNNNNNNNNNNNNNNNNNNNNNNNNNNNNNNNNNNNNNNNNNNNNNNNNNNNNNNNNNNNNNNNNNNNNNNNNNNNNNNNNNNNNNNNNNNNNNNNNNNNNNNNNNNNNNNNNNNNNNNNNNNNNNNNNNNNNNNNNNNNNNNNNNNNNNNNNNNNNNNNNNNNNNNNNNNNNNNNNNNNNNNNNNNNNNNNNNNNNNNNNNNNNNNNNNNNNNNNNNNNNNNNNNNNNNNNNNNNNNNNNNNNNNNNNNNNNNNNNNNNNNNNNNNNNNNNNNNNNNNNNNNNNNNNNNNNNNNNNNNNNNNNNNNNNNNNNNNNNNNNNNNNNNNNNNNNNNNNNNNNNNNNNNNNNNNNNNNNNNNNNNNNNNNNNNNNNNNNNNNNNNNNNNNNNNNNNNNNNNNNNNNNNNNNNNNNNNNNNNNNNNNNNNNNNNNNNNNNNNNNNNNNNNNNNNNNNNNNNNNNNNNNNNNNNNNNNNNNNNNNNNNNNNNNNNNNNNNNNNNNNNNNNNNNNNNNNNNNNNNNNNNNNNNNNNNNNNNNNNNNNNNNNNNNNNNNNNNNNNNNNNNNNNNNNNNNNNNNNNNNNNNNNNNNNNNNNNNNNNNNNNNNNNNNNNNNNNNNNNNNNNNNNNNNNNNNNNNNNNNNNNNNNNNNNNNNNNNNNNNNNNNNNNNNNNNNNNNNNNNNNNNNNNNNNNNNNNNNNNNNNNNNNNNNNNNNNNNNNNNNNNNNNNNNNNNNNNNNNNNNNNNNNNNNNNNNNNNNNNNNNNNNNNNNNNNNNNNNNNNNNNNNNNNNNNNNNNNNNNNNNNNNNNNNNNNNNNNNNNNNNNNNNNNNNNNNNNNNNNNNNNNNNNNNNNNNNNNNNNNNNNNNNNNNNNNNNNNNNNNNNNNNNNNNNNNNNNNNNNNNNNNNNNNNNNNNNNNNNNNNNNNNNNNNNNNNNNNNNNNNNNNNNNNNNNNNNNNNNNNNNNNNNNNNNNNNNNNNNNNNNNNNNNNNNNNNNNNNNNNNNNNNNNNNNNNNNNNNNNNNNNNNNNNNNNNNNNNNNNNNNNNNNNNNNNNNNNNNNNNNNNNNNNNNNNNNNNNNNNNNNNNNNNNNNNNNNNNNNNNNNNNNNNNNNNNNNNNNNNNNNNNNNNNNNNNNNNNNNNNNNNNNNNNNNNNNNNNNNNNNNNNNNNNNNNNNNNNNNNNNNNNNNNNNNNNNNNNNNNNNNNNNNNNNNNNNNNNNNNNNNNNNNNNNNNNNNNNNNNNNNNNNNNNNNNNNNNNNNNNNNNNNNNNNNNNNNNNNNNNNNNNNNNNNNNNNNNNNNNNNNNNNNNNNNNNNNNNNNNNNNNNNNNNNNNNNNNNNNNNNNNNNNNNNNNNNNNNNNNNNNNNNNNNNNNNNNNNNNNNNNNNNNNNNNNNNNNNNNNNNNNNNNNNNNNNNNNNNNNNNNNNNNNNNNNNNNNNNNNNNNNNNNNNNNNNNNNNNNNNNNNNNNNNNNNNNNNNNNNNNNNNNNNNNNNNNNNNNNNNNNNNNNNNNNNNNNNNNNNNNNNNNNNNNNNNNNNNNNNNNNNNNNNNNNNNNNNNNNNNNNNNNNNNNNNNNNNNNNNNNNNNNNNNNNNNNNNNNNNNNNNNNNNNNNNNNNNNNNNNNNNNNNNNNNNNNNNNNNNNNNNNNNNNNNNNNNNNNNNNNNNNNNNNNNNNNNNNNNNNNNNNNNNNNNNNNNNNNNNNNNNNNNNNNNNNNNNNNNNNNNNNNNNNNNNNNNNNNNNNNNNNNNNNNNNNNNNNNNNNNNNNNNNNNNNNNNNNNNNNNNNNNNNNNNNNNNNNNNNNNNNNNNNNNNNNNNNNNNNNNNNNNNNNNNNNNNNNNNNNNNNNNNNNNNNNNNNNNNNNNNNNNNNNNNNNNNNNNNNNNNNNNNNNNNNNNNNNNNNNNNNNNNNNNNNNNNNNNNNNNNNNNNNNNNNNNNNNNNNNNNNNNNNNNNNNNNNUGAGAAUUGAGAUUUGAGAGAGAAUGAGAUUUGAGAGAGUGAAAAUUUGUGUGAAAAAUGAAUUGAAGUUGUAGGGUAUUUACAGAAUUUUUUUGGGAUUAAAAAAUAUUUUUUAAAGUUAAUUUUUUUAUUUUUAAUAAAUGGGCCCAAACUAGCCGUUUGGACCCAAAAACGGCUAUAUAGCCGUUGGGCCAACGGCUAGUUUGGCCCAAAAUCUUUUUUUUUUUAAGAUAUCUGGGCCGGGCCGGGCCGGUUAAUCGGUGGGCCUGAACCGGGCUUGAUUCGGGCUGGGUUAGUCAGACCCAUUUUAAAAAAAUAACCGGCCCGGGACCCGAAACCCUAAAGCCCUAGGGCUUACCGGGCCGGGUCAAAUCGGGCCGGAUCGGCCCGGACCACUUGACACGUCUACCUUAAAGAGAAUUGUCCCUCUCUUCAAUCAGAGCUUCUUAAAAUUGUGGCAGGUUGUGAGGAUGAUUGUGUAAUACCUCACAUCUUGAUGAAUGUGCAAGUUGUCCUCUGCAUAUUUUAAAGACAUAAUACACCUUUUAACUAGACCUAAAAUAACAUCUAUGACAUUCAAUUUUGAGUAUGCACAAGUAGACACUUAAACUUGUAUAAAGUUAAUAAAUAAACGCAUAGUUCUAUGUGGCAUAAUAUACGUAGGAUGCCGUGUAGGAUAAUACAUUGGAAAAAAGGUGAAAUUUUCUCCUCUAUUAUCCAAAAAACUCUUGUCAAUUUUCAUUAUACUAUUGAGAUUCAAAAAAAACUCCCUAUGUUAUUUAACUGUCCAAAUAUGAAAGAGCUCAACGCAAAAAAAAAAAUACAUGUUGGAUCUUUGAAACUGUUAUAAAUAAUUUAUAUUAUAGUGAAUGUCUAUCAAGAUAUAUCGAGAUCUACUUUGAUAUCUAUUAGGAUUUGAAGCAUCUGUCUUUUACUUAGAUUAAGAGUAAAUUUCCCCUUUAAAUAGAGGGAUCUUGUUCAUUGUAUUCUCAAUUUUAUGAUCUCUCAUCCAUGAAGAGAAAUAAAAAGUCUCCCUCUUCUCUCUCUAUUUAUUCUUCUUGUUCUUUCUUUAUAUUUCAUAAUACGGCACGAGACACUACCAAACAAGAUGAGAUUAUAAAUCUAAAGGUAAUUUCAAGGUUAGUAAUUUCUUAUGUUAUCUGUCUUUUGCUACUAAUGAUGUAAUUAUUGUUGGAUUUGAGGAAAAAUAAUUGGUUUGAAACCAUUUAUGUUUUAAAUUUAUUCCUCAAGAAUAAUAUUAUUAAAAGGGAUGAUAAUAUGUUGGAUUCAAAUCCCAUUGAUUUAUGCCUAAGACGUCUUUAUAUGGGUAAGACAUAGAGUUUGAAUCUCAAUACACCAUAUUGAUGAUAUUAUGAUGGCUACGGCAAAAUAAUGUGUUUUUGAUUAAAAGUCAUGAAACUUGUCCAUUGAAUAUGCUCUGUUCCAAGAAAUGAAUGUGGUAGUAAUAUAUGAUAAGUCUGAAAGAUGCAAUUUGCUCUAUUCUUGAAGUGAAUGUGGUAGCAAUAUAGAGAAAUUCUCUCUAUCAUAUUUAUGCCUCGAUUUGCUCUUGAAGUAGCAAUAUCAUGAAAGGGGUUAUAAGCUAUCAUAAUUUGAUAGGCUUAAGGCACAAUUAUAUUCCAUUUCUGGGGAAUGAGAAUCUUAUUAAUGCAAACGUGCACUUGAUUGUGAUGGUAUCACAACUCACCUCCGAAUGAGGCAGAAUAACUGAGAAAAGUUAUUUUGAAAUCUACUUCUAAAGUAGUAAAUCUGAAAUUUAUUCAUGUAAUAGUAAAUCUAAAAUUUACUAAAGAAAAAAGCACAUGUCAUGAUAAACUUAGAGUUUACUUGAAUAAAAGUACAUAAAUUGAUGUGAACGAUUGUGACAUCUCGAAGAUGUGCAUAUUGAGUAUUAGACAUGUAUUAAAGAACUAGAAGAUUUUUUGAGAAUUUUUUAUGUCGCUUGUUCUCAUGAUAAGUUGGUUGGAUCAACUAAUGUUGGGAUUGAAUUCCUUAAAUCUGAAAAGUAUAAAAGGUGAAUAUGGGCCCGUUCACCUGUCAUGUGAUCUAUUAAGAUGCAUCGAUAUAAGAUGAUCACAUGUACAUUUAUUGUCAACCUGCCGUUUAACAUUCAUAAAUGUUGCUUGCUCAAUAAAAUUGAGUUAAGAGCAUGACUUUCAGAUUAUGUAAUCAAGACAAUUCAUCUUGAUAAUGAUGGUUUAACAUUGAAUGUCUUCGAUAAAUAGCUAAACCAUUACUAAUGAGAACAAAGUUUCAUGUGUUGAUCUGAAAUAUGAUAUGUUGCAUACAAUAGCACUUGCAUGCAUUAGAUCAAUAAAUUAUGAUUAUUUUUUCCCUCUUAAUUGGUUCAAGGUCAGGAACCAACUAUUUCAUCUAAUAGUUAAUGUGCGGUAUACAAUUAAUGAAUAUACCAUGAUGCACAAAAGAUGAAUUCCUCAAAGAAGAUGAGGGUGAAUGUUAGUUUUCCUAACAUAAGAGGGGAGAUUAUAAGCAAUUAUGGAAUAUGUUAGGAUUAUCAUAAGAUCCUCAUUCAUAAGACAAUUCAAGUCAAAUACCGAAAGCAUCUCAUAUUUAAGCUGCAAGUGCUCCUAUUUUGUGUCCUUGAAGGACAAUAUCUAUGCAAAGAAUGGUAGACUAAUCGAUUCCAAAUGAAAUAAGGAGCAAAUAAUCAUAAUAAGAAGGCAAUGUGCUCUUGAAUAUUCUACAACAUAACAUUUCAUGAAACCUUAUGAGAGGUUCAGGAACCUGAAAAUAAUGAAGUGAUGAGAUCUCAAAAUGUUAUGUCACAUUGUGAACCUAUACGAAAUGAUAUAUCAUUAAUAUCUUUGAUACAAUAUUAGAGCAAUAUUUCGAAAGAUUAUGAGGAUCUAAAUUCUACAUUUAUUUAAGCAUGCUCACGUAGAAAUAUUUAUCAAGUGACAUGAAAUGAUGCAUCUUGGUAAGUGUAAAAUUUAUUUGAUUUGCAGUCCAGACACUUGAAGAUAUCACAUAUGACAUGUUGAAUAUUGUCACUUGACAAAAUUCAUAUAAAACUUUCUAAGGAUUCAAAAUGUUUGAAGCAUAUAAAAGUUUCUGGGAAACUUAUUUAGAAUUAAUCCUUAUAUUGUAUAAGCUUAUAGCAUGAAAAUCAUUAAAACUCUUGGAGAGUUUUCAAAAGCAAUAGGAUUAUUUGCUGAAAUGAGAAAAAUACCGAAUUGAAUUGUUCCUGAAGUACCAUAUUUUAGUCCAAUUGGUGUACUAAUGUAUCUUGUAAAUACUACAAGGCCUGAUAUAACCUUUUCAGUUAAUUUGUUAGCAAGAUAUAGUUCUGAUCCUAUUAGGACACAUCGAAAUGAGAUCAAACACAUGAUUUUAUUCUAAAGCCUGCAAUCUUAAUCUUGUUGGUUAUGCUGAUACUGGGUACUUAUCUGACCCGUAUAAAGCUCGAUCUCAAAUAAGUUAUGUGUUUACAUGUGAGAAUACUAUCAUAUCUUGGAGAUAUACAAAGCAGUCUAUCGUAGCCACUUCAUCGAACCAUGCUGAGAUAAUAGCUACUCAUAAAGCAAGCCGAGAAUGUGUAUGGUUGAGGUCCAUGAUACAUCUCAUUCGAGAAAAAUAUGGUUUAAAAUAUGACAAUGUACCCACAAUUUUAUAUAGAGAUAAUGCAACAUGCAUAACACAUCUUAAUGGAGGAUUCAUAAAAGGAGAUAGAACAAAGCACACUUCAUCAAAGUUUUUCUACAUACAUGAGCUACCAAAGAAUGGUGAUAUUAAUGUGCAACACAUUCGUUCAAGUGACAAUGUGGCUGAUUUAUUCACCAAGUUUCCUCCAAUUGCAACUUUCAAGAAGAUGGUAUACAAGAUCAGGAUACAAAGGUUUAGGGAUGAUUUCACUAGGGGAAGUUAAUACAUGUUGUACUCUUUUUCCCUUAAGAGGUUUGUCCCAUUAGGUUUUCCUUAUAAAGUUUUUAAUGAGGCAGCCUAUAUGCGUAUUGUUAACGAUGUAUACUCUUUUUCCUUCAGUAGAUUUUUUUUUCACUGGGUUUUUUCUAGUAAGGUUUUAACGAGGCACAUUAUCUACUAAUUAGACAUUCAAGUGGCAGUGUUAUAAAUGUAUUUACAUUAUAGUGAAUGUCUAUCAAGAUCUAUCGAAAUCUACUUUGAUAUCUAUUAGGAUUUGAAGCAUCUGUCUUUUACUCAGACUAGGAGUAAAUUUUCCCUUUAAAUAGAGGGGUUUUGUUCAUUGUAAUCUCAAUUUUAUGAUCUCUCAUCCAUGAAUAGAAAUAAAAAGUCUCUCUCUUCUCUCUCUAUUUAUUCUUCUUGUUUUUUCUUUAUAUUUCAUAACAGAAACAAUUUUGAGUCAAAUUUACCUCUAUAUUAUUCGAUUAGGAUCCAUUUUAUCACUUUUUUAUUCAACACUUUAAUUUUUUUUAGAAAAAAUUACGUAGCCUAGAUAAAAAGAUUUUAUAAUUAUCUGUCAUGAUCAAUGUUUUAAAUAAUUAUUGUAUAUGGCUAUAUUUUUUUGUACUGUUUUAUCUUUAAUGUGGUCACUCAUAUACACAUAAAAACAGUGUUUAUACCAUUUCUAAUUAAAAGCAAGAAUUUUUCUCACCUUUCUAGCCUAAUUUAAGCAAAUAUUUUUCUCACUUUUUUCACUUAAAAGUAUCGUAAUGAUUACUAUUUUUAUUGCGUAUUGUUGUAUUUUCUAACUUCUUUUUCAUCGAUUUGUCUUUAAUUUUUGUGAAAACCCUAUUUAACACAAACACUUGUGCGCUCAUAUAUUGAACAUAUAAAUAUAUUUAUUUUUGUAUCUACAUACCGUAUUAUUAGCAAUACUUGUGCAAGUAUUGGUCCCAUGAUCAUGGUAGAGGAUUUUCAUGAUUUCUAAUUAUGUUGGCUUCUUGAAUGUAUGAUCGUUUAUGUUUUUUUUUUUUCACUUAGAAGUACUUUUGUUUAUUGUUUACUUGUCAACUGAUAUUUUUCACUUAUAUUCUGGAUGCAUAACUUAUAUAUCAAGUUAACUAAUAUUCAAACAAAUCUUAGGCCCUAUUUGUUUGCACUUAAUGAAGGUCUAAAUCUGAAUGGUUCAGACUUCAAUCCAUUAAGUGUAUUUAUUUAUUUAUUUUUAAAGAGCCUCUUAAUGUAUCUGAAAAAUCUGAAUGGAUCAGAUAUGUCCAUUAAGUGCAUUUGUUUUUUUUUUUAAAGAGCCUCUUAAUGUAUCUGAAAAAUCUGAAUGGAUCAGAUAUGAAAAGAAGUCUGAAUAGCAUUCAGACUCUUUUUAAAACAUAAUACCUAACUCUCUCACUUCAUUAUUUCCUCUAUCUUUUCAUGUUAUCUCUCUCCCUCUCUGUUCACGUUAUCUCUCCCUCUCUUCACGUUUCUCUUUCUCUCUCUUCACUUGCUUUCCUUCUCUUUUAGGUAUGAUUCACCAAAAUUUUUUAUAAAUAUUUUAGUUAUCAAUUUGUGUAUUCAUUAUUUACUAAACUCUAAAUUUCUGCUUGCAAUUUUUUGUUUUGAUUAUAAAAUUUGUAGUUCUUUGGAUAAUAGAAUCUUAUGUGUGUCUGUUCAUAACGUAACAUUGAACUUACUAAUGAUAUUUUCACUUAGAUUUCAUGGUUAACAAAUAAACAUGUGUCCGUUCUUGUAUUAAUUAGUUAUUCAAAUACUUAAUAUUUAUGCAUCUAAGUCAAAAUUAUAUCUGAUCAAUCAAUUUAGUUUGUUGGAUUAGUUUAAUUGACAGAUUACUUUAUGUUGAAUUUAAUUUUUUAUAAUUACAUCAUAUAACAAUAAUUUUUAAUCGAUAUAUCUUUUUUAAAUAAUUCAAUAAUUAUAUUUAACAUAAUAUAUUUAUCUGUAAAUAUUUUAAUUAUCACUCAAAUAAUAAUUUUGGUGUUUAAGUUAAUACUUUAUGUAAUAUUUUUUCAUAUAAUAUAAUAUCUUAUUACUUUUUAAAUUUGAAUUGCAUAUUUAUUACAAAUAAAUAAAUUACGUACAUUCAAAUGUUAAAAAAUAAACAGUCUUAAUCAUCCAGAUAUCCAUUCAGAUUCAGACGUCUUAAUCUUAAAAAAAACAAAUGCACCCUUAAUUUAAGAGUUUUUUUUUUCAAUUAUAUAUUUAUACAUACAUGGUAUAAUACAUAAACAGGACCUUUAAUUUUACAUCAAAUUAUAACUAUGACCUUUAACUUUACCAGUACACAAGUAGGCCCUUUUACUAUACAAAAGCUAAACAAAAAAACAUUCUAAGCCUACCUGACAAAAUGCGUGUAUACACUCAAAACCACGUGCGUUAGAGUUAGAACUUAAGUGUUGUUUUGUUGAGCUUUUGUAUAGCUAAAGGGCCUAUUUGUGCACUGACAAAGUUAAAGGUCAUACUUAUAAGGCAAAAUGAUCUUCUGGACCCCUGUACUAUGUCGGUUUUGUAAGUUGGACACUUCUACUUACGUGUUUGUCAUCUGGACCCUUGAACCCAUUAAAAAAUAAUAUUUGUGCACCCUUUGACCGUUGACCUUGCCUAUGUGGCAUUGAAAUGAUGACUAGGACAAAGAGAGUGUAGUCACUCGCCUGGGGUGCGAGUGGCGGUCAAUUUUUGGCAAAUUUUAUAUUAAAAUAAUUAAAAAUAAUAAAAAUAAUAUUAAAAUUUAAAAAAAUAAUUAAAAAAGGAUCAUUUUUUUCCUCCAUCUUUUUUAAUUUAAAAAUAAUUUUAAAAUAUUUUAAAAUUUAAAAAAAAAAAAUUAUGUUGCUAUGUAAUACAUUUUAGAAUAAUUUUUUGGACCCACACGACAUGUGUCACUACUUAAUUCGUCAAAUUGUCAUGUCACCGCGAGUGUAUCGCACCCGUUUUAUAUUUUUAGCUGAUUGUCAAAAAAAAUGUUUAAGUGGUUCAAAUUCAGAGGGGGUAGAGGUGUUUAACAGGUACAAGGGCGAGUUGAGGUGUUAAAAGUGAAAUCUCUGAGUAAAUUUAGGGUGUCUGUCGAUGACUUACACCAAUUGAGAAUCUUAUCUCAAUUCUUCAACUUCGACAUACUUCUAGUGGUACUACUGAGAACUUAGAUCAACUUUAAUGGAGGUUGGAUAGCAAAGAAAAAUAUCCGAUCAAGUCUACAGCAAUUUGAAUCGCAGAAGACGCCAGAACACAUUCUGGCCUUUGAAGCUCAUUUGGAAAGCUAAAGAUCCAGUAAAGGUAUCAUGUUUUGUUUGGUUGGUGGUAAGGAAAGCAUGUCUAACUCAAGAUACAUUACAUGAAGAGGUCUUCAUAUUUGUUCAAGAUGUCUAUUAUGUAGUUAAGAUGGUGAAAAUAAUGAGCAUCUUUUCCACACUACAACAGUGCAACACAACUACAGAUUUGUAGCACAUGUUCUUUGUAUUUCAGGACGUCAAAGAGGCCGAAGCUUGGAGAUGGAGUACGAACAAGGGUAACAUUAAAAAUUGCAACUAUAGGGGUAUCAAGUUGUUGAGUCACACUAAAAAGGUUUGGGAAAAGGUGGUGGAGUUGGAGUUGAGGAAGAUCGUGACUAUUUCUAAGAAUCAGUUCGAGUUCAUGCUAAGAUGCUUGACUACGAAGGUCAUUCAGCUCGUUAGGGGACUUGUGGAGCAGUAGAGAGAGAGAGAAAGGACUUACACAUUGUCUUCAUCGAUCUAGAGAAGACAUAUGACAGUCUCAGGGGAGGUUUACAAUUAUAAUUUUUUUUAUUUAAUUAAAUUAAUUUUAAUAUUUAAUUUUUUAUUUAGCAUUUUUAAAAUGACUUGAAAUUUAAUGUAGUACUUUUUUUUUAUUUUUUUAAAUGACGUGGCAGAUGAUGUGGCAGAUGUGACUGAUAUGGCAGCUGACAUGGGGAGAGUGUGUUACACUCACCAAAAAAGGAUUUAAAAUAUUGCUUUUUAGUGGAUUCAGGGGUCCAAAUGACAAACAUGUAAGUAGAAGUGUCCAACUUACAAAACCGACAUAGUACAAGGGUCCAAAAGAGCAUUUGGCCUACUUAUAAUAUGUAUUUUUUAUUAGGUGGCAGCAUCUGAGUGGAUUACUAAUCCACGUAGGAGCGAUUGAGUUUCAUACAUGUAAGUUGCAGAACUGGAGUGUUUUUUUGUUCAGCUUUUAUAUAAUUAAAAAGCUACUUGUGCACUGACAAAGUUAAAGGUCAUAAUUAUAAUUUAAUGUCAAGUUAAAAGUCCUGUUUAUGUAUUAUGUCAUUAAUAUUCAAAUGACUGACAAAUCUUAAUUUAAGAGUACUUUUUCCAAUUAUAUAUUUAUAUAUACAUAUGAAUGCAUUGAAUGUAUAUUUUUUGAUGUAUAUAUGUAUACUUUUGUAUAACUAUAUAUAUAUAUAUAUAUAUAUAUAUAUAUAUAUAUUAUCUUGUGCUUGGUUUCAAUAUAUUUUUGUAUAUAUAUAUAUAUAUAUAUAUAUAUAUAUAUAUAUAUAUAUAUAUAUAUGCGAGUUUAUUUUGUGUUGGUACGCACACGCAUAUAAUAUACAUAUGUAUAUGUGUAUGUUAUGUAUUGGUUCAUAUAUACAUCAUGCAUGUACAUAUGUGUAUAAAUUUAUUCUAUAUUUGUGUAUAUAUACAUAUAUACAUGCGCCGAUUUUUAUACAUUACAUAUUAAAAAUUAAAAUGGGUAAACGCAUUCAUAAUACUUAGAUUUGCUCACACACAUAAUCUUCAAGAUUUGAGUUUAAUACUCAACAAUUAAUUGAGAAAUGUUAAGAGAAUAAUAAAAGAUGUUGGAGAGGAUAAAGGAAGUAAAUCACUCUCUUACUUUUUUAUCUGUUAAGGUAACUGAAAAGUAACAAAAUCUGUUGAUUAAUAUCUGUAUAUUAGGGUCUUAAAUAUAUUUAAUUAAUAAUUAUUAAAACUUAAAUUAAAAAAUUAAUUAAGGAGGAUCUAAGUUAGCUAUAUGUAAGUUCUGCCUUUCCUUUAUUCUCCUCUAAGGGUAUUUUUGACCCUUAGCUAUUGUUCAUGACUUUUGUCUAAUUCUAAUAAUAUAACAAAAGGUUACUUGAUAUGGUAAAGCUCCUGUUAUGUGCCAUGACUAGGGAAGAACUAGAUCACAAGAAUCCAUAGUACAUAGUCCCAUCUUACAUUUUCACAACUUGAACCGAUAAUAUUCUGAUCACAUGCCAGAGCUAUUGUUCACAACUUUUUUUUAUUUCUAAUAAUAUAACAAAAGACAGUCCGAUGUGCUAAAGUGCCCGUCAUAUGCCAAGACUAGAGAAGAACCAGACCACAAGGCUCUAUUGUACGUUACCUUAUCUUAUAUUUCCGCAAGGAACUAUUUUCACAGCUUGAAUCCAUAGUCUCCUAAUCACAUGCCAAGAUUAUCAAUUACUCCAAAAGCUCCCCUUCGUUCAGGUAAUAUAACAGAUUAUAAAAUUAAACCUUUUUGAAUGGUAUGGGUGCAAAUUUUGAUCUUUUUCCCCACACAAAUUAUUAUUUAGAGACUAUUUUAAGUUGCCUUUAAAUACUUCUAUCCCAUUUUAUCACAUGUAUCUGUGAUUAAAAGAGGUCACAAUUUAUACCACUUAACAGUAAAACACAGCACAGAAAGAAAGGUUAAAAGAGGGAAAAAAUAAUGAAGGCAUAAUGCUUCAUGUCCUAUUAAGUGCGUGAAAGGCAACCCUAAACAACGCCAUAAAUCCAUAAACCAGUAGAUUAAGAGUCGUUUGGUAUGAGAUAUAAGGUAUAAUAAUACCGAGAUAAAAUAUAGAAUUAUUUUAUCCCGAAUUUGGUUCGAGGUAUAACUAAGUUCCGGAACUAUUUAUCGCACCAUUUAUAGCAUAGUGAUGGGAUAAGUUAUACCAUAUACAUGGUGGGAUAACUAAUCCCGGAGAUGGCUAAUCCCGGAAUUAAUUAUCUCAGAAUAACUCUUUCNNNNNNNNNNNNNNNNNNNNNNNNNNNNNNNNNNNNNNNNNNNNNNNNNNNNNNNNNNNNNNNNNNNNNNNNNNNNNNNNNNNNNNNNNNNNNNNNNNNNNNNNNNNNNNNNNNNNNNNNNNNNNNNNNNNNNNNNNNNNNNNNNNNNNNNNNNNNNNNNNNNNNNNNNNNNNNNNNNNNNNNNNNNNNNNNNNNNNNNNNNNNNNNNNNNNNNNNNNNNNNNNNNNNNNNNNNNNNNNNNNNNNNNNNNNNNNNNNNNNNNNNNNNNNNNNNNNNNNNNNCUUUCCCAACCAAACGACCCCUGCAAUAUUUCAGAAGCAAGAGAAAAUGCCCCAAGGGAAAAUAACUUGGCCUUUCAUCUGUGAAGAAAGCAAAGUCAAGUCAAUAAAGUUAAACAAGAUAAAUAGAGAACUUGGCAUUUGAUGAAUUUACACAAAUGAUGUAAGAAUGAAACAUCUAUCACCAAUCAAUAGAAAUCAUACCACAUCACUUCUACAAUGAUAUUGUUGGUCUCCAAACCUGAGUGCACAUUGAUCGAUAACAACCUACUAUACCACACAAUUUGGUUGGGGUGGGGUGGUAGAAGGGUGGGGGAGUAAAGAGAUUAUUAUUCAUUUAAAUGCAGCAGGCCGAUCUAGCACGGUUGGUAGAUUGGCUCUAUAUACGAGUAUUACUAGCAUAGCUCUUAUCUAUACUGUAAGCUUUUACAGACUGCAAAACCUGUUGUCAUUGGCUUUGACGGUAGGUGAUAUUUGGAAGACACUACUCCAAAUCACUGUGCAUUAUCCCCCCACACAUCGUUCCAUGCAGCAGCUGGAGCAGCCUUAGGCCCCUCAAUAACAUUCUGAUUCCCGUGAGGUUGGGAUGGACCGGGAAGUGCAUUAGGGCCAGGAUGUGCAUUAGGGCCCGGGGGGUGAACUUUGUUGGGCUUUGUUUUGACCCCCAGCAAUCUCAGCACAAAUCUUGCUAGCUCUCCAUAUAAUAACCCCGAGCGAUCAAACAACUGAAAAAGAUGUGUUAAUGAAUUGUCACGUCGGCUAUCCUUAAUACUUCUCCACGAAGUAUCUAAAAGGUAAAUGAAGAAGUAUUGGUUGAUCCAGACCUAUUUGGGUGCAAGGGCAGUUGUAAGCGAACAUAUACCUGGAGUAGUGCCGACAUGAACAUGUGAAAUGCCUGGGUAUUCUGGUCUAUCAACAUUGCGACGCGGCCAAAGAAAGUUACAACACCUUGCAUCUGCCAUCAUUACCGCAACAUAAUGUCAACACAACGAUGUCUCUAGAGUUGGACUAAAACACUAUACGUGAACUAGCAGCUUCAAUAGCAACAAUGGUACCAAAGGACAACUCUCUCUCUCGCACCAGAACACAAAAUACAAUACAUAAAUAAUUCUUAAUUUGCAUCACCUUUUACUUUUUGUUAGUUCAAAGAGGCCCUCAAGCUCUUAGUCAUAGGAUUCAACAAACCUACUAAUUGCAGGGAAGAAAACCACUAUCGCCAAACAAGAGAGAUUUUACAAUUUCUAAAAGCUUUGGAGAAUCCCUUUUUUUAAGUAGGUGUUUGAUCAUGAAAACUAAAUUUUUCUGGAGUUCGAGUUGGAGUUAAGAGUUGUGUUUGGCCAUGAAAAUAAAUUAGAGUUCUUUUCGACUUUUUGUGAGAGAAGUUGAAGUGAAAAAAGUGAAAAAAGUGAAAAAAAUUUCCAGAAAAAAGUGAACACUUCUCAUGGCCAAACGGGCUCUUAAUCAAGUAAAGCUUAGGGAGAGUUAUUAUCAAAAAUAUAAAUGGUAAUUCCUCACUGCUUUAUUUUGGAGCCCUUGCACCAUCACCAAUUCGCAUGGAGCUAAUUUCAUGCAGUUAUCCAAUACAAAACAAAAAUCCAAAAAGAAAGCCAACAUAGCUUUUACUUGAAGCGCAGGGCAUAUGAAAUACACAUCAAAAUUUACCAUAGUGACCUUGAAUAAAAAGCAUGAAAGGAGAAACAAACUUAGUUGGUACCAUUAGAGCUUACCACGUGCAUGAAGGAGACCCAGAAGCCUGGUGGAGAAGAUGGAGCACCAUAGGGAUUAUUUGGAUCUUGGUCUCCAUAGGGUCCCAUCCCCAUGCCACCCAUACCGCCCAUGCCCAUGCCAUAACCGCCCAUUGGUCCACCAUAUCCACUAUUGUACAUUCCUCCACCAUACAUGCCACCUGCAAGUCCACCAUAACCUCCUCUGUACAUACUAUUUCCAUACAAACCACUUCCGUAUGUGCUUCCAUAGCCACCACCAUAAGAGGAACCAUACAUUCCAGUUCCAUAUCCAGAAUUAUAAUUCAUACCUGUAUUAAUUCCUGCAUUAUGACAUAAUCAAGAUAAUAAUCAGACUGUGUACUCUAUAGAAGGCCUCAAUGCCUCCUACUUCAAUUGCAAUAGCUAACGCCAAUGACUGGAUCAAAACCUUCGAUGAUUGAGAAAGUUUUUUGCACCGUAAGGGGAAACGAAAAGAGUGUAUCCAUAAAAACAUUUUUGAUUUGGCUAAGUACACUCACAGUUGGCGUUCAUAUUUCCAGAGGACAAAGUACAAAGAAGAGCAGGAAUUGGUUGCACAUUCAUAGACAUGUCAUUGCAAAUGAACUAAAAUCAAGUAGGCAAUUGAUUUUCCUAAGAAUAGAUACAUAAGAAGAGAAAGUAACACUGACUAGCAGAACGGUGGCAGCUCAAUAGAACAUUUAAUCAGAGGUUGAGGCAAUUUAAUAGGAGCAUUAACUAAGAUGAGUACCAAAAGUGGAAUAAGUGGGGCAGCUCGAGUACAAACUUAGACAACCUUCUAAUUCUUUUUAAAAAAAAAUUAAAAAGGGCACGGUGCAUGCUUAUAAUGUAUGAUGAAAUAGAAACAACAGUACGAUAAAAUCAGAACAUAUUUAGGACAAACUUGCCUAAUUACUGAUGGUGCGUGUGAUAAUAUAUUGUGUAUUGCAUUAGGAUCUUGAAAAAUCACAUGCAUGCACUCCAAAAGCAGAGAUCAUAAUACACAUUACUCACAAUCAACGCUUUAAUGCUAGGGGGCAAGCAUUUGUAAUAUCAAAAGUGGAUCUUAUGGACGCAAAGGGUAAAAUUAGUUGUUGUACUAACCAAAAGCAGCCUUUGAUGUAAGUUUGCUGGUAUUAGUAAUAUCGAAAAAGGACCUUAAGGAUGUAAAAGAUUCAAUUAGUUAUAAUACAAACCACAAAACAGAUCUGUUAGUGAAAAAGGCAUCAACAGUGCCUUUGGUGAUUAUAGUUGGCAUGUUAGAAAUAAUGAAUUUCAGAUAGUCAACCCACUUGCUGGAAACGCAGAACACGCACACAAUAAAGAGCAAGACAGGAAAUUAAAUAAACAUCUCAUACCUCCGUACGAGCUACCGUAAGUUUGCUGCUGCUCCCAAGGUCGAGUAGGCACAGGCCUUGCAAGUGUGUUAUUAUUAACAGUUGUAUUCCGAUUAGCAGUUGUAACAAUCUCACCAGGCCUGGCUGUUCCGGAUGCCUCUACUACGUCACUUGUGCUACCAGCAGAGGGAGGCUUAAACGGUGCAGGGCCUGAAGAAGACCCAGCUCUUUCCCAGGGUUUUGGUGGUGGGCUACUUCCUGCCGUGGAAAAUAAGUGUCAAGUCAAUAAUAUUCGAAAGAAAACAAAAAAUGGAAAAACGAGUUAGUCGAGUAAAUUAUCACUGUGAAUACAACAAAAGUACAGUUAAUAGCAAUGUAUACAAUUGUUUACAUCUUUCGCUAAUGAUUCAAAGACAUCUACCCUGAGAAACAAUAAAUAACAUGUUAGGUAGACUUUAAAUGUAUAUGUUUAAACAAACCAAGUAAAUACAUAGCACCUGCUAUUGAAAACCAUAACUUUAGAAAAAAAAUAUAAAAUUCUAUGUUUUCUUCCUGAUUAUUAAUUUUAUAAAGAAGUUUGUUUAACAAAUGCAAAGUAUCAACUACAAGAAAUAGAAGCUAGAGUAUGUUGCUUUAAUUUAGUUUUACUACUACAGUAGUACUUGUAAUUAUCAAAUUGUAUGGUAACCAAUCAUCUUAUCAAAUAUGACCCCGCAGACAUUUUAAAUGACCAGUGAAUGGCUUUAGUGGUAUUGCAUACCACUGUUACCUCUUUGGAGCACAACUCUAAAUUUUUCACAAGCUCCCAAGAUCAGCUCUAUCGGAAAUUGUUCUAUCAAUUAAUCAUCAACUAUGACUUAAGUCUAGACUAGUGCAGCCAGCUAUAUAAAUCCUCUAUAACAGUUCUUCUCUAUUCUGCCCAUUUCAUUCCAACACUCAGGAAUUUGACUUCUUAGAUAACUCCUAGAAUAUCGAAAUUUCCUAUGGAGAAAAAGUGAAGGCUUCGACAGAACCACAUUAGGUAUACCUAUGGCAGAUGGGACAACCUUAACAACUAAAUUCUACCCACCAGAAAAUAUAAAUAGUGGCAUCACAGAGUGGAUAAUGCAUUUGACUGAAACUUAUUAAAUCCCAUAUUAAUUUUAUAUACCUCAAUGCCAAAUUAGUUCAUUAGUCCCAUAUCUACUCGGAAGGGAGCCUAAGCCUUCGAGCAGCUGAUAAAGUUGUUGUCAUGUAACCAAAAGGUCACGGGUUCAAGCUGUCAAAACAACCUCGGACAAAAAUGCAAGGUAAGGUUACUAUAAACCCUAGUGGUCCGGUCCUUCCCCGGAUCCCGCACAUAGCGGAAGCUCUAAAGCACCGGGAUGCCCGUUAGUCUCAUAUCUACUCUACCUCUAUUCAGGUGUAAAUCAUUCCAAUACUAAUAACUUAUCCUUUUAAGACAAAUUAGAUUUAUUCUCUAACUUUUCUCUUUUUUCGUUCAUUAACUGGUGUGCAGGCCCUUGCGCAUACAGUCUAUCGAAAACAACAUUUCUACCUCUGAGGUAGGGGUAAGAUCUGUAUACACCCCAACCUGUCCAGAACCAACUUUGUGGGAGUUACACUAGGUAUGUUGUCGUUGAGUAGUGUCCAGCCGCCCGGCCGACUAACACGUACCUCAGCUAUUCACUCAAGUACCUGCUAUAUUCCACAAGCACAAUUACCAGGUAACUCUACCCUAUCACCUGAGACUUAUGCAUAUGUAAAUAAAAACCUCGGGUGAGCACUCUCAUCUAAAUUUACAUAACCGUAGUUAAUUAGAUUAAAAUAGCACUUGACAAACCCCAAUCAUAUGCCCUAGCAACAAUACAACAACAACAUAGUAUAUUCCCACCAAGUGGGGUAUGGAAAGGGUAAGUGUACGCAGUCCAUACCACAACCUCAAAGGUGAGAUAGAGGGUAAGUGUACAUAGUCCAUACCACUACCUCAGCUGUGAAAUAGAGAGAGGUUGUUUGACUUGUUUCCAAUAGACCCCCGAUUCAAGAUAAAACAAUGAAACUUGAAAUUGACCACGGGAGAUCAAAAUUCAAUCCUUCGAAAAGAAAAUUUAAAAAAUUAGGUGAUAUUUCAAUCUAUUCAUUGAAUUAGUGUGGUGUUCAACAAGUUGUGCUAUCACGGAGGGUAAAUGUACACAGUCCAUACCACUACCUCAGCGGUGAAAUAGAGAGACUGGUUCGGAUCAAUGAAACUUGAAAUUGACCACGAGAGAUCAAAAUUCAAUCCUUAAUAAAAAACACUUUAAAAAUUAGAUGAUUUUUCAAUCUAUUCAUUGAGUUAGACAUGGUGCACAACAAGUUGUACGCAACCAUUAAUUCUACUUUAUUUUUUAUAACCAUGGGAUCAAAGGCUAGCUUGUGUGUAACUCAACUAAUUCCACAUAAUAUUUGCCACUUCCCAACCCACCACCACCAGUCCAUACCACUAACUCAGAGGUGAGAUAGAGAGGUGAUUUACGAUAGACCUCCUGCUCAAGAUAAAAUAAUGAAACUUGAAAUUGACCACGAGAGAUCAAAAUUCAACCCCUAAAAAACAUUUAAAAUAAUUCUGUGAUUUUUCAAUCUAUUCAUUGCAUUAUUCGUGGAGCACAUAAGUUGGUGCAAUCACUAAUUUUUGUUUGAUAACCAUGGCAUCAUAGGCUAGCUUGCAUGCACCUCGACUAAUUCCACAUAAUAUGUACCACCUCCCACCCCACCAUCACCACAAACAGGUAUCAGAUAACUCUAUCUACCAAAGCUACCACAAAUCAAAAGAAAAUCAUCAAUUUGAAUCUACGACCUCAUCCUUAUCAAUUCAUUUAAACCACACAACACAAAUAAAAAAGGCAAUUAACCAACAAAAAAACCCGAUAGCAAAAAGAUCGAAACAAAGAAAUAGGUGAUUUUUCAAUCUAUUCAUUGUAUUAUUCGUGGUCACUAAUUUUAUUUCAUUUUCAGAUAACCGUGGUAUCAAAGACUAGCUUACAUGCACCUCGACUAAUUACACAUAAUAUUUACCAUCUCCCACCCACCCCCAUCCAGGGGCGGAGCUACCCUUUGGUGAGGGGUUUCAUUAGAAUCCCCUUAGUUGAAAACUUAUACUAUAUAUAUAUGGUUAAAAUUAUUUUUUAUGUAUAUAUAGUAGUUGUUGAACCCCUUUGAUUAAUUUGUAUGUUAUUUCUGAACCCUCUUAAUAAAAAUUCUGACUCCGUCACUGCCCCACCCCCACAAAACCAGGUAUCAGAUAACUUAUGCACCAAAGCUACCACAAAUGGAUAUAAAAGAUCAUCGAUUUGAAUCUACGACCUCAGCGUUAUCAAUUCACGUAAACCACACAACACAACACAAACAAAAAAUGCAAUCCACCAAAAAAUAAAUUAAAUUAAAUAAAUCCGAUAGCAAAAAGAUCGAAACAAAGAAAGGUUGUUUAUUAUACAUAGUUACAUACAUACCUGACGGCUGCGGCGGUCCGUUUUCCAUGAAAGGUAUAGAGAAGGAGGAGGAGGAAGAAGAGCCGCCGUCGACGACCGCUACGACGGAGAGAGAAAGUAGAGAGAGAGAAAGUAGAGAGAAGAGAGAAAUUGAUGAGGUCAAAAAUUGCAACCGAUAAUUAUAACUAAACUAAUAAAUAAAUUAUUAUUAUUAUUCUUUUCGUCUAUCUUUACUUAUUUUCUAUUUUUGAAUUAAAAUAAUACUUAUUCAGUUUCUAAUUUAUUUUUAUUAAUUUAACCUUAACAUUAAAUAUAUUAUGUAAUUUAUUUCAAUAAUAUUUAUUUAGUGAAUGAUUUAUUUUUGUCGAUUUAGUUUUAAUAUUAAAUACGAUAUAUUAUGUAAUAUGUUUUUUUAAAAUAUUAAAUUUAUGAGUAUAUAUAAAGAGUAAUAUGCUAAAAUUCUUAAUUCAUACUCCCUUCAUCUUAUUUUAUAUGUUGUUAUUUCUUUUUUAUUUAUUAAAAAUAAUAUUAUUUAUUUUUAUUUAAUUAUUUAAAGAUAUAAUUUUAUUUUUAUUUUUACUAAUCUCAUUUAUAAAAUUUUAUUUAAUUAAAAAAAUAAUAGUAUAUAUUUAAUAAAAAAUUAAAUAAGUAUUAUUAAGAUAUUUUCUUAUUUUUUAAAUUUUGUGUCCAGUUAAAUUAAAUUAUGACAUAUGAGACGGAAAAAGUAUGUAAAUAGAAUAAAUAAAAAUGAACCGAGUAUUGUAUAUAAAAAAUGAUUUUAUCUGUUAUUUGAAAGGACCAAGAAAAUUCGGAUGACAUAGAUAUCUCUUUUGGUUGGUGUGGAAUUGUGAAUGGACUAUUUUGCCCCUUCAGACCAAUAAUUUUGUGGUGAUCGGGUGACGUGUGGUCGGUGCGGGCUGAUCUCUUUGACUGGACCUGGGCCAAAUUUAAUUGGGCCACACAUUCUGUAAUGGGCUUUCUACCUAAACUAGUUGGGAAGUGUCUGUACAAGGCACAGACACAACAAUAUGAAAUUAGAUAGUACAAACUUUUAGGGCAAAUCACAUAAAUAUACAUUUUAAGAGUCAAUAUUACAAAAACUACCCAUAGUUUCUAUUUUACAAAAUAUAACAAUAGAAAUAUAACAAAAUCUACCAAAUUAGGUAAAAAAAAAAACAAAAGAUAAUAAAUAAAAUAGCAUGAUUUAAGUGGGCAACUUAAUAGUUGAUAUUUUACCCUACAAAUUCUCCUAUUUUGUUUUUUAUCAAAUUUUUUUUUCAAAAAAUAAUAAAUAAGGCAAACGAAACUUAUUUAUUGAUACAAAAUUAAUUUCUAGAUGAUUCAAACACCAUAAAAUUAUUGAUACAAAAUUAUUAAUACACCAAUUUCUAUACAAUUCAACAACAUAAAAAUAUUGAUAGCUGUUGAUACACUAAUUUCUAUACAAUUAAAACACCAUAAAACUGGUAAUACACCAAUUUCUAUACAAUUCAUACACCAUGAUACACCAAUUUCUAUACAAUUCAUGCACUAUAAAAUCAUUGAUAACCUUCAUUUGCCAUUGUCAUCAAAAAAUUCUCGAAACUCCUCAAAAUUAUCGACAUAUUCAAUCUAGUUGGCAUCUUCUUUUCCAACGGCGUAGAAGUAGAAGAACAGAAGAACAAUCAAUAGUAACAAACAUUGAGAAAAAACUCAAAACAUCCACCGGAAAUCAUAUCCAUAGUCACCGUCAUCACCAUAUCGGAUUCCUCCACUGUAUUCAAAACACAAAACAUGCUGACCGAUGAACAAACAGAUCGUCACUACCAUCAUCAAGAGUGAUAAACCCAAAAAUAUUUUGGAAGCUUUUAGAAUUACAUGGAGCAAAACCUGCAGUAUGUGUCGACAACUAGAUUGUCAGAUCUAAUUUCACUAUGGCAUAAGCAUUAACCUUUUAAUUAUGAGCAACACACUUAUAAUUAUCAUGGAAGAAAUUGUUGAAAGUGAGAAAGUACAUUUAUUCGAGAAGCCAUCAACACCAAGAGAUGUAGGUAAGCUAAAUCAAUUAGUUAUACUUAAACAAUAUGCAGAGAAGUACUUUCCACUUAACGAAUCGAAAAAUGAUUCAGAUGAAAAGGUAUACUUAUUGAGUUUUGAAGAUGAAUUCAGUAAAUUAUGGAAAUUUUGUUAUUCUUAAUGGAAUAGUACUCAGAAUUAUGUGUUGUUUUGUCUGGUGAUGGAGUUAUGUCUUGUAAUUGGGUUUUCAAUCAAAGGAGGAAGAGAGGAGAUAAAAAGGGAAGAAGAGAAUGGAUUUUUGGAUUAAAUUUUUUACAGAAAAAAAAAAACUGAAUAGUUGGUAUAUUUUGUAAAUAAAAACUAGAUUUUGUAAAUAAAAAAAAACUAGUGAUAGUUUUUGUAAUAGUUACUCUAAAAGUGUAUAUCUAUGUGAUUUUUCCUUUUAAAAAAGCAUCACGUUAAUUCCAUUGUUAUUAAUAGUAUUUACAUAAAUAAAAAUAAUAUUUUUUUCGGCUUAAUUUAUUUGGCAUUUUUAAAUUUUGUAAAAAAAAAAUUAUUUUUCAUUCGGUGUCGGAUAUCCCCAUUGGUGCGCGACUAAUUCGAAUUUGUGCCGCGUAGAAUUCAUUCGGGGGAAGCACUCUCUACCAAAAAAAAUUUCAUAUUCGGAGCUCGAAUCAGAGACCUCUGAUUAAGGAAGAAGCAUCCUCAUCCACUGCACCACAUCAUUUGGUGGUAAAUUUGUGAUUUAGUCAAGUUUUUCUUUGAUCAUAAUAGACUAUAUAUCUUUUGAAUAUUUUGAAUUGUCAAUUGUUGUGACUUGUUAUAUUUUUACAUAAUUUUCAAAUAUAUAAAUGUUGUUUGAAAAAAAUUAAAGAUUUUAUUAGUAAGUAUUUCAAUUGUUUGACUCUUAAAGCUUUAAUGUUGUGUUCAUUUUCACUGAACUAAUUAGUUACUUUUGUAAGAGUUGCAAUUGCAUUGAUUAAGCAGUUCAAUCAGACAUGUUAUGCUCAAAGCCUCAACUAUUUGUUUAUCCCCUCUUAUUAGUAUUUUACCUAAACUGGAUAUGAAAAAUUGCCUACAUAUCCUAUAUUUAGAAAAUAUUUAUCAUUUGUAAUAGUAUUUUUUAUUUAUUUAUUUUCAUUUACGGCAACUUCACCAUAUAUUAAAAUUGAAUUUUUUAUGCAAUAUUGAUAUAUUAUAAGUAAUUUAAAAUAUAUUAUGUUUGUUAGGUAAAAAAUCUGCAAUAUAUAUGAAAAGUGAAUUAUGCAUACAACAGUGAUGUAUUAUAAUUAUUAUAUCUGAAAAUAUAAAUUCUAUUGCUAUGAAUUUAAAUAUAAGAUAUCUAUGUAAUUUUUAAAUAUGAGAUAUCCUCAUCGAUAUUAUGUUGAAUUAUUAGUUGGUCUAAUGAGCGUAAAAUAGAUAUGUCCAUAUCAAAUGAAGGAUCAAUUAUUUUCUCCACAAACUUUUUUUACUAAAUGGCAAUCUAUAUUUGUAUUUUAGUCUUAAAUUUCUUGAAAUUUGACACAACAACAGAGUAGUUCAUAGGUUAUAAACCAAGUUUCUCUAUCAUGAUCCUGAAAUACUUGAUAUCAAACUUUUCCGAUUGAGGCAUAUACGAGCGCCCUAAAUUGGCACAUUGUAGUAAUAAAUAUAUUUACGACGUAAAAAAGAAAGAUUCAUAAUAUAAACAAAGUGAAAGAAGUUAACUUAGAAGAAAGCAAUAAGUACAUAGAUGAAGAUUAAUUUAAUGAUUUAUGAUUUUUUGAUUAAAAAUACCUUUGCAUCCUGAAUUCAAAGAGAAAUUCCAUGCAAAAGAAAGGUACUAAUCAAUCACAUCGUUUUUCAAAGUCAAAGCCAAAAGUCGAGUGAGCCGAGCAACGAGUGACGAUAAUGGCGCCGGCGCGAGGCAGCACUUUCUUCUCAAUGCUUUACUAGCUAAAAGAAGUGUCUUAUUAAAAGGAAAAAAAUAUUCCUCUAUUUUAUCAAUGACGGAAAAAUGACCUUUUAUUUCAUUUUUUCUCUUUAUUAAGUGUUCCUUCAUUUCUCAAUUCUCUUUAUACCAAAAUUUCUCAAUUCACACCUUAACACAAACCCAAUAAUGUGCACCAUAAUCUAUUAUUAUACGAUAAUUAAAGAUGCAACCUGCUAUAUUUGUCGAGGAGUAAGAUUCGAUGAGUUCCAGAGACUUCAUAUAUGACUUACCACUUCAUAUACUAAUGUGUAGGACUUUAAAUUUAACUAAAUUUUACACAUUAAGUUUUUCAUUGUUUUAACUAUGUAAGUGUUCAUAAUUGCUAAGUAAUCGCUCGUUAUCCAGUUGGAGAAAAUGGUCCAAAAGCUUUCUCUCUCCCAUCAAGCAAGACGAGAUCCCACUUCUCUCGGUAAUGAACUUCAUUUACUUCGUAACCUUAGUUUUAGAUGUCCAUCAUAGAUUUUCAAAUCUCCGACAGAUAGAAUCUCCAUGCAUGGGUUCUUUUUAUCUAAUCCUUAACUAUGCAUCUCUUUUUUUGCUUUUGACUCUUUUUGUUAGGCAUUGAACCCCCACCCGCAGAGCGGUGUUGAGUAGUGUCCUCUACUUCUAAUACUUAAAUCAAGUUCCAUCUAUGGAUCGUUAAAUUUAUUAAGAAGAGUAAUUACACAUAAUACAAAAAGAAAGCGCCGAUGAAUAAUUAGGUAAAGUAUUUAUACCCAAUAAUUAGUCUUUUAUAGUAAAUUUGUAAUAAAACAAGGGAUAACUACAUAAUUUAGCAAAUAUCGGCUUCUAAUUAUCAUAUUUAAUUCAAAUCUCAAUUAAUUACAAUUCACAACCCAUUCUUGCCUAUUAAUUAUCCCUAAUUACAAUUCAUAACCUCUCUCAUGUAUUUUCUCUUUUUCCUAUAUGUACUAUUUUCUCCUUUUAUUUUUUCCCUUUUUAGUUUUUCUUUCAUUUUUUCUUUUCCUUUUUUUUUUUCACUUUUUUUCUUUUUCAUAUUUUGCUUCCUUUUAUUAUUUUAUUUUUUUCCUUUUUUCUUUUCUUUUUUUUGUUUUUUUCUCUAUUUUUUAUUACUCUCCUUUUUUUAUUUUUUUAUUUUUAUUUUUCUCCUUCUUUUCAUUUGUGCGAACUAACAAAUACAAAUACAAGUGUGGACUAUAACAUACAAAUACAAGUGCGAACUAUAAAAGACAAAUGCGAACUAUAACAUUAAUAUACAAGUGUAAACUAUCAUUUGUAUUUUUGAAUUAUUGAAAAGGAACGAUUGAUUUUCUUUCUACGAAUACUUGUUUGUAUUUAUUGAUACGAGUUGUAUUUAUUGAGACAAAUAUACAAUUCAAAUUUUUAUACUGUCACGCCCUAUUUUGAAUCGGUCGAAAUAGCACACAACGUAUGAUGGUGUGUCGUGACUCUUGGGUUUUGAAAAUUAUUUUUUAGAGUCACCACCCAACUUUUUAGGACAAUUAGGAAAAAUAAUUUUUAUUGUAAAAACUCUAUUUUAGUCUAUCGAAAAUAUUUUGACAUUCUAAUUAAGGGUUUUGGUUACCCGAGGGGAAGGUGUUAGGCAACUGUAAGACCCCGCAAAGUUCUCUCGUAGCCUGAGCCUUAGAGCGUGUCAAGUGAAGUGUAAUUCCGGCCUUAAAAGAUCGAGAAGUGACUUUCAAAGUGAGAAAUAUUUUAAACCAUAUAGAAUUUCCCUAAUAUCGACUCUUUUGCAUGUAGAGAAUUGAAUAAGCUUUCCGUUGAUACCAAAUUCGCCCAAAUUUGACACUCGGGCGAAGAGUUAGAGCCAUUUUAGUGAGACAGUGUGCCACCUGGCACUUUAGCACGUCGCGGAGCCAACCAAAAUGGCAAUUGUCAAAUUCCAGUGAGCCUCCGCGAUUCCACCGUGUCACGGUGUCUUUCCAGUUCACAACCAAGGUGGCAACGCGAUUUUCACCACGUCAUGCCAAGGCUCAGUUUUCCAAUUGUCCAAUUUCCAGGAAGCUGGCGCGUCACGCUAGCACGUAAAAUCGAGAUUUUUUCCAGUUUCAGAUUUUAAUUCCAAGGGCAAAAAGGGUCAAUUUUCAACCCCUAUAUAUACUUUUUAACACCAGAUUCAGCACAUUUACACCCAAAUAUUAUUGGUUUCUCUCAAUUUUCUUCAAGAACAAGACCCAGGGUUUCUAAUCCAAGACCCAAAUCAUCAAGGUUUCACUGUGAAUCUUUCUAGAAUUACAUAGUAAGGUAUGUUAGAUGUUGAUUUUUGGGCUCCUUCCACCCAAGAAAUUCAAGGCUCUUUUUUUAAAUUCAAAGAUCUUAUAUUUAUGAGUUUUCAUGACUCAUGUGAAUUGAAAUUGAAGUUCAUGUUAUUAUUGAGUUAAAUCUAUGUUUUGUUUAUAAAAUCUCAAGAGUUGAUUCUAGUAUGUGAUGAAUUAUAUGAUGUUCAUGAUAAACCCUCUUCAAGUUGCAUAUUAAGUGAUGUGUUUAUGUCAAUUGAGUGUAGAAAUUAUUGAAUAAUCAAAGCAUGCUCCCCAAAUGUUUGAUAAAAUUUUUAUGUGAAGAAAUUAGAGUCAUUAUAGCAUGUUGACUAGAAAUCCCCAAUUGUGUGCAAGCUCAUGCACGCCAAGUGUUUCUUGAAAAGCCUUAAUGAAUGAAUUGUGACAUGUUAGCAUGAAACCCACCAAUUAUAUGCUCUUCAAUGCAUGUGAAAUGUUUGUUGAAAGACCUUGUUGAAUGAAGUAUGAGCCAAUAGCAUGUCUCCCAAUAUCACAUGUUUAUGAUUUCCAAGUGCUUGAAGAGAUGCUUUAAUGAUUGUAAUGGUGAAUGAAUGUCCAUGGUCAUGAUCAUUCAAGAAUAUUUAUGUUUUACUUUUAUAUUAUCGAGUCUUGGGGGUAUUUAUACUCGACAAUUUAGCUGCAAGUUUAGAGCCCGUGUCAGUUUUCACGAUAAUCUUAGUCAAGCCACGAUUCUUAGAACUCAGUGAGUUACAGAACUCAAUACUCUCAGACAGUUACAAAACUUAAGAAAUCUCAGUAAUCUAAGUAUCAUUAGCCUUCCAGCUUCAGUUCAGUACUCGACUCAGAUCUUAGUAGUAUUCAAGUGUUCAGUUCAGACCUCAGUAACAUUCAAGUAAUCAAUUCAGAACUCAGUAUCAUUCAGUGAGAUAACAAAAAUUUAGUAGUAUUUCGUCAGAUAACGAAACCAAGUGAACUCAGCUUAACUCAGUUAACCAGUAUGAUCAGUAACAGAUUCAGCUUAGUCUAGUACAGGCUAAGAAUUAUUUCAGUGUCUAUUCAGUUGGGAGUAGGAUUCAGCACCGAGCGGGGGCAAGGAUGGCAGCUUCCCUGUAAUUUAGGCAGAGUCGUUAGUAGCAAUCCCUAUACCUCCAUAACUGCGUAGCCAGCGCAGGAUGAGGAUUCACCCGUUAUAUUAGGCUUGACUACCUCUUAGGAGUCACCCAUUAUAUUAAGUUUGGCUCCAACUAGGUGUCACUCAUUAUAUUAGACAUGACAUCCUGAGUUCAGAGAGAAGUGUCUUUACCUAUGGCAUGGUACUGACACCCUUCCAACUAGGGUAUAGGUUGGACCCCAACUAGCUAGAAGGGGCAUGUCGGUUAGAUGACUACCUCCUACAAUCUGAGUUUCAAAUUCAAUCUCAGUAAUAGAAGUCAGUUGAGGAGCCACCCGUUAUACUAGGCUUGACUACCUCUCAGAGAUUACCCAUUAUAUAGGCUUGAUCUCAGAUUCAAACAAUCAUAUUCAAUAUCAGUAGACUCAGAGAUGACCCGUUAUAUAGGCUUGAUCUCAAAUUCAGACAAUUAUAUUCAAUAUCAGUAGACUCAGAGAUCACUCAUUAUAUAGGCUUGAUCUCAGAUUCAGACAAUCAUAUUCAAUAUCAGUAGACUCAGGAAUCACCCGUUAUAUAGGCUUGAUCUCAGAUUCAAACAAUCAUAUUCAUUAUCAGUAGACUCAGAGAUCACCCGUUAUAUAAGCUUGAUCUUAGAUUCAGUUUAUCAAGUAUCAGACAUCAUUACAGUAAACUCAAAGGUCACCCAUUACAUAGGCUUGAUCUUAGAUAUAAUGAAUCAGUAUCAGCAAGAUUAAAUACCAAUCUCAAUAGACUCAGUUAUUCAGUCUCUCAGUAUUAGUAAACUCAGACAUCAGUACUAGUUGACUCAGUCAUCAGUAAGUCAAUAUUCAGAAACCCGUAUUCAGAGUUCAUAUUCAGUGUUAUUGCAAUUCUAGUUUUGGUUUGUGCAUUCAUGUAUAUGUCCUCCUUCAGUACUCUCAUGUUAUUCAGAUAAGUAACUGUUCAUGCAUAAGCCAUUGCAUUUAGCCUUACCUCAUCUAGCAUACCAGUACAUUCAAAGUACUGACGUAUACUUUUCUCUUGCGCUAUGGUGUCUUAUACCAUAGGUUCAGAAGUGCGAGAUCCAGAACACCCUUAGCAGUCCAGACUUAGUCAGCAGCAUUAACGUAGCUGUAAGUUCUCUUCGUUCGAGGAUGAUCCUUAUUUUAUUAUGGUAUUAGACUCAGUUUAUUUUUAGUAGACAGCGUUAGUUGGGGACAUGUCCCAUCAAAUCCACAGUUCAGACAAGUUUAGAGGCUUUUCGAACAAAUGUAUUAGUAUUCAAUUUUCAGUAUUGAGUAUUUUUAGAUAUUUGAACCUUAUAGCAAGUUUCCGCAAGUUUUCCGCAUUUAUUAUAUUAUAUUAUGUAGUGAUCAGGUACAAAUAUCAGUAGAGGGUUAGCUUGGGGUCCUUCAAGAUCAUGAGCACCGUGUGGCAUUCCGGUUCUAGAAAAUUGGGGCGUUACAACACCCCUCAGAGCCUAUCCGAAGAUAGUCCUUACAUUUAGUUAGGAAAACAUUAGGAAAAAACAUUUAGUCCUUACACUGUAAACAAUACGGAUCUAAGAUGUCUUCUCUUGCAAACAACACCUUUUUAUCAGGAAAGUAGGUAUUGAACAACAUAUAAUCUUGAUCCACUGGAUUUUCUGUGAGGUGAUCAACCACAGCUUGUCCUUUGACGGCUUCUUGUGUCACGUACAUAAUAUCAAACUCAUUCAACAAAAUCUGCCAUUUUGCCAAUUUUCUAAUAGGCAUUGGCUUCUGAAAGAUGUACUUGAGUGGAUCUAUUCUUGAAAUCAAGUGCGUGGUAUACGCAGAUAGGUAGUGCCUCAACUUUUGUGCUACCUAAAUCAAUGUGCAACAGGUUCGCUCCAACAAUGUAUACCUAGCUUCAUACAAUGUGAACUUCUUACUUAGGUAGUAAAUGGCUUGCUCUUUCCUCCCUGUAUCAUCAUGUUGCCUACAUAUCCAAAUGUAUUAUCCAUAACAAAUAAAUAUAAUAACAAUGGCUUUCCCGGUUUUGGUGAAACUAAUACUGGUGGGUUAGACAAAUACUCCUUGAUUUUGUUAAAAGCCUUCUGACAUUCUUCAGUCCAUCCGGUAGCCGUAUCCUUCUUCAAUAGUUUGAUUAUUGGUUCAUAAAUUAUUGUGGACUAGGCUAUGAACCGACUGAUAUAAUUAAGUCUUCUUAAGAAACUCACUAGGUAUUUUUUGGUCUUAGUAGGUGGUAAGUCUUGGAUUGCCUUUAUCUUGGAUGGAUCCAACCCUAUACCUCUUCUACUAACAAUGAAUCCCAAUAACUUUCUUGCGGGAACUCUAAAGGCGCAUUUGGAUGGAUUCAACUUUAGGUUGUACCGUUGAAGCCUUUCAAAGAACUUUCGUAAAUCAUCCAAAUGGUCUAAAUUCCUCUUAUAUUUGAUGACAACAUCAUCCACAUACACCUCGAUCUCUUUAUGAAUCAUACAUGGGAAAGGGUGGUCAUAGCCCUCAUAUAAGUCGCACCGAUAUUCUUGAGUCUAAACGACAUCACCCUAUAGCAGUAUACUCCCCACGGAGUGAUAAAAACUGUCUUCUCUGCAUCAUUAUCAUCCAUCAAUAUUUGAUGAUAUCCCGCAAAACAAUUAACAAACAAUUGUAAUUUAUGUUUUACACAAUUAUCAAUGAGAAUAUGAAUGUUCGGAGAGGAAAAUCAUCCAUUGGACUAGCCUUGUUGAGAUCUUGAUAAUCCAUGCUUAUCCUUAUCUUCAUAUCAUUCUUAGGUACUGGUAUGAUGUUGGCCAGCCAGGUGGGAUAAGUUGUGACCUUUAUGAUGUUGGCUUUUAUUUGUUUGGUCACCUCCUCCUUAAUUCUCAAACUCAAGUUGGGUUUGAAUUUCCUUGUCUUCUGCCUCACAGACGAACAUGCGGGGUUAGUCGACAGUCUAUGCGAGACGAUAUCGGUGCUCAAACCAGGCAUGUUAUCGUACGACCAAGCAAAUACAUCGAUGUAUUGCUUGAGAAGACAUAUCAAUUCCUGCUUCCUUUCACCGUCCAAGUGUAUGUUGACUCAUGUUUCUUUUGUCAUUUCUUCAUCACCUAAAUUGACGACUUCAGUUUCAUCCAUAUUAGGCUUCUUCUGACUCUUGAGUUGCUCGAUCUCCUACGGCAGGUUUUCAGGCAUCAGGCUUUCAUCGUACUCCUUGUAAUCUUGCUCAUCUCUCGCACUUUGCUAAACGGAUUCGUUACAUAUCAUAAUCGUGGAAUGAGGGUUUUUAUUAAUAUUUGCACUAAAAAGUAUAAAAGGCGAGUAAAGUAAAUAGAUAUUGAAAAUAGGAAAAUAAGCUUUGAAAAUAAGGACUUUUAUUAAUAAAGCACUGGGCUUUGGCAAGAGGCGAGUAGCAAAAAGAGCUUCGACAUGAUUCAAGCCUCAAUUUAUCAAGCAAACAAAAUAAUUUUUAAAAGUAACAACAAUCCCACACUACCAAGACUCCUGUCGAAAUAGGGAUGGGCUAAUGGUCCAGUUCUGCAAAACUUCUCCGGGUUCAGCAUCAUGGAUGGUAAGUUUCUUGAAAUCCAUCUCCGGUUCUCCUUCGAUCACAACCACAAAUAGAUUUCCUAUUCCUUCAUAAUAUCUUCAUCAACUGUUUGCCCUAAAACUAGGACUUGGGCUGGCACGAAUACCGUCACUCCAAAUCCUUCACUGCAGGCUCUUCUAGAAAUGGGCUCAUAUCUAAGACCUGUAGUACCUUUCUAAUAUUUCAGUUGGAUUGGCUCAACUACACAAUUGGCUCUUGGUCCUAGCCUUGUCUUAGGCUGAUACCCAUUUUCAACAUCUCCGAUGCAACCAUCUUUUCAGCACUCAAUAUUUUCCCUUCAGUUAGUUCGAUCUUCUCGUCGGUCCUUGUAGCUUGCAUGAUCUCUAGGGUAUAGAAAGUGGCUCCAUCUAACUCCUCGGUGACUGGGACUGAAUUGGCAGAAUAGAUGGGAUGACUGAGCUUUCCACUGAUAGUAACUUCUGUGCGAUCCCACUCAAACUUUACGCACUGAUAAAGAGUAGAAGGAAUGACACUUUCCAAGUGGACCUAAAGCCUUCCCAACAGGAUGUUGUGGCUAGACGACACAUCCAUGACCUGAAAUAGGAUAGGAAAUUUUGCUGGUCCUAUCUACAGUAUCAAGUAAAUUUCUCCGAUGACACUCCUUUACGACUCAUCAAAGGCUCUAACCUUUACCUGACUCUCUCUUAUAUCUUUUAUGUUUACAAUCAAAUCCCUUAGGGUGAAGAACAGGCAAAUAUUACAAGCUAAACCACCAUCGAUCAAAACCCUUUUCAUAAUUUUUUCAUGAUAUCUGACUACGAUAUGAAGUGUUUCAUUAUGUGCAACUCCUUUUGACGGUAGCUCAUUAUCAUGAAAAGAGACCUUAUUUGCUUCUACCAUCUCCCAAUUAUUGCAGCCAAAGUUUCUCUUGUGGUCUUAUUUGGUAUGAUAAUACCACAUAACACUUUCAUCAAAGCGUUCCUGUGGGCUUCAGAACUCAUAAGUAGGUACAUAACGAAUAUGUGGGUCGGUGUCUUCUUGAGCUAUUCUUCAAUCGAAUAUUCCUUGGGUUGCAUCUUCUUCCAAAAUUCUGCAGCUUCAAUAUCAAUAAUAUUUCUUUUUGGUUUCUAAUCUUUCUGGAGAAUUCCUCGAUUUGAUUCCUCUGGCGCAUAACAACUUUCUGACAUGGUCAGCCCUUGAGCCGCAGUGGUGUCUAUUAUUUUGCCUUUUUAUUUAGUUCGAUAGUCCCACGGGACUGCUUUAGUGUCAUAGUUGGGCCUCCUAGUGGCUAAUGUGGUCACACGAUGCUCGACAGGUAAGUCUGAACAAUUAUAGGCUCCCUCAACUGAACUAUAAUAAACGGAUGUGAUGGUGAUGUAGUGGCAAUUUCUUUUGCAUUCCACGUGGGGACAAUAGUUCCUUCCAAAUCAUACUCAUCCUCUAGAGUAAUCAUAUUGACUUCUCGAUUUUAAUGAUUUGGCAAGGAGUGGUUGUUCAUAUUUGGAGUUGCGGCGGUGCAUUUAAUUAUACCUCUCCUUAUCAGAGACUCAAUCUGAUUCUUUAAGCUGUAACAGUCUUCUUGUCAUGCCUAUGGACUUCUGAGUAAUAGAUACAUCAUUUGUUACUGUCAAAGUUUUAAGAGGUCGGAUUUGAAGCCUUUUCUUCAAUUGUAUGCAACAAACCUGCUGCCCUCAAUCUCUCAAACAACUGGGCUAAAGGUUUUGUAAUAGGUGUGUAGGUGCAGGCAUUUUUGGCUUUAAAAUUUGGACGUGGUCUUGGCGCAUAGGCCAAUCUAUUUUGGUUACCCGAAGCUUAGACAAGGGCGUAUGGUCUUGGUGGAUUUUGGUAUGCUAGAGCUCGAGGUGGAUUAUAAUACGGUUGAUUAUUGUACACUGGGACAUGUACAAUAAUUUGGGGGUUAUUAAGGUAACGGUAGGAAGAAUUUCCAGAUUGGUAGUAUGGUGUGACGGUUGAGACAUUUUCCAUCUUUUUCUUAUUACUAUUAAGGAACUAGUCUUUAGGGUCUUUCUCACAGCUUGCAGUGCAACCAUAGAUUAGAUCUUCCAUGACUUGAUUUCUUCUUCUGUGAAAUAUCCCAUCUUGAUUAAUUCUAGAAACUUUUGGCCCAUUAUUGACAUCAUCUUAUCAAAAUAAAUACCCUCUUGAGCUUGAAUAAAAUACUUGGAGAGCUCACUUUCAUCCAGUGGAGGCUGAAUCCUAGCAGCCUCAGUCCUCCAACACUGCGCGUACUCUUGAAAUAAUUUUGAUAGCUUCUUUUAUAUGUUAGCCAAUAAGAACCUGUCUGGGGCAAUCUCAGUGUUAAACCUGAAGUGAUUCAUGAAGUCCUCAGCCAUUUCCUGCCAGUCAUGCCACUUACGGGGGUCUUGUCGGGUGUACCAAGUCAAAGCUUCUUCUUACAAGCUCCGAAUGAACAACUUCAUCCUCAACUUCUCGUUCCUUCCCACACCAACCAACUUAUCGAAAUAGGCCCACAGAUAUGCAUGCAGGUCACCCUUUUCAUCAAACACAUCGAACUUUGGUGGUUUGUACCCCACUGGUAUGUCGAUGUCUGAAUGAAUGCAUAAGUCAUCGUAGUCCAGGGUUUCAGUCCUUCUGGCGAUCUGUAUGUUUCUAAAUGCCCUCUUUAGAUUUUUGAGCUGGGUUGCUAUCGACCCUUCUUUAAUUGAUUGGACAUCCUUUCCCAAUCCCGCAUACCGAUCAACCUCAUAUAAAACCUUAAGAGUCACAGAUAUUGUGAAAGUAGGAGCUUCGAUAGCAUAUACAGGUGGCACAGGUAUCUCACAAGUAACAUGUGCCUCGCGUAUGUGCUGCAUUUUUUGAAUGGACUAGAAUAGUAAAGUUCUGAUAGGAAACAAAUGACCAGGUGCAGUCCCGGCAGUGGGUUGAAUAGCAGGUGAGGCCUGAGCAUGCGGUAUAUUUGCUUGGCUAGCGGGAGCGCCUGGAGGUAAUUCAAUACUUAGAGCCUGCCACUGGUCGGGAAAGCUAGCUGAUGUAAGCUUGGUUAGAUCCCGCAUCUGGCGUGGUUCUUCUUUUAAGACAUCAAUUUUUUAUGCUAUGUUGGCCAUUUGCUCGCUAUUCUGAGUGUCUGACAACCUUUGAGAGCUUUCGGUGUCAUCUACUGGUAUCAUCGCGGCCUUAUCUUGUUAGUUAUUUUGUCUUUAGAUCGAAGGUUAUAUUGGGAUUCCUCCAGUUUGUGCACUUAAUGUGUGUUUCCACAAUAAGAUUAUCAGUAAUACAUACCUCCCACAUAUGAAGUGGUUCCAUCUGUAUGCAACUUAUUUCUCUAAAACCAUCUUUACUGCAGCCUCUUAUGAUGGUUCGACAAAAGUUGAUCAACUGUCAGUUCCUUAUAUCUACAAAGAAGAGGAAAAAAAUUGAUGUCACAGAAAGAACAUUAUCCAUAUGUUAUAACAGAUGUCGAGUCUGUUGCAACAGAUGUGGAGUCUGUUGCAACAGAUGUGGAGUCUGUUGCAACAAAUAUGGAGUUUGAUAGAAUACAUCAAACUAGCUUUUCUGGUCUUUUGAUUUAUUCUAACAGUUUCUCCAUCUAUUGCAGCAAUAUCGACAAUAGCUAAACUAUAAAUAAAAAACAUCAACAAUAAAGAAACAACAAUAUUUGUUCCAACAACAUCAUCAACAACAAAGAAGCAAUAUCUUUUGUUCCAGAAUCAUCAACAACACUACACCACAAGUUCCAACAACGCCAACCCUAACAAUAACAUCAAUAACGGCAUCAACAAUAAAGAAACAAAUAAAAUAUAUACAAAAAAAUGAUAUUGCCAACAAGGCUUUUAAACUUCUUUCAAUAGAUGACUUUUUUUGCAUAUUGUAAUAAAAAUUCUCGGUUUGUUUAUUCAACACUUAAAAGUUCCUUCAAAUUUUUUUAAUAAAUAUGAUAUGGGUAAAUAGUAAUUAAAUAAAAAAACAGAUGUAAAUAACUUGUAAAGAAGAAAAUGAGAAUGAAACAACAAUAAUGAACCACACCUUAAUGUCAAAAAAGAGAUCAAAACAACAAUUUCAGUCGAGGAAAUAUAUGGAUCUGUUUAGAUCCGAAAUGAUCUUUAUGAGAAGAGAAGAGAAAAGAGAGAAAAAAGGUUGUGACCCUAAAGAGGAGAGAGAAAAAGAUGAGAGUUGAAUAAAAUAAAUUGCAGCUGAAGGAAGAGAGAUGAGACAAUUUCUAUAGAUGUAUUGUGUACAUAGACGUGGGGGUUUUCAAUAUUCAUUAAUUUCAUUAAUAAUUUGAGGGGUACGUGGAAGAUUAAGAUUAGUGAUAAUAAUUUCGAUCGCUCACUCUUAGUUGAAAUAAGUUCUCAUCAACUCAAUGUUAGGAUAGUGAUAGUUCCUAAGUUGGUUUAAAUGGAACUAGAGAUGAAUGAAUGAGCUCACAGGGUUAACUACAAAUCCUAUCGAAUUUUUGCAAUUGCAUGGCAUUGGUAUUGCGUUCAUCCCGAUCCGAGUCUUCGAUCGAUCACUCAAAUUUGAAAUGAGUUCUCAUCAACUCAAUGUUAGAAUAGUGAUAGUACCUAAGUUGAUUUAGGUGAAACUAGGGAUGAAUGAAUGAGCUCACAGGAUCAACUAUAAAUCCAAUCGAGUCUUUGCAAUUGCAUGGCGUUGGUAUUGCGUUCAUCCCGACCCGAGUCGUCGAUCGAUCACUCUGAGUUGAAAUGAGUUCUCAUCAACUCAAUACUUUAAAAACUAUAUCUUUUAAAUUUUUUAAAAUUAAUUAAGAUCAAUUCAGACCAAAUUAGCAAUUUUAAAACUUGUCAUUAUUUUACAAAAUUACAAAUCAACCCAUACAAAUCAUCCAUUUGCGUGAAAAACUUUUCAUUUCAAAUUUGAAGUUCUCACUCUUUUUUUUCUCUCUCUAGGUCUCCUCUCUCUCUCAACAAUACAAACAACAACUACUCAACAUAUUGCUCAACCCUUUAAAACAAGUCAAUUUUCUUUCCAUUUACGACCACUUAUAGUUAUUUUUUUCGACUUCAUUCCCACUUGUAUCCGCUGUUUUCUCUGUCUUCGUAGGUAACAGAGUUCGAGAAGAGUUCAACAUUUGUUCUUUAUUCUAAACAUAGGAAUUUUUAGUUAAUGAUGAAAAAGAAGACUUUUAGUUGUAUUAACUUCGAGAAUGGGUUAACAAUUUUGAGUUUUGAUGCUAAAAAAGUAGGAAGCACCCAAGAAAACCCUAGUUUUUCUCUCAGUGUUUUGUUGACUGUCGUGGUAUUGUUGGAUGGUGUUUGUGGUGGUGUUGGUGGCUGGUGUUGGUGGUGUUGGUAUUUGUGUUUUUUUGACUGUGGUGUCGGUGGUCUUGGUGUUGGUAUUGGGGGCAUUGAUAGUGGUCUUGGGGCAUUGGUGGUGGCAUUGGUUGUGGUGGUGGUGGUCCGUCUGUUGCAACGGGUGGAAGAUCUAUUGAAAGAUAUUAAAUAGGUCUUCAAACAGAUUCCCCAUCUGUUCCAAUUGAUGGGUUAUCCAUUGAAGUAUUUUUUUUGUAAUGCAGUGUAGAAUAAUUUAUUAAAAUUUGUCCAUCUGUUCCAACAGAUGGAAUAUCUGUUGGGAGAUAUUAAAUAGGUUUUCAAAUAGAUUCGGUUUCCCCAUCUGUUCCAACUGAUGGGUUGUCCGUUGAAGUAUUUUUUUGUUAUGUGACGUAGGAUAAUUUUUUGAAAUUUGUCUCACCUUUUUAAAAAAAAUUAUGCAGACAUCAAAUGCAAUGUAUUUUUUAUUUUUCUAUUGUUUGUAGUUAAAGAUGUCUCCCAAAAGAAAAGAAACAGAAAGUGGAUCAACUUCUGACCACUCAACAAAAAAGGCUAGACUAUAGACAGAUUCAGAGGAACUUCUAGAACAAUCUCAGUCAGGGCAAAAUGAAGCUGAGGAAAGUGAUAAAUCCUUCUCACCAAUGGAGCGUGAAAUAACAUUGAAAUCCCAGCAUGGGUUUGUCAACACUAUUAGUAUUGUCGGGUUAUGAGCUGCGAUAUCAAUGAGAAACCCUAACACAGUAUUUCGUGAUGUUGUACUUAAAUGUUAGUUGGGAAAACCUUUUAACAAACUUAAGAGUAUUAUGAAGAAGGAAAACAUAGAUGGAUUUUUUAAGAAGAGCUGGUUUGCAUACUUUCUUGAGCUGUUCAGGGUACGCUCUCUCCGUUUUCCAAUGAUCAUGGUAUAUGGCCUCCUCAAGCGCAGGAUCAAGUAUACGGGAGAUGAUGGAGGUCUGAAGGAGGGAGGAAAAAAGAUGGAUGAAGUCUGGAUCAACUACUGUGGCAUGCCGAUUUGUUUUAGAUUAAAAGAGUUUGCCAUAGUGACAGAAUUGAGAUGCGAUUGUCCAAAAGAACCUCUCAUCAAGAAAACACCCCACAAAGGGUCCAACAAAUGCAAGGUAAAAAAAAUGGGUUGUUGGUCAUUGUUGGACCUAGCUACAGAGUGGACGAUUUGAUGGCGGAUCUCAAGAAUAAAUACAUACCAAAGCACUACAGGGAGAAAUUGUGCUUAGUUUGAUUUGUCCAUUCUAUUUCAUUGGCUAGAGACUUCAGGAAAGUCAUAGAACAUGAUUUGUUGGCGCUUGCUAAUGAUAUUGGAAAAUUCAAUGACUAUCCCUGGGGAUACGACAGCUAUUACUUGACUGUCAAAUAUUUAUUGAAAAAGCUAAAGCCAAAGACGACCACAUUGUAUAGAUUUUCUUGGUCUUUCAUGGUAAAAUUGAUCACUAUUUUUACUCAUUCAUUAAUUUAUAUUGAAUAUAGUUAUGACUUUUAUUUUCUUGCUUCCUGUUUACAAAUUUUAGGCUUGGGCAUGUGAAAUCAUUCCUCUUCUCCGAAAGCAUUUCAAGGAUUACUCGGAUAAGGUUUCUUAUUCAAGGAUCCUUAGGUGGUUGGCUGCAGCAGAGAUCAGCAAAAAAAUAUUAACAAGGUUGAUCUCUUUAAUCCUCCGAAUAAUGCAGUAUGUCUUCUUUCAACUAAAAUAAUUUACCUCAAAGAAAGAUAUUAAAACAGAUGUUCCAUCUGUUGCAAUAGAUGGGUCGUCUGUUGCAACAGAUUACCCAUCAACUAUAACUGGUGCAAUAGAUAAACCAUCUAUUGCUCUGGUUCUCUGAACCCUACUCAACAGAUUACCGAUCUACUGUAAAUUAUGCAACAGAUGUGUAAUCUGAUGCAACAUAUUAUUAAUCUAUUUCAAUAUACAGAUCAGUUGUUGCGGUAGCUAGAUCGUCUUUUGCAUAAGUUGGCUGUGUUAACAUCAAUGUAACCCGAGCCCCAUGUAACCCAACUGAUUGUAAAUUAUUAUUAUAUGAUUUAAAUUCCUCCUGUCUUUUUUUAUAGGUUGUGCAUCCUUGGAUCGUGCCUACCAUUGAUGAGCUGGGGAUGACUUUUUUUCUUACUCUGGGUCUUGUUGAUACAAAAGAAGACCAAACGGUGAAGUUAAUAUAGAAGGAACUGGUUGAAACAACAUCCAUAAGAAGAGCAGUUAGGCAAGGUCAGCCUAAUAUUGAAGCUCUUCACGACCAUCCUCAAACUGCAACAGAUCUGGGUGCUUCUUCUGGGGGUGUUGCUGGUGAAGUUAUUUGUGAUGGUGGCAGCCAUCCUGCUGCUGCCAGUCGUGAUUAUGAGCAUGUAGUUGCUCAACAAAAAAUAAAUAUAUUUGAAAAUACCCCUUGCAUAGGUCCUCCCUCUCACCCCUACAUCUGUCUCUCCCACCUUUAUAGUGGUUUCUCUCUUCCCUCCCCACCCUCAUGUUCUUAUUGCAAAUGCAAAGUGUACAAGGACAGAGAGGAUAAACUCCUUGAAAAGCUAGAGGCUAUUGCUGAAGCAGCCGAAGAGUUAAAAUUCAGGAGGGAUGUAAUACCAUCUAACGAGUGAGUGAGCCAUGCAUUCCUACAGUAGAGGUUAGGAGGAAGAAAAGAAAAAUUAGAUAAAUUCUCUCCAUUCUGAAAUCAGCAAAAAUUGCAACUCCCCCCGCUUCAAUAGUUGUUGAAGUUCAGGGGCUGCCGAAGAAGGUGGACAUAUUUGCGGCGCUUGGCAAGGAGAAAAAGGAACUGGAAGAAUUCAUCAAGAUGAAGGUUCAAAAAUAAUACACCAUGCAUUCAUAUGCCAUCAAAGACUUCUCGAAUAUGACAAAUAUGUGCGUGUGGUACGAGGACAAGGUAAGUUUACUUUUGCUAACCUCGCCUUCCAAUUUAAUCCAUGAAAAAGAAUCUACACAGCAGAUGUGUAAUCUAUUACAAAAACUUGGUAUUCUGUUGCAACAUAAUACACAUCUGUUGCAUAAGUUGCAUUGGCUGGGUAAUCUGUGAACUGAUUCAGAGAACCCUCUGCAUCGGAUUCUUUCCACUGUGUUUUUAUUCUUUACAAUUACUAACCUAUUUAAAAAUUUUCUUCUUAUACCACAGUAUAUUGAUAAAAUUCUCUGCUUCAUGAGGGGCAGGCAAUUAAUGUACCCGGAUGCUUAUGAUGUUGCCGAUAGGUAGUGGACCUCAACUUCUAUAAUGAUUUCAAGGAUAGGUACGCUAAACUCUGUAAAAUAGCUGAUUCUGAUGGCCUGAGAUUUGAUUAGCUAGUUUCUAUGUUCCAAUGGGAUGAAGAAGCAAUUAAAUAUCUUAGAGGAAAGAGGCCAUAUCUACACGACAAGAGCUGGACCAAGGCAAAGAGAGUCCUUGCAGUCAUGAACGUGGAUGUCAUACAUUUUCUCACUAUUGAGAUACUACUAUACGAGGGAAAGAUUAAGGUUUAUGACUAUAACUUACCUGUCUUCAGCGAGAAGAUAUUUUUAGCCUAUAUGCAGCCACUCUUGAAGUUGUUGACGCAGAGUAAGCUGAUGGAUCAUUUGCCGGUAGAAGUCUUGGAGAAGGAAUCAUGGGAUUUUGAAGGUCGAAAUAAGAACAUCCAGCUCCCAAGAAAUACAACCAGUACAACGUGCGGGUCGUACUCGCUUGCAUAUAUCGAGUGUUUACUAAACGGCACACAAAUAAUCGGUAUGUGCGACACCGUUGUGGGAAAGAUGCAAUGGGUCUAAGCAUAUGGGGUACUAACUAAAUGGUUGGAGCCCAUGUAUAAAAAGAACAUGUACAAAGACAGAUACGAACACGAUAACAAAUUUUCAUUUCAAGCCAAUUCACUUUACAUGUAGUGGCAAUAAUUUUAUGUCUGGCUGAGUUGAAUUUUUAUAAUGCAACAGAUUUUAUAUUAGUCGUAACAGAUAUAGUACCUUUAGUGACAGUUGAUUAUCUGUUGGAAUAGGUUGGUCAUCUAUUGUAAUAUGCAGAUGUUUCCAGUCUGUCUAUCACAACAGAUAUACGAUCUGUUGCAAUAUAUAAUUUAUCUGUUGCAACUGAUCAGUAAUCUGUUGGAGCAAAUAAAAAAAGUAGGAAGACCUUUUAUAUAAUUUCCAGCAGAUGACCUACGUGUUGCAUCUCAUGUUGCAACAUAUGUUUAAAUCUUUCUGAUAAGAUAUGUCGUCUGUUGCAGUAGAUGUAUUAUCUGUUGCGAUAUUUGAAUCUAGUACUCUAUUUCAAUUAAUAUGUUCAAAAUUAAGGAUUAAAUUAUAUUCAUAGACAGAAUAAAAUAAAUUGAAGCCUUCAAAAAUUACAUGAAAUAACUCAACAAAUAAAUGAAAUGUAAAAAAAAAUCAUUAUGGGUACAAAUGAUCUACUCUACAAAUAAAUCAACAAGUUAAACCAAGGAGGAUAGGUUAUUACAUUGACAGACUCAAGCUAUAAAGAUUUAAUCAAUAUGGACAAGUUGUUCUUCAUCCGGUGCUAGGGAAUUCGGCUUUGGUAGUCGUGGAUCUUUUACGUCGGUUGCGUAUGGCUUCUGAGCUUUCACUUCUCCAUAUUUCCAUAAAAGAGAAGCAUAUGUUUUGCGGAGUAAUCCGGUAUCAAGUCCAUUAUUUGGUACUUGUAAUUCAUCGCUCAAAUACUCGGCGUAGGCGGCAACAAAAGGACCGCAAUCCCUGCGUUAUAAAAAAAUAGAUAAUCCAUAUCUUGCAGUUCAUGUAAGCGUUGUGAAAUUUGUGAAAUGAAACUAAAUCAUGACACUUAAACUUAUAGGCUACCAAUGGUUUGUUGAGCAAUUCCUUCAACAUAUUGUACAUCAAAUGGAUUAGCCAUUUUAUCUCUGUAUUCUUCAAUCAUCGACCAAUCAGUACGAAUCUUUUGGUCCAAAAAGUCACUCAUAUCAAGUUAAGUAGGCAAUAUUUUAGCCAGCUUUUGUAUCUCAGACGACGGCCCGGAACGUCUCCUUCGCGACAUCGAGUCAUAAACUCGCAUGCGCCUCUCUUUUAGAAGGACGACAGUCAACACCCAAUGGAAUUUAUCACCACAAUUGAUUGGGAUGUACACUUUGGUGACCAAAUGCCAAGGUAAGUCAGCCUGAAUGCUAAAACCUUUGAUAAUGUUGAUUAAGCAUUCCUCGUUUCGAGAAACUUUCGGCUGUUGUUGACAAUACCUAUCGUAGGCAUUAUUGAUGUAAACUUUGUAUAAAUAAUUGUUUGUCGUGUAUUUGUAUUAUUCUUGUGUUUGCAACUUGGCCUUCUUUCGAAGGUAGUAAAAAAUGACAUCGAUGUGCUGCACAAUUAUCAAACAUUUUGAAUUACGUGAUGAAAAACUCAAUACGCAGAUGCAAUUAAAUAAAGUAUUAAUUAAUAGUAAUAUGUAUGGCAUUUAAACCUCAUCAUUCCAGCAAGUUUGGGGCUACGACAUCAAAUAAAAUUAAUUUUCGUUCCGGGAUAUGCAACAACAAAGUCGAACAUAUCAAAAUCAAAACUCGAUUCAUACAUUUUGUAGCACUCAUCAUUUUGUUUUCUACAUGAUGAUUUAUAUGUGCUAAUGUCAGGUUCUUACAACAAGAAUUUAUAUAAAUCAAUAUCUAUAAAAUUGAUUUAUGUACCUGCCGGCAUGAUGCUUUAAUAACCCAUUGGCAAUUCAUUCUGAAUAGUCGUUGAUCAACUGUGUGAGUUUUUUGCAGCCUCGUCCGAGAUGUUGAACCCUUCAAACGGGUAAUUCUUUCAUUCUCCUAAACUGACAGGCUCCGUUUUUUCUUCUUUUUUGGAAGCAAUUGAUGGAUUAUCAAUUAUGAUAUUAUGCUCUUCGGCAGUAGCUUCUACUGUGACAUCCACCUGAAAUGCUAGAAUUGUCAAUGCUAAGUAGAGAUAUACAACAAAUUGUACAUCUGUUGAAAUAGAUGAGUCUUAUAUUGCAUCAGAUGGAUUAUCUGUUAGAACAAAUUCAAACAGGUAAAUCAGAGCAGUACGAUAAUUUUGAAUAGAUAACGAAUCUGAUGCAACAGGUUAGACGACAGUUGCAACAGAUGUAUAUAUCAGUUUGAUAAUUUUUAGCAGAUAUAUCAUCUGUUGAAACAGAUAUGUGCCUGUUUGUUUUUUCGAACAGAUGAUGUACAUUCACCUUCUUCAGCUCAUGUUGCUCUCUUGUGGCCCUUGUACACUGAAUAUCGGUGCAAGACAAAGACAAAGACGUUGCAAUCUUGCCUUUUUUAUGCUUGAUAAUGCCUUGGAAGUGUCUUUCCUUCUCCUCUUAGCCGCCUUGAUCUCCAGUGGAGUGUAUGGAUAUGAAAUCCUCUUUGAUGGAAUGACACCUCUCUUAGAUGUCAUUUUCUUUACAGAAGUAGUUAGUGCAUUAAUAGCAUUAAUCACUCCAUCGUGUUUCGCCUUGCAGUCUUGACAUUUGCAUGCAGAACAUUCGCUAGAUGCGGUAAAAUCUGGAGAAAAUUUUGUACAACCAUUAUGAUCAUAAUCAUAAUAGCUUGUUGUUUCAAAAACUGUAAAAGGAGCGUCAUUAGCCCCACCCUCCAAAAUUAUUUUUCUUGUGAUGGUUGUUGCUCUAAACAAUUCUAUUUUUAUUCCAUCAACGAUCUUAGGGUUUGAUAAAGUUUGCACAGAUCGUAAAGUAAGAAAAAAUGACAUCUUCAACUCUCGGUUGGUCAGAACAAGCCACAGAUGGACAAUCUAAAAUAAAUCGGUACAUAUAUUAAGAAUGAUGAUGAAAUCAUUUAAUCAUUAAUUAAAACCAAAACUUGAUUAGAAUUGGACUUACUGCUUCUUUGGGGGGAUUGAAAAGAUCAAGAAAUUUUGCAUUUUUAUUGAUUUUGGCCGACAACCAUCUCAGAAUUCUUGGACAGGAAACUUCUUCCUAGUAGUUCACUUGUUGUCUCAAAUAAGGAGUGGCUUCACUUGAAUAAAAAAAUAAUGAAUCAUAUCAUGAUAAAAGAAAUAUUUACCAUGAAGGCCCAUGGAAAACCAUAUAAGUUGACUGUUUUUGGAGUUAACGGAGUCAACAAAUAUUCGACAGUCAUUUUGAAGCUUUCAUAACCCCAAGGAUAGCUGCUAAAUGCCUCAAGAUCGUCGGAGAGAUUUAUUAAAUCGAGGCUUAUGUUGUUGUUAAUGUCUCUCGCCCAAAGAACAUUAUGUACAAACCAAACGAAGCACAAUGAUUGCUUGUGCAUCUUUGAAAGUCCUUUAUCUUUCAACGCUUCUAUCAGAUUUUUAUUUUUGAAGCUUGGACCAAUAAUGGACUCCAGGUCAUCACAAUCACUCAACUUUUCUUUACCUUUUUUGGGUGUGCGGGGUGUUUUUUGGGUCAGAGUAGGUAUAACUUGAGAAGGAGAAGGAGGAUAAUAUUUUAGUCCGGUAACUAUGACGAACUCCUUCCAACCAAAACAAAUAGGCAUGCCAUAGUAAUUUAUCUACACCUCAUCCAUCUUAUCUUUAUUUUCAUACAUAAACCUGUGCUUGAGAAGAUCAUAUACCAUUUUCAUCUGGAAACGAGCAUUGUUGUCCUCCGGCAAAUCAAGAUAUUGCCCAAAACAGCUUUCCCUGAAAUAAGAAUCCAAUUUUUGUUCUCGAAGUAUUUUUCUGAAGGCGUCAAAAGAUUUUUCCAUGAUUGGCUCAACCACGAGAUCACCCGUUAAAUCUUUAGCACCAUCACACUGCAUUCUCAGAGGAUAACGAUCAAUGCUGAAGGUUUAGACCAACCCUUCGGCAGAAGUGCUAUUAACAUUUGGAUCAUCUCUUUUGAAAGAUUCCUCCUCUUCGUUUUCAUUAUCUUCUGCUCCUAAUCGAGAUAACGCUUGUAAAAUAAGCUCAUAGAGUGGUGGAUGUAGCCGAGCUGCUGCACUUGUUCCUUUACUUGGACUUUAUUCGAUUUUUUUUCUUUUGAGAGCCAUAUUAUCUUAAAUUAACAUGAACAUAACAUAGAUUAUAAUUGAUUAAUGCAUAAUAGUAAUAUAACAGUUCCAACAGAUAACUAAUCUGUUGCACUAGGUAUGUUAUCUAUUGCAACAUAUAACCGACCUGUUGCAACAGAUGAGUAAUUCGUGGAAAUCAUAAAAAUAGGUCACUAAUCUCUUACACCUGGUAUUUCAUCUGAUGCAACAUAUAACCGACCCGUUGCAACGGAUGAGUAAUCCGUGGGAACCAUAAAACCAGAUCACUAAUCUGUUGUACCUGGUAUUUUAUCUGAUGCAAUAUAUAACCGACACAUUACAAUGGAUGAGUAAUCCGUUGGAAACCAUAAAAAUAGAUCACUAAUCUGUUGCACCCGGUAUGUUAUCUGUUGUAAUAUAUAACCGACCUGUUGCAACGGAUGAGUAAACCGUUGGAAAGAAUAAAAACAGAUCACUAAUCUGUUGCACUAGAUAGUUUAUCUAUUGCAACUUAUAACCAACCUGUUACAACGAAUGAGUAAUCCAUUGGAAACCAUAAAAACAGAUCACUAAUUUGUUGCACCAGGUAUGUUAUCUGUUGCAACAUAUAAUCGACCUAUUGUAAUGGAUGAGUAAACCGUUGGAAAGAAUAAAAACAGUCACUAAUCUGCUGCAAAAUGAAGAGUAAAUCGUUGGAAAGAAUAAAAACAGAUCACUAAUUAGUUAUCUGUUGGAUUAAUAUUGUUUAGAUUUCUUCCAAACAGAAAAGUCAUUUGUCGCAAUAGAUGAAUGAUAUGUUAGAUUGUUCACCUAUUGCAUCAGAUUUUCAUAGUUGCAUCAGAUGUUUCAUCUGUUACAUCAGAUGUUUCAUCUGUUACAUCAGAUGUUUCAUUUGUUACAAUAACAUUUUUACCAAGACAAAUAACAAAUCAACCCAUCAACACCAACAUAUCACACAUACACUAAGAACAUCAACUGUGACAAAAAAUCACCAACAAAUUCAAAUCAACAGUACGACAACAAGAUGAAGAAAUGCCAGAAAUUAGAAUUUUAUUCAGUCCAUAUUUCAAUACUAGAAGAGUAGUUGGCUCAAGUUUGUCUGUUUCUUCAUAAGUUUUUACUUGUGAAAAAAAAAUGGGAUGAAGAAAAACUCGAAGUUGUUGUUGCCGGAGAAGUCUUCAUGUCGAUUGAUGGUUGAAAGUCAAAAAGGAACCCGCCCGACUAUUUGUCGCCGGAGGUUGAAGGGAGAAAUUUUGCAGAACUAUUAGUUGGGAGAAGGUUGAGAGAAGCUGUCGAAAGAGAGAUUGUGGUUGAUUUGGAUUGAAGAGGGGUGUAGGUUGGGUUGAUUUGUAUUUUUUGAAAAGAUUAGAAAGUUUUGAAAAUAUUAAUCAAGUCCACAAUUAACUUAAUUAAGUUUCCUAAUGAUAUUUGACCCUUUAAGUUGGUCAAUGUCACCAAUCCUCCAUUCAAGACUUAAAAGACACCUUUCCUUCAAUUUUCUCAAGAAACUUUAACCAAUCAAAAAACAUUUUUUUAAAAACUAUUAUUAUAUUAACAAUACUUAUCUCAUCUCAUCAAUUCAGAGACUAUUUUAUGUCAUCUCCUUUAUGUUCCUUUCGUUCGCUUUUACUUGUCACAAUUUUCUAAUUAUAUUUUUAUUUUUGUUUGUUACUAUUUUUGAUUGAUCAAGACAACCCUUGAUUGAUAUCAUAAUAAUUUUGAAUUAAUUAACUUUAUAAAAUAUUUCAAGACUUUUUGUAGUCUUUAAAAAUCAAAUUAAUUGUGAAAAAAUUGACAAAGUGUUUAAAUCAUUCAUUAAUCCAUAAAAACAUGUUGGGUUCGAAAUCAAGAGGGCGUCAUGGGGAAGCUAUUAGUUGCAAACUAUGAGACGAUAAAUAAGAUGACAACGAAAAACAAUACUAAAAAGCAUAAAAUUAUUAUAUGUUUUGGUCAAACGACCUAUAUAUUAAAAACUAAUAUUGCAAAAACAUAAAACCUAUUGGGAGAAAAUCUCCCCCUAAACAAAAACUCUUAAACGACUACAUUGUGUAUGAUAUUGUGUUAUGAUAUUAGAAGGGGUAUUCUAUUUAUAAAUAUUCAAAACUUUCAUCCAAGAAAGAGGUUAGCUAAAUAUGGAAAAGAAUUAUAUUUUUUUUUCAUGAAAAAUAAAAGUAAUUAUGGUAACUUUUAUUUUCCUUCUAAAAAAAGUAAAACUUAAAUAUAGUAAGAAAAUCAGGUCAAAAACCCUAACAAAACGUACUCCCAUAACAUGGAGUAUUUUGAUUUGAAAAUAUUAUUCUUAAAAAGUUUAUAAAUAUUUUUGAGAUAUUGUUAUUAACAUAAAGUAUUUUAAUUUGAAAAUUAAUCGUUGAUGGAAUUCAAUCGAAAAAAUGACUGAACUAGAGUAUAAAAGGGUGCUAUACUUUUAACCCAAUAAAAUGCAUUGAUAUCAUUAAAAUAAUUACUCCAUUAAUAUUAAAAUUUAACUUUACUUAAACAAUAUAACACAAUCAUUAAUAAGAUUAAGGGCCAGUUUGAACAUGAAAUUUUUUCCCUUUUUUCCGAAAAAUCUUUUUGGAGUUGGAAAUUGUGGUGUUUGGCUAUGAAAAUUCGAAAAAUAAUUUUGGAAUUUUUUUCUGAAAAAGGAAAACAAAUUUUUGUUGUUUUCACAAUUUUCCAACUCAAAUUUCAACUUUUAUUAUUAUUACAUAUAACCCAAUCUUUUAAAUUUUUACAUAAAACUUUCCUUAUAACAUUACUUUUUCAAUAUUACGUAUAUAACAGUUUUAAAGAAUAAGAUAAUUAUAAUUUCAAACUUAAUGUUAUCCUAAUUAAUAUAUAUCUUUUUUUCUCUCUCAUCAUUAUUUUUAUCCCUUAUUUAAUUUUCUCUCUUAUUUAAGACAUUAUUUUACUGUUAAUUUAUAUUUAUACCCAUAAAUAUAUAAAAUAUUAUAUUUAUAAUAGAAAUAUACAAAAUAUGUUAUAUAUAAAGUUUAUACCAUGUAUAUAUCAUAUACACAUAUAAAUAUACAAAGUAUUAAGAAACAUACUAAGUAUAUUUAUAAUAUAAAUAUAUAUGAUAUAAAUAUACAAAGUAUGUUAUAUAUGAAGUUUAUACCAUGUAUACAUCAUAUACACACAUAUAUAAAAAUACAAAGUAUAAAGAAAUAUACUAAGCAUAUUUAUAUAUUUAUGGUAUAUGAUAUAAUAUACCAUAAAUAUGCAAAGCAUGUUUUACAUAUAAAUAAUUUAUUCAAACACAUAGUAAAAUCUUUCCUGUAUAAGAAAAUUAAAUAAAUAAAUUAGCGGCACCCUAAAAUUUAAUAACAACUCAUCAUUUCCUAUUUUUUAGGAGCAAAAAAUGAAGGAAAUAAAUUAAAUAAAUUUCUAAAAAAAUAAAUUUGUUUGAAAGAUAAUAUUUGUUACCUAAAAAACAAGAAGCAGUGAUUUGUUAAUAUAAUAUCCAUAUUUAAAAUUUUCAAAUAUGAAAAAACGACUAUUAAUGUAAAUAUUAUAUAUGUCACAAUUGAAAUUCAUUAAAUAUGAUCAUGUAUAUGUAAUUAUUUUUAUAAUAGUGACUAAUUGUGUUCUUUUUUAAUUAGUAGGUAAAUUUUAAUUAGGUGAUUUUGAUAAUUUGUAAAAGUUAGGGCAUAAAAUCAUAUUUAAAAAAAGUUUUUUUAAAAGUCAAUUUUUUUUUCAAAAAAGAUAUGACCAAAUACAAUUCUAACCUGAAAAAAUUUUAAUUUUUAUAGCUAAACGGCUACUAAUAUUAUAAAGUUAUACUAUUAAUAUUAUUUUGAUAAUAAGUGUGUCAUCUCAAUCUGAGUGAAAUCAAACAAAAAGAGUAGCAUAAAAUAGUUCAAGAAUAAAACCGGUUAAGCUCACGCAGUAAAUAGGUCAAAGAGUACUUCCACGUGUCACCAUAUGAUGAAGCAACUCAGGUCGGGUCGGGUCGGGUCGGGUUUUAGAGUUUUUAGCGGUAUAUUUAAGCCAACAAGGGUUUUACUUCGUCUCUACUCUACUGAGUUUUUCUUCCUCUUACAGCCGCACUCAGGAAGAAGAACAAAUAAAUUAUUUUCAUUUGUUUAUUUAUUUUUGUUACUGAAAUGGCUACUCUGGUUCCUCCUCCGUCAACUACUACAGUUCCACCGGCGAAUUCGAAUUCGGCGGCGGCGGCCGAAUCGGAGAAAAUUGAUUACAUGAAGUUGCCUUGUCCAAUUCCUUAUGAAGAAAUUCACCGUGAAGCUCUCAGUUAAUAUUUAUUUUCAUUUGCUUUUUCGAUUGUUAAUGGAUUCAAUUUGAGUAGAGUUAAAUGGAUAUAUAUAUAUAUAUAUAUAUAUAUAUAUGAUUUUUUUAAUUAUUAUUAUUAUUAUUAGUUUUUUUGAUAAUCGUGGAUUAUGUAGAAGAUUUAUGUAGAUGAAUACUGUAAUUGAGAAACUCUCAGAUAGUAUUUAUUAUCCUCUGCAUUUUUGCUUUUUAAUUAAUUGAAUUUGAGUAGAGUUAAAAUGAAUAUAUAUGAUUUUUUUUUAAUUAUUAUUAUUAUUAUUAUUAUUAUUAUUAUUAUUAGUUUUUGGAUAAUCGUGCUGUAGUUUGAUUAUGUGAACUUGCUUUGUCCCAUUCCGUAUGAAGAAAUUCACCGUGAAGUUCUCAGUUAGUAUUAUUUUCAUUUGCUUUUUCGAUUGUUAAUGGAUUGAAUUUGAGUAGAGUUAAAUGGAUAUAUAUUAUCUAUUAUUAUUAGUUUUUUGAUAAUUGUGGAUGUAGUUGGAUACUGUAAUUGAGAAGCUCUCAGUUAAUAUUUUAUUAUUUUUUUCUUUUCGGUUUUGAUCGGUUGUUGCUUUAAGUAUUAAUGAAAUGCGUUUAUAAGGACGCUGCGGUAUAGUUGAAAUGGAUCGGAAUAGAGCGUGUUAGAUGUAGAAGAUUUUAUGUAGCUGGUGCCUGUAAUUGAGCAGUAGUAUUAACCAUGAACCUCCCAGUUAGUAUUAGUAUUAUAUGGUUGUGGCAUUUAAAUAUCGGUUUGAGUAGAGUGAAAUGGAUAUAUAGGAUUUAUAAGGACGUGGUGGUAUAGUUGAAGUGGUUUGGAAUAGAGUGGAUUAGAUGUAGAAGAUUUAUGUAGCUGGAUCCUGUAAUUUACAAGCCGACAAGCUCUCAGUUAGUACUAUCAUCCUUUAUUUUUCGCUUUUGAUCAAUUGUUGCUUUGAAUUUGUUUAAUGAAAUAGAUUUGAGUAGAGCAAAGUGGAUAUAUAUAUAUAUAUAUUUUUUGAAACUGGUAAUUUGAGCGAAGUGGAUAUUUAGGAUUAUAAGGAUGUGGCGGUAGAGUUGAAAAAUUGACUAGCUCUAAGUUAGGAUUAUUAUCAUCCUUUGUUUUUCGCUUUUGAUCAAUUGUUGCUUUGAUUUUUUUAAUGAAAUAGGUCUGAGUAGAGCGAAGUGGACAUUUAGGAUCGGUAAGGAUGUGGCGGUGUAGUUGAAAUGGUUCGUAAUAGAGUGGAUUAGAUGAUUUGUGUAGCUAGAUACUGUAAUUGAGAAGCUCUCAGUUGUUGCUUUAUAUUUUGGUGAAUGGAUAUGUAGGAUUUAUGAGGAUACGGCGGUAUAGCUGAAAUGGUUCGGAAUAGAACGGAUUAGAAAAAGCUGGAUCCUGUAAUUGAGCAGUAUUAGAUUGUCUUUUGCUUUGUUCCAUGCCUUGUGAAGAAAUCCACUCCGAAGCUCUCAGUUAAUAUUUAUCAUCCUUCUCGUUUUGAAUGAAUAGAGUGAGUAGAGCGAUAUGGUUUUAUAGGAUUUAUAAGGAUGUGGCAGUGUAGUUGAAAUGGUUUGGAAUAGAGAAGAUUCGAUGUAGACGAUUUUAUGUAGCUGUAUCCUGUAAUUGAGAAGUAGUUGAUUUCCUGUUGUCUGCAGAUUGAUGUGCGUGUUCAAAGAAUUGAAAUGUGAUUUGAAGUGUGAAGUUUUAACUGUUACUGUUACGUCGCCUGCGACGGUGUAGGGAUGAAGUUUAAUGGUGCAAGUGUGCAAACCAUGCAUAUAAAUGAUAUUGUCUAAUUGAGAAAACUAUUGACAAGUAGAUCGAAAGUCGGAAAUAAUUAUUGUGGGAUAGGAAGUUAAACCAUACAUGUAUAGUAAAUGUACUUGCAUAAGAAGGAAGGUGAUGUGAGUGCGCCAUAAUCUAUGCAUCUAGAUUUUUAGUUUUCUAGGUGAUGACAUGAUAGAACCACACAUAUAAAUGAUAGACUAAUUGAGAAAACUAUUGACAAGUAGACCGAAAGUCGGAAAUAAUUAUUGUAGGAUAGGAAGUUAAACCAUACAUGUAUAGUAUACUUGCAUAAGAAGGAAGGUGAUGUGAGAAUGACAUGAUAUAUACAUCUAGAUUUAGUUUUCUAGGUGAUGACAUGAUAGAAUUAGAUAUACGUAGUUGAUUUCCCGCUCUCUGCAGAUUGCUUAACAUAUUCUAAGAAUUGAAAUGUGAUUUGGAGUUUUAACUUUUAAUAUUACGCCGCCUCCAAUGGUGUAGGGAUUGGGUUUCAUGGUGCAAGUCUGCAAGAUAAAUAUGUACAAAUGAUAUUGUCUGGUUGACGAAACUGCUGAUUAGUCGAUCUAAAGUCGGAAUCAAGUGUUGUAUGAUAGAAAGUUGAACUUAAACAAGCAUGUAUAGUAAAUAUAACUUGCAUAAUAAGGAAGGUGAAGCGAGAAUUACGCAAUCUAGACAUCUAGAUUUAGUUUUCUAGGUGAAUUACAUGAUAGAAUAAGAUUUAAGCAGUUGAUUUGUUCUUGUCCGUAGAUCGCUUUGCAUGUUCUGAGAUUUGAAAUGUAAUUUGAAGUAUGGAGUUUCAACUUUUAAUAUUACGUUGCCUCCAAUGGUGUAGGGGUUGGUUUCAUGGCACAAGUCCGCAAGAUAUAUAUACAAAUAAUAUUGUCUAUCUGAUGAAAUUGCUGCCAAGUAGAUCUAAAGUCGGAGUUAAGUAUUGUAGGAUAGGUAGUUAAACCAUAGAUGUAUCAUAAAUAGCUUGCAUAAGAAGGAAGGUGAUUCAAGAACUACAGAAUCUAGAUAUGUGGAUUGAGUCUUCUAGGUGAAUGACAAAAUAGAAUAAGAUAUUGAGCAAUUGAAAUAGAUGUAGAUGAUUUAUGUCUAGUAGUUGAUUUCGUUUUGCUUUGCAUAUAGAAAGAAUUGAAAUGUGAUUGAAAUGCGGAGUUUUAACAUUUAUAUGGUACGUCUCCUUCAAUGGUGUAGGGAUUAGGUUUCAUGGUGCAAGUCCGCAAGAUAGAUAUACAAAAUGAUAUUGUCUAAUUGAAAAAACUACAAACAAGUAGAUUCAGAGUUGGAAUUGUUGAAAAGCACUCUAGAAAGUAAGCAUUGUAGAGUAGGAAGUUAUUGAAUUUAACUUUCAUAAUAAGGAAGGUGAUUAGAGAAUGAUACAAUCUAGACAUCUAAAUUUAGUUUUAUAGGUGAAUGACAUGAUAGAAUAAGAUAUAAUUAGUUGAUUUAAUUUUCUCAUAACGUUUAAGGUUAUGGUUGCGAGUUUGCAAAAGAUGUAUACAAAUGAUAUUGUCUAAUUGACGAAAUUGCGGACAAGUAGAUCAAAAGUUGAAAUUAAGUAUUGUAGGAUAGGAAGUUAAACCAUACAUGUAUCGUAAAUAUAACUUCGAUAAGAAGGAAGGUGAUGCGAGAACGACAAAAUCUAGACAUCUGGAUUUAGUCUUAUAGGUGAAUGACAGAUAUAAGAUAGCUAAAAUUGAGGAGUCUUACGAGAGUGUUUUGCGGCAAGUUAGGUAUCUUCCGUUUUGACUUGUAGUUGAUUUCCUGUCGUCUGCAAAUUGCUUUGCAUAUUCUAAUAAUUGGAUUGUGAUUUAAAGUAUGGAGUUUUAAUUUAACAUUACGUCACCUCUGAUGAUGUAGAGGAUGAGGUUUCAUGGUGCAUGUCUGCUAGAUAUAUAUGCAAAUGACAUUGUCUAAUUGAUAGAACUACUGACAAUUAGAUCGAAAGUCGGAAUUAAGUAUAGUAGGAUAGGUAUAAGAAGUUAAACCAUACAUGUAUCGUAAAUAUGAUAGUGAAGUCGGACUUUUUAAGUCCGUGUAUAUCCUAAGAUCAAUGUCACUAAAAUGUAGUUGUUAAAAUGAAUGUGCAGUAGUAGAAUAGCUUUUGAAAGGAAAGAACUUGAUUUUACACAUUCGAGGAAUAAUUUCAUGUUGUUCUAUUUUGAUGCAAUUGAGGUUCUCAUGUCAUAUAUUUUCACAGGUUCUCUUACUUUUGAUUUUAAACUUUGGUAUAUAGGAUGUAAGAAAAUAGGUUAGGAAUGAUCACGUCCGAUAGAGGAUAUAAUUUGCGCAUGUAGAAUUCAAGGUAAGCGAAGGUCGUCUAUGAUUGUAUGACACUAUUUUAUUAAAUUACUAUAUAUGUUAAGAGAAAAUAGCUAAGUUUUGUAGUCCUUAGGGUUAAGUCCAAACUUUUAAUUCCUUGGUGAUGUGAAGUUGCUACUCAUGGAAGUUGAUGUUGCCUUUUUCUUGCAUAUUCCCGUUUUUGCCUUACUCUUUUUCUUAAGAGCAUUCCCUUUUGGGCCUUUGUAAUUGGUGUGACCAGGUAGUAACUUCGUAUGAAUCUCUUCUUGUCACUUUAAAUUACCUUUUUGUUAAUACUUAAUACUCCCCCCUCUUUAAAUUAUUAGUCACUUUAGCUCAAAAUAUUUUCCUAAAAUAACUGCUAAUACAAAAUUAAAAGCUUGCAAUUAUUUUCAACUACUCCCUUAUAGUUCCUUUUAACACUGUUCGAUCCUCAAAUAGCAUCUAUUAAAUUAAAGGUUGCAACUAUUUUCAACUACACCCUUAUUGUUAGAUUGUUAUGAUCUUUGUCUGAUUGUAAUUAUUUAUAUAUUUUAGAUCAUGUUAUUUUAUGAAUAUCUUAUAGUAUCUUAUCACUUGUGUCCUUUUUAUAUUUUCUACUUAUCCCGCUAAACUUCCUUCCUCAUAAAUAACUUUUUAUUUAAAAUUAUCCAACUAUGUGAUUCUUUAAUAGUUAUGAAGACCUAUCAACUAGACACAUUCAACGUGACAUUAGAUUCUGUUUAAUUAUAUCAGUAAAAAACAUUAUACAAAUUGUACUUUUUAAUUAAACUAAUGAGUUUGGGUCCAUGCUUAGCACAAACCUCAUGGAAUGAUGGAACUAGUAGAACUACAUAUGCAUCGGACCUUACAUGCAUCAAUAUGAUUAUGGAAGAUAAUAAAACGGAGUUGAGAUUACCAUGGCCCCUGCAAUGAUACACAGAUCAAGAAAAAAGAUGAGUUAGACCUAAAGCUACAUGAAGAGAAGUAUCACAACUCAUACGAUCUCUCAUAAUCAUGUGGAGCUAAGAAUAGAACACGAUGGAAGUGAGGAUCCAUAUAUGCUUUACCACUAGUUGCGACUAAGGCAUAGUUAUGGAUGUUACACUGAAAUUUGUUUUUUUUUUAUGAUUCAUUGUAUUCUAGUUACAUAGUUAUAGAGGGGCAAGUCUUAAGACUUGGAGAAUCUCUAGUGGUAGAUAACUCCAAUUUUUCCUUAAAAUGGCUCCCCGGUGCAAUAAUCUCUUGCUGUGCUCCGGUCCGGGGAAGGAAAGCAACAGUUGCAGAAUGAAAUGGGCCUUAAAGUAUAAAUUUUCUUAUUGAAUGAGAUAGGCUUGAAUAGCGGAAUCGAUACAAAGGAUUUAUCUAACUUGACCUCUACUGGUUUGAGAUUGGGUAUAAUUGAGUAUUUGUUGUGAAUGCUCUAGGUUUAGCAAGAAAUUCUGCCUCGACAUUCAAAUUCAACCGUGCAUUUUGGGAAAAGAGGUUGAGCUGAGAGUUGUUCGAUUGAAUGUGUGUACAUGUAAAGUUGCGUCAAGUAGUGUUCUUUAUUAAAACAUUAAGAGGUGGUUGUUGAUACCACUUCAAGGUUAAAUUAGUGCAGUGCUGCUAUUGCAGUUUUAGUGUUCCCUUUCAUGUUCAUAUUUGAUAAAGAUUUUUGGUGCUUUUUAAUCUGACACUCCUACAUUUCUGUUUGUUAUUAUUUUUGUGAACGGAAUAGCUAAUUCAUGUGUCUGUUGGCAGUGUCUUUGAAGCCUGAGCUUUUUGAAGGCAUGCGUUUUGAUUUUACCAAAGGACUUAAUCAGAAAUUUUCACUCAGUCAUAGGUAGUUCUUAUAUACUUAGAACAAUAUCAUAAUUUUUGUCAUGUUAUUCUCCAUUGCUAGUAUACUUUUAGUGAUAAUAAAAGUGUUCCUACCUUCUAUCAGUGUUUUAAUGGGGCCUACAGAACUUCCUACCCAGUCUGCAGACGUCGUUAAAAUUCCAACUGCUCACUAUGAGUUUGGAGCCAACUUUUUAGAUCCACAGGUCUGUAGUUGAAUUUAUUUUUUUCAAGUGCCAUGAACCCAGCGAGGAUCAAAUUAUGGCGACAAUUACUUACUACUAAUGCUACAGAUGAUGCUUGUUGGGAGAGUAAUGACAGAUGGGAGGGUGAAUGCUAGGGUGAAGUGUGAUUUGUCUGAAAAUCUUUCAUUGAAAGCCAAUGGACAGGUAAAUGGAUGCUAUCUGCAACUGUUGCUUUCCCUUCCAUACUUUUAUGUGGAGUGACUGGUAUAUCUCAUAAUUAUGAUCUUCUUAACAGCUAACUGGUGAGCCACACAUGUCACAUGGCAUGGCUAACUUCGAUUACAAGGUAAUUUGUUUAUGCAAGGGUAUUCACGCAUAUAAUUCAAUAAGAUUUAAUUGAUUCAUCCAGGCUAUAGUGGUCACACUUCCUAUUUCAUUCAAGUUGUACUAUGUUGCAGUCCAUUUGACUUGGGGAUAAUGAUUGUUUUAUGUCUUCAUUGUUGUUGUUGUUGUUAAUAAGGGUAAAGACUACAGAACUCAAUUUCAAUUUGGAAAUGGUGCAUUACUUGGAGCCAGCUACAUCCAGGUAUUAUAUACUCUUCAUUAAUAAUGAAAACAUCUUAGAAGACUACUUUCUACUUUUAUUUUCAAUACCUCUUUUUUCUUUAAUAUUCCCAUCAUAGCGUUUUGGUCUGAUACUUUCUUCCAUACCUACCUGGAAAACGUGUUUCUGAGCCAGGUCUACAGGAAACAGCCUAUCUAUCCUACAAAGGUAGGGAAAUGUCUAUGUACACCUCACCUUCCCUAGAUCCUAGUUGUGGGAAUGUACUGGGUAUCUUGUUAUCCUAGAAGACCGAAAGAAUUCAGAAAGUGAAUGGCCUUUUCUCAACCCAUUAUGUUUAUGAACUGUUAUAAUGCGUUAGACGUUUAUGUCCCCUAGAUCCUAGUUGUGGGAAUGUACUAGGUAUUUUGUUAUCCUAGAAGACCGAAAGAAUUCAGAAAGUGAAUGGCCUUUUCUCAGCUCAUUAUGGUUAUGAAUUGUUAUAAUGCGUUAGACGUUUAUGUCCUCAAGUUAUAUGAUGUAUCAUGAAGUCUCAAAUGUUUCAAGAAAUUUAUUGUACUCAAUAUGAUGAGUUGGAAAGUGUUUUAUCACUUUACAAGUGGAAUUAAAAGCCUAGUGAGUGGGGGAGAGAGCAAGGUGAACCAUCAGGAGUUCGCAUAGCAUCAAUUAUAGAUCAAUGGUAAUGUAAUUUGUGUAAAAUCAGAUUUACUUGGACGGAUAAAAUGCUAAAACGAGAUAAAAACACCAGUGACCUAUGUUGCUCGAACUGCUUAAAAAUAUCAAUGGGUGCGUGUCUGAUUCUCCAAAAGUAGUGUAUUUUUGGAGUAUCCGACAUGGGUGCAGUAUCGAAAGUGAAGAGCCCGCGCAACGUAGCCAGUGACAAAAUACUUUUGAGUAUUUCUUUACUAAUUACUUGAUUUAGUAACUAGACCCCUCCCUCAAUCCCUGAUGACUAAAAGGCACUGCUAACCACUCUAUACUCCCUUUGACCAAAAACUGUAUUCUGUGGCAAGAACUGUGACAUGCCACUCGAUCCACAUCAACGACAAGAACAACACCCACACCCAUUACUUCAUAAAAGCAAACAUUUCCAAUUAAAAGAAAACCUCCAUCAUUUACCUUUUCUCCAGAACGGCCAGUUGAAAUAGUCGACAAUUUCCACCAUCAUUUUCACUCGUAUUAAGUUAGCCAAUGGUAGCUAUAAUUGACGCUAUUGUCUUGCUAAAAAAUGUCAUGGGUUCAAGUCUUGUCAUAUGCACAUAUUCUUCUUUCUGGACAGUAAUGAAAGAUCAAUUGACAUCAACUAAAAUUGUUUAUUUUAUUUGCCUUCAAGAUGUGUUUAUGAUAACGAACAAACUACGGAAUUCAAAAACUAAGCUACGAUACGAGAAACGAAAAAUAAAGGAUAGAUGAAAGCAAAUAAAGAUAGACACAAGAAUGGAAUGGAUAGCAAACAUAGGGUAUAUCAAAUCCUUAAUCCUUUAUUUAAUAAUCCAAUCAAGCACCUAAACUCCUAUGUAGACCACAUGUGAAUCGAUUCCAAAGUAACCAACGUUUUCAAACGAGAAAUCAACACAAACUAAUCUAAGCUUACACACUCACAAGGGAGUAAUAGUUCAUUAGCAUCAAAGUUAUACUAAAAAUGAAAGAAAGCUCCUAUUUAUAGUCUAAGGUUAAUUAUUACUACUUAUGGGCCUAAAAGUGACUCAUUUGGAACAAGAAAGCACGACAACCUGCUUUGGCAUCCAGUUGAGUAUGUUGGGACACACUUCUGGAGCAUGUGCCACUGUUUUGACCUGCUCUAGCAGAUCAAGAGCAGGUUGGGCGCCACCCCAAAGCAAAAUGGGGCGCAUGUCACCUCUCGGGGGCUUUUUAGCCUCGUCGUGCACUCUUUUGACCUCUUCAAAGUCCCUCGACCCUCCUGAAGGUAAUCAUCAUCCAAUUGGCACCUUUUGAUAGCACUAAGGAGUCGUCAAGGACCUUUAGCAUCAUAAGCAUCCUAUCCAAAGGUCCGGAGGCAAUUUGGAUUGUCUCAUCCUCUCCUUAAAGAAGCUUCGUCCUCGAAUCUACAACCUUAAAGCACAAAAGAAGAAGAAACAACCAAUACAUCCUCGAAGCAUAAGGGUUAGCACAAGGGUUAAUAUUAAUAUAUCCAUGCCACGGGGACACCUACUUCACAUAUAACCAAACAUCCUUGAAAUCAAUGGAAGAUAAUUCAUAAUUUAAGGUGCAAAGGAAUUGGCUAUGAUAAACAUCAAGAAGCUCUCCAAAGUUGUUUUCAUUAGCAAGAUUAUCACGCAAAUCAUCAUACGCAAGUAGUCAUUAGGGUUUAGAUUACCUGAUACAAGCCGAAUUGGCUCUACUUUUUUGGGAUCUACGCUUCAAGGAUCACACCUAAGGAUCCAAGGCUUGGUUGUUCUAGGGGAGCAAGUACGUGAUUGGAGGAUAGCUUGGGAAGGAGCUAUACGUAAUGAUAUCAUUCGAGGAAGUAAUGAAUAACAUUGCAUUUGGAUAAUAACUUGGGCCCUAGAGAUCAUAGGCGCCAAUAUAAGGCCCAAUUAGCAUUAUGUUUGGCUCUUGGGUCACUUUUGGGCCCAAUGAGCAUUUAGGGUCACUUUUGGGCCCAAUUGUAGUAAAUGGCCUUGACCUAUAAAUAGCUAGGACUCUUUUCAAUUUAGGAAGAGGAUUUUGAAGUUAAGUUGACACUUGAGAGUGUUUUUAUUAAAACUUGUUGGGAGCUUUCUUGUAUUGUGAGAAACGUUGGUUGUGAGGGUUAAUGUCCCCCUCGGUCUUCGUAAGAGGUUGGUGCUUGUGAUAAUUCGAUAGGAAAGUCUUAGGGUUUAAUAUAUCCUUUGGUUGUCCUUUUUUAUCAUUUUGUGUCAAUCUAUCUAUUCUUUACUUUCAUUGUUUUCGUUCUCUUUAUUUCCUUGUUUUUUUGUAUUUAGUGUUUUUCUUUAUUUUUGUGUUGUUCCCAUCUACGUAGUUUACCUCGUAUCAUUUGUGGUAUCAGAGCCCCAAACCCUAUGAUACGAGGUAAUUUACGAAGAUGGGAACAACACAAAAACAAAGUAAAACACUAAAUUCAAAAACGCAAAACAAGGAAACGAAAAUAAUGAAAGUAAAGGAUAGAAAGAUUGACACAAAAUGAUAAAGAGAGGACAACCAAAGGGUAUAUUAAACCCUAAGACCUUCCUAUCGAAUUAUCACAAGCACCAAUCUCUUACGAAAACCGAGAGGACAUUGAAUCUUCACAAACGUUUUUCACAAUCCAAGAAAGCUCCCUACAAGCUUUAAUAAAAACGCCUCAAGUGUCAACUUACAUUCAAAAUCCUCUUCCUAGAAUGAAAAGAGUCCUAGCUAUUGAUAGACUAAGACUAUUUAUUACAAUUGCACCCAAAAAUGACCCUAAAUUCUAAUUGGGCCCAAGAGUCUAACAUAAUGCUAAUUGAGCCUUACGUUGGUGCCUAUGCUCUCCAGGGCCCAAGCUAUUAUCCAAAUGCGAUGUUCUAGUUACUUCCUCGAAUGAUAUCAUCAAAUAUAGCUCCUUCCCAAGCUACCCCCCAAUCAUGUACUUGCUCCCCUAAACGACCAAGUCUUGGAUCCUUAGGGUUCAAUCCUUGAAACAUAGAUCCCAAAAGAGUGGAGCCAAUUCUGCUUGUAUCAUUACCCUUCCUUUCACAACAAGCCAUGUUUACACACAAGACACUUUCAACACUAACAUGGCUAUCUUCACAAGCAAAGAAAAUGAAAUAAUAAAAGCUAUGAUUACGUAAGGUGCCUACCAAGAUCACAUGAAGGUAAGAACAAACAUCUUAAGCACCUCACAUCCCUCUCACUUGAACAACCUUCCAAGAAAGAUCCAACUUGUCUAUCCACAUUAGUGUGACAAGAAACAAAAGUUGUUUAUCAAUAGGGACCAUAGACUUUUCUUAGAUUAACUACUAGAUUGACCAUUCGGGUUGGGGAGGCCAUGCAUUUUAUGCACAUUCAAGACAUUCCAAAGGGUGGUUUGAGAGAUAUCAAUACCAUCUAACUUGGAUUUUAAGUCAAAUAUCUUGAAAAGGUUAUCUACCUUAGGUUAAAUGUCAUCAUGAAUCUAAUAAAUGCUAGAAAUAAGAGGGGUAGGUACAUAUCUUUGGAGCAAAGACUUGAGCUUGCUCUCUUGCCUUUUAGACUUGCACUAUGUGGACUUGCCCUCUCAUGCAUCAACUUGGAAGUUGGCAAAAUACUAGUGGCAAAGGUAGUAGACAAUAAGGGCUUGGGUUUGUCACUAAGCUCUCCUUCAUGACCAUAAAGCUCUUCAUCUUCACUAUAUAUCUCCCGCCUUAUCAUCAGCACCAACAACAUACCCAGUGUGUUCCCACAAAGUGGGGUCUGUGGAGGGUAAAGUGUACGCAGUCCAAACCACUACCUCAAUCUCCCGCCCCAUCAGAAAGUUAAAAUUUACGAUCUCUUCUUUUUGAGGCCAAACAUCUUUGUGGGAAGCUUUCAUCAGCAAUCCAUUUGGUACACUAAUGUCAUUUUCAGCUUCCGCAAUUUCCCCUUCACUCCAAGGUCUUCAAUCUCUUUGGUGUCUUACUCACAACCAUUUUCUUGGGUCAUCUUAUUCCCCAACAAAGUAAGCAUCACCUUCCACCAAUAAUAUGUUCCUUCGAUUGGGGAAUUCACGUGCCUUAUGGCCCCAACCUUGACAUUUAAAGCAAACAAUAACUCUAGGGUUGAUGUAGUAUUUAUUACCUUCAUUCUUUGGUGGAUACCUUGAGAUUGCCUUCUCAACUAGCUUUUUCUCAAAGGACUUGUUGAAAUCCUUGUUCUUGUUCUAUCCGGAUGAAGUAGAAGAAUUGUAGCCUUUAUUGAUGGACUUCAUUGCAUUGUUGUUCCUCUCAACCCCAAUGGCCGCUUCAACAAGGUCUUUUAUUUGUUCGAACUUGUGGACUACUAAUUGAGAAGCAAUGUCAUAGUCCAACCCACCUUUGAAUUGAGCCAUACAAUGAUUUGGUGGUUCGACUUCGACAAUCUCAAGACUAAGAAUCAAGUUUUGGAACUCCUCAUAGUAGGCGUCCACACCUCUACCUCCUUGUUGCAAAUUAUAGAGUUUGGUGAGUUGCUCUUGCUUGAACCUUUCCUUCAUAUAUCUCUCUCUCAUGAGUGCCCUCAAUUCAUUUCAAUCGGAAGGGUGGGAUUACCAUUUCUUUCUCGUUGCACUCUCUUAAUCUCCCACCAAGUAGAAGCAUUCCCUUCAAAUUGAGUGAUUGCAUGAGCGGCUUUCUUGUGUCCGGUUAACUCAUUGAGUUGGAAGAUCCUAUUGCAUUGUACUUUCGAAUCAAGGUAAAUUGAUGAAUCACUAGUUUCUUUGAAGGUAGGAAGGGUAAUCUUGAUGGAGUUAAGUCUCGUGUCUCGACCCAUAUUUCCUCCUUGAUCCCAUUGAUGAUCUUCUUGAUCUUUGGUUCGGUUUCCUAAGUUUCCUCUUUUCAUGGGGAACCGGACCAAAUCUUCCUCCUCGUUCUCUAGGUCCUCCCCCUUGAGCUCCUUGUCUAUUCCUUACAAAUUCCGCAAAGUGAGCCACUUCAUCCAACUCUUCAUUUCCUCCAUGAAGUUCCUCACCUCCUACAUCUUGAAUUUGGAUUGGUUGAUUGUGGUUAGCCGGGAUUUGAGGUGGUGAGUUUUGGUUAAGUGGGGCUUUAGGGAGUCCAUGGGGCAUUUGGACGUGUGGUUCUUGGUUUUGUGGAGUUUCUUGGUUAACUUGAUUGAAUUGGGGCUGUAGUGGAUGAACGGGAUUUCUGUAAGUAGUGGCUUGGAGGAUGGGAUCAUGUACUUGCCUCGGUGGAUUGUACAUUUGGUGGAGUGUUUCCGGAAUUAUAGUAGUGAAGGCAUUUUGAGCAUGCCCACUAGAGGAAGCAUGAUAGUUUUGAGGAGUGGUGGAUAUGGUGGAGUGUAGACGUCCUUCCAUGUUAACCAUCCUUCCAUCCAAUCCCGACACUUAACUUCGAACUUCAUUCACAUCUUGUUUCACACUCAUUAUGGCCGCCAUUAAAACUUCCAUAUUUAUCACUCCCGUAGUACUUUGGUUGUCAUCUCCCGGUGCCAUUGUAGCUAAUAAAAGAAAUACUAAACAAAAACAAAGACAACAAACAAGUUAAAGAGUUAAGAAAUCAACCUCACAAGCUCUCGGAGCACACACCUUUGUUUGUCUCUCAAUUGGCGUCGCAAGCAUUGAUGGAUCAUUUGUAUUCCAAUUAAAAGACUUGGUACCAAUUGUGGCUUGUGAUCGGAAUGGAUUCUUGUUUGAAAUUGAAAAGCAAACGUAAAAAUAAAUUAACAUACUUGAAUCAAGAAGGUUCAACGAAAACAAAAGAGAAAAGCACACAAGAACGGACAAGAAAGGAAUCGGACUCGAGAACUAAUUAAUCAACUAAUAGAUCAAUUACUAGUUGUUAAUUAGUAUUAAGAAUCAAAAGAUGAAGGUAAGAGUCGAGAAAUGAAGUUACAUUGAAGGAACCAGAGCAAAAUGAGUUUGGGAAGCUUUGAAAUGCAUUUGGUACCUGCUGGAGCAGAUCUGGGACAGAUCAGGCUGGUGCACCUCAAAUGCACAAGCUCCUGGUUUGAGCAGCUCUGCGCACCCCCAACGCAGAUGGGCCGAAACAGCUUGCAAAAUACGCGAAAAUGCCCUUUUGUGGUCCCCUUUUUGUCCUUUCUUUUGGGAUAUUCCUUGGUAUUAUGGAUAUGCUAUUGUACCAACACUUAUGCCCAUUUUCCCUUCCCCUUUCUUAGAUCAAACAACAACCUUUUGAUGAAUUUGGCUCUUGAAGAUAUGAAUUUCUUCAAGAACAUUAUGAACACCAAAAUUUUUCAGCUCUUUCACCAUUGCUCGGAAUGCGAUGAAAAUUUGAACCCAAGCAGUUUUCAGCCUUCUAAUCACAUUCCAAACAUCCUUGGGCCUCAAUUCUCAUCCAUUUCUUCAGAUUUUUAAGCCCACAUGCUAUUUCUUCAAGCAUGGUGAAAUUUUGAAGUUUCUCCAAAUGACACCAACUUUUAACCCUAAGUUUCUCUUAACGUAGAGAACACUUUUUCAACUAUUUCAGUCUUAAAUUUCAACCCAAAAUCUAUAGAUCUAAGAACCCACUUUCUUCAUAGUCAAGUUCAACAAUGGUGGCCUUCUCCAAUACUCUUCCAGACACACUAAAUGAUCAAGUUUUAGCCUAAAUUUCUCUAGAUGUAACAAAUCUAGUGUAGAAACAACAAUAAGGACUUAAAAACACAAUUCUUUUGGAGUUUUCUUUAAAACGUUUUGACACUUUUUUAUUUUCAAGAUAACAAGACCCAAGACCCAAGAUUGACUUUGUAGGAACAAAAUGAUGCUCGGUUCUGAUACCAAAUGAUACGAGAAACGAAAGAUAAAGGAUAGAUGAAAGCAAACAAAAAUAGACACAAGAAUGGAAUGGAAACCGUAAUCCUCUAUUCAAUAAUUCACUGUAGCAUCUAAACUCCUAGUAGACCACAAGGGAAUCGAUUCCCAAGUAACCAACGUUUUCAAAUAAGAAAUCAACACAAGCUAAUCCAAGCUUACACACACUCACAAGGGAGUAAUAGUUCAUUAGCAUCAAAGUUAUCCUAAAAAUGAAAGAAAACUCCUACUUAUAGUCUAGGGCAACUUAUUGCCCCAAAAGUGACACAUUUGGAACAAGAAAGCACGACUACCUGCUUUGGCAUCCGCUUGAGUAUGUUGGGCGCACUUCUGGAGCGUGUGCCACUAUUGUGACCUGCUCUAGCAGAUCAAGAGCAGGUUGGGCGCACCCCCAAAGCAGAUGGGGCGCAUGUCUCCUCCUGGGGGCUUUUUAGCCCCGUCUUGCACUCCUUUGACCUCUUCAAAGUCCCUCGACCCUCCUUGAAGGUAAUCAUCAUCCAAUUGACACCUUUUGAUAGCACUAAGGAGUCGUCAAACACCUUUAGCAUCAUAAGCAUCCCAUCCAAAGGUCCGGAGGCAAUUUGGAUUGUAUCAGUUUGGGGGUACAUAAAGAAUCCUUUUCUUUCAAUCGUACCCCAGCAAAGGUUUUCUUUAGGUGGGUUUCAUUUGAUUUGUUGUGGAUACUGGACUGGAUGAUGGAAAACCAAGCAAAUCUCGGAGCACGGUUUUGGGUGUGAAUGAGCAUUGUGGAUAUUGGUGGUUAGGCAUGUAGAUGGUUUACUCUUGUGUGACUAAGCGUUAGUUUUAAUAAGGUCAUCCCUCGGCAAAAGGACUUCAAAGUGGAAAUUCCUUUGCAUAGUUGUCAGAUUAGUUGUCUUGACGUUGCACGUUCUAUUUGUGUCAAUGGGAGGAAAGAUCUGAAAAGAGCAGGCAAUUAUGGCUAAGAUAGAGCAGAUGCAAUCCCUUUUUAGAAAGGUUGAAAAUUUUUCGGAAUUAAAACAUGAAGUAUCUAAAUAAAUUACCAAAAUUGGGUACAGUGUGUAUGGAUGUGCUUCUAUUGGCUCAAUUGCUUUCUGCUCUUCUUUAUAUGUGAAUUUGCUUCCAUCGCAUUAAUAAUUGCAAAAAGGCUGCUAGUAAUUGUUUUUAUGAAAGGUUGCUAUUAGUAAUUUACUUCGUUUGGUUUUGUUCCUUGAUGGACGCUCUACUAUAAACUUAGUAUUAUCCUCUAUAAAUUGGAUAGUGGAGACUGUAAUGGACUUUACUUAUUGAAAAGAGAGAGCGGAGAUUACAAAUGCUAUAGUAAUAUUAUCUUUCACUUUUGUUCCUGCGGGCCACGGGGAUAUCUGAUGAACUGGAAUGAUAUCAUCUACCAUUUAUUGGUCAAUCAUGGAUUCCUCGUGGUUCAUAUUAAAUACCAGAGAAUGAGUAUAGAUGUCCUGAUUGAUGGUCAAUAUUGUAUGCAGAUAGAUUGUGUGGUAUUAUGCUUUUAACUGUGCUAAUUGAACCUUUACGUGAUUGUGCAGAGUGUGACUCCACAUUUCUCUUUGGGUGGGGAAGUUUUCUGGGCUGGUCAGCAUCGGAAAUCUGGCAUUGGUUAUGCUGCUCGUUACAACACUGACAAAAUGGUAUUCUGCCUAUUACUAGAUGUUAGAACAUUUGGUCAUGCAAUCAUUGUUAUCUAUAUUUGAUGUAUUAUAAUGUUGUUCAAAAGGUGAAUGAUUUGUUUGGGAUCGAGGUGGUGUAGUUCUUAUUGUUAUUGUGUUGGUGAUACAUGGUAGCAGCUUGAGUUUCAUUGCUAUUUUUCUAUUAGUUUUUUAUGGUCACUUGCUAACUACUUCAGUUAAUUGAGAGGACUACUAUUUAUUUUUUCAGUUAUUGUCCUUCCUGAAAACUAACAUGUCUCAUACCCAGUGAGACAUUUGAUUAAAUGGAUGCUUUAUCUGAGGAUGUUUUUUCAAAAGCUACAACAUCAACGCCAUUGUCAUUAUUAUUCCUCCUCUGUGGUAUGAAUAACUUUAAAAUAAAAUUAAAUUGCAGGUCUAGCAGAUGCAAAAAGGUUUAUUUUUAUUUUGUUGUCUUGGUAAUUUCAAUGGUAUUGUUGAACAGGAACAUCAAAAUAUUUAUGUUUUUGAGUAUUAACACUCCCAAAGAGCACAUUUCUAUUAUAUUUUCUAUUGUCGUUUUACCAGCAUUAAUUACUUGUAGCUGUCUUUUUUCUUAGGUGUCUUCAUCUUUCCAGGUUUAUCUUUAUUUAAGGUUUACACAUUAUUCAGCGUUUGUUAAUAUAUCUGCAGGUUGCUGCGGGGCAAGUUGCUAGUACUGGAAUGGUGGCACUGAGUUAUGUUCAGAAAAUUUCUGAAAAGGUUUUAAGAAUCACUAGUAUCUCAACUACUACAUUUGUGACUGCUUUUGUUAAACUCUUUUUAUACAUGCAGGUGUCGCUAGCAUCAGACUUUAUGUACAAUUACCUGUCUAGAGAUGUUACAGCAAGCUUUGGUUACGAUUACUUUCUUCGGCAGGUAACCUUUUGUCGCUUUCCCAAAAUCUAACUUGAUAUCCUGCAGCCUAAUGUUGCUCUUGGUACGUCUAGUUCUUGUGUAUUUGCAGUAGUUUUGCAGUUUCUUGUUGGCUCUGAGGGUGUAGUUUUUCCUAGUUUCUAACCUGGUGAUCAGAUCUUGUUAACUGUAUUAUUUGCUGCAACUGUGGAGAGUCUAAUGAAAAAUGAAAGAUCCAAAUUUAAUGCCAAUAUUCAGUAUUUUUUUCAAAAGAUCAUUUCUUACCCUUAGGUUUUGACACCUUGAUGGUAGAAAAACGCUAUCAUUAUAAUCCAGUUUAGGUUAAAAGACCAACUACCAUCUCUUUCCUGUAUAUUGCAUGGACCAACUUGGUCUGUGCCUAUGAGUCCACGUGCUUGCUUCGUAAUUUUUUUGUUGAGAAGGGAACCACUUCGGGUAUCCUUUAGGUGUGCACAGGGGUAAACCCCAUUCAACUGCAAUGGCCUGCAAGCCACACAAGAGAAGUAAAUCGCAUUAGGCAAGCCUCGUGCGACUAACUCGGCCUCCCUUGCGGGUCUUGCUUGCGUUCAUUUACCACUGCUUUCUUCAUGAGUUAAGAUUAAUGUACUACUAGGUCACAACCUUGGGUGUAGUAGGCAUGUAGAAACUUUUUGUGUGCGGCUAUUAUGCCUUUUGCAAAGGGUUAUGAAAGCUCAUUAAGUUGAUGUUUGUGUGACUGCAUUGCAACUUUAAUGCUUACUGAAUCAAAUAUUAUUUGUGCAUGAUAGUGUCGUCUCAGAGGGAAGAUUGAUUCCAAUGGAUGUGUUUCUGCGUUCUUGGAAGAACGCUUAAACAUGGGGCUGAACUUCAUUCUGUCGGCUGAGGUAGGUGGCAUAUGAACUUAUUUAUCUUAUUGUAGCUCCUUUACAACACGCAUGUUCCAAUUCUCGCGUUUCCAUCUUGGUUGAGAUUUGAAACUGAAAUAUGAGAACUUCUUGAUUUUCCCCAACCCAUUUGCCUUUGCUUCUAAAUUUCACCUGUUCUUUUUUCUCCUUUGUAUAACCGAGUCAUUAGUAACCUAACUGUUUUCCUUUAUUGCUUGUUCAGGUCGAUCACAAAAAGAAAGACUAUAAGUUCGGCUUUGGACUCACAGUCGGAGAAUAAGGAGGCAGGCAACGUAGACAGGGAUUUAGGUUUUAAUAUAUGAGAGCAAGAUUAAAAUCAAAAGCGUCUUAACAAGUGAUGUUUUUUCCUCAGCGAUAAAAGAACCGAAACAUCAGUUUUGUAUUUUUAUCGUUCGACAUUGUUUCUUUGAGACAUUCUUUAGACACACCAAUAGUUGAUUUUCCAACUUGAGAUAUUCUUUAGACAAUUUAGAAUUGUAGAAUUGACUUGUUAGAAAGAGAUGUACCAUUCUGGUUUUACUGCAUCUGGCUACUAUGUGCUUAAUAAUUUUACGGUUGAAGUUAAUUUAGAGUUCAGUUUAUUGCAGAGGCAAACAAUUUUUCUUUGAGAUUUUGCAGGUGUUUAAAUAUCUUUUAUCUAUGUGAAAAUUGCCAAAGAGAUGAGAUGUUGGUUAAUUUCAUCUCACUUGGUAACUGUGAUGGAGAAGCAGCACGUAUCUAUUGAAAUAGAUGUAUGUUUGCCAGUUCAACUACAACAUAUUCAGUAUAUUUUCACCAAGUGGUGGUGGGUGUGGGGGUCGUAAGUCUACACAUUUCAUAGCACUAUCUCAGAGGUGAGAUAGAGGUGGUUUCUAAUAGAUUUCUGGCUUAAGAUAAAACAAUUUAGAAAAUGAAUAGCAAAAUGACAAGAACAAUAGAUAUUACGAUACCCAAUAAUAUUAUAGAUAAGAUUUAUCAAGUAAUAUAAUACAUAAUACAACAUUCUGAAAUAAUACUAAUACUAUAGCUAUUAAUAUGGAUAACAAAGUCCUAUCUACUAGCAUUGAUGCAUUCGUUCUAGCUAUCUUAUAUGCUAAGCUGUCUUUCCACACCUUUUUAUUUGGGUUAUAUCCUUGGUAAGCUGAAGUUGCUCUAUGUCAUGUCUAAUUACCUCCCUCCAAUAUUUCUUCGUUCUAUCUCUAUCUUGUCUAAAUCCGUCCUAGCCAAUUUUUCACACCUCCACACUAAAACAUCCUGCAAAAAUGACAAUCAUUGACAUUGUACAAAAGAAUGUGGUGAUUUAUUGAAAUUUACUAUACUUGGUUGUGUUCUUUCAUGCGUAAUUAGUUAGACUACAGCGUUUUGGGCUAGUAAUAAUAAUGAAUUCUAUAAAUGGCAAUUUCUUGUCAAAAGGUCAUUUUUCCAAUCAUAGUAUAGUUUGGAGUUGGAACACGUAACAAAGGCAAGAGGAUGAUGUUGGUAGAAUUGCACUGAUAUUAGCGUUCAAGUGGACACACCCGUUUAAUUUAUUCAUUUUUACUUAUCACGUUUUGCUUCUACAGAGUAAAAUUAUAAGCUUUGAGCAAUAUUUUAAAAUGUAUUUUUCCAUCAUUUAAUGCGAGAAAAUUACAAUUUAUAAUAUUUCGUAUAAUUUUCGAGCAUUUAAAUUUUAAAAUAUUGAAUUUAACUCAAUUUAGCUUUAAAGAUUAGUUAGAUCAACUCAUGUGAGGUAAAAUAUGAUAAGUAAAUGUGAAUGAAGUAAGUAUAUUAAAAGGAAAGAGGCUAUUAGAUAUGACAAUUGAUUGAGGACAUGGUACUAGAUAUGAGAAUGUGAAGGUUGAAGAUUAGGGGGCACACUUAGGGAUCGUUUGGUAGAGACUAGAGUGUAUUAAGAAAAAUAAUGCUUGCAUUAGCUUUGUGUAUUACUAAUACCUUGUUUGGUACGCCUUUCAUUUUGUGUAGUACUAAUGCAUACAAAAUUCAUGGUAUUAGUGAUGCAAUAGGGCUCUAAUGCAUGCAUUAGUAUGAUUUUAAAUUAUGCAAAUUCAUGUUAUUUUUAAUAUAUCAAACCAACAUAAAAAUAUACAAACAUAAUUAAUACACAAUAUUUUACACUAUUUUUAUACACCAUCUUUGCUUCUAUUCUAUUUUACUUGAUCUUUAUACUAAAACUAAAUAUUUCAAUUCACUUUCUCCAUUUCAAUAUUUCAAAAUUAGGGCACUUGGAGAGAUUUCCUUAGCCAUUGAAAAUGAAGAAUUUCUUUAAGUUUGCUACGGUUAAUGGAACAAGGGAACAUUAAGCCCAACUUAUAUAUCUACAACAUUGUUGCUGAUGCCCUUUGCGAAGAUGGAAACUUAUAUGCUGCUAUCAACCUUUUGAAUGAGAUAAAGCAGAAAGGCAUUCUUCCAGACAUAGUCACAUAUAGUUCAUUAAAUGAUGAUUUAUGCAAGCUUGGUUGGUGGGAAAAGGUUAAGACUCUGUUCUUUGAGAUGGUGAAUCUUAAUAUUUAUCUAAAUGUACAUACCUUCGCCAUACUAAUAGAUGGACUAUGCAAAGAAAGAAAUGUCGAACAUGCCAAGGAAGUAAUGAGACACAUGAUCGAAAAAGGUGUUGAGCCUGAUGUAAUCAUCUACAAUGAGAUAAUAGAUGGAUAUUGUUUGCGUGGUCAACUAGAGAGAGCGAGGAGAGUUUUUGAUUUCAUGAUAGAUAAGUGCAUUGAGCCUAGCAUCAUUAGCUAUAGCAUACUAAUAAAUGAAUAUUGUAAGAAAAAGAAAUUUGCUGAGCCCAUGCAGUUCUUUUGUGAAAUUUCGGAUUAAAACCUAGUACAGUUACCUACAAUACUAUCUUGCAAGGUUUGUUUGAAGUUGGAAGAACUGAUGAUGCAAAACGCAUUUAUGUUGAGAUGCUAUAUGCGGGGCCCAAACCUGAUAUAUGCACUUAUGCCACUUUGCUCGAUGGUUAUUUUAAAUAUGGAUUUGUUGAGGAAGCUAUCUCACUCUUUAAUAAGUUGGAAAUAAAGAGAGAAGAUACUAAUACAGUUAGGAUCGAUUUGCGUGCACACACACUAGAUCUAUGGAGAGGAUGAAGAAAACUAGAGAGAAAGUUCUUGAGGAGAGAGAUGUGUGAGAAUUAAUUUCGUGGAAACACCCGUGGGUAAACUCCACGGUGGAUAGGCUAUUUAUAUUAAUGAUUCAGAGUAUGUACAGUUACACAGAGAAAUGAGAAUAAAAGGUUCAACAGCAUGAAAAUUAAUAUAUAACAGUACAUCACAUAUUAAUCAGGCUCCACAACCCAACAAUUCUCCCACUUGGAGACUGAUUCUGUCAUCCAAGAAUUACAUUCUCAAAAAAAAAUAUAUUCCUUCAUCAUCAAUAUGUUUGCCGCAUUGCAACAUCUGUAGACACAACUACAGAAGACCAACUAAGGUUUUGCACAACCUUAGUUUACCAACAUUAACACAUUUUGUCAACAUGUCUGCUGGAUUCUUUUCACCCUCUAUCUUUUCCAAACACAUAUCACCUUCUUCCACUGCCCUGCGAGUGAAAUGAUAUCGUCUUCUAAUGUGCUUCGUCUUCGAAUGAUAGACCGGGUUCUUCACCAACUGUAUAGCACUCUGGCUAUCUGUGUAAAGAAUCUUCUCACGCUGAUUCUUGCCCAAUUCUUCCAGAUAAUCUGCCAGCCGUAUCAUCUCCUUUCCAACUUCAGCUAUUGCCACAUACUCAGCCUCAGUAAAUGAAAGAGCAAUGCACUUCUGAAGCCUGGACAUCCAACUCACUGUUGUACCACCUACUAUGUAAAUGUAUCCGAAAGUUCUCUUGCUCGAGUCUACAUCCCUACCAAGAUCAGCAUCAACAAAACCUUGCAGAAUCACUUCGCCAUUGCCAAAACAAAGUGAAGUACUGGAUGUAUCUCUCAGAUAUCUUAGAAGCCACUUCACAGCUUCCCAAUGCUCUUUCCCGGGGUUUGCCAUGUACCUUUUAACAACUCCCACUGCAUGUGCUAUGUCAGGUCUAGUGUAGACCACAACAUACAUCAAACUCCAACUGCAGAAGCAUAUGGAACAAGUGCCAUGUGCUCCCACUCCUGAGCUGUCUUCGGUGACUGCUCAUUUGACAAUUUUAUGUGAUUUGCCAAUGGAGUAGUCCUAGGUUUAGCAUCAUUAACUCUGAAUCUAUCCAGCACCUUCUCAACAUAAUGCUCUUAGGAUAGAUUCAAAGUGUCAACAGAUCUAUCUCGAGAAAUCCUCAUCCCAAGAAUCUGCUUUGCUGCACCUAAAUCUUUCAUCUCAAACAUAGAAGAUAGACUUGCCUUCAGAGAGUUUAUCUCCUUCAUACUGGAUCCUGCAAUCAACAUAUCAUCCACAUACAAGAGUAAAAAUACAAAAGAAUCAGUGUAUUUCUUGAAGUAGCAACACUGGUCCUUUUCACUCCUGCGGAAAUCACUCUUGCUCAUAAAAGAGUCAAACAUCUUAUACCACUGUCUAGGUGCUUGCUUCAGCCCAUACAAGCUCCUAUUGAGCUUGUAUACUGUGUGUUCCUUUCCUGGAACUACAAACCCCUCUGGUUGCUGCAUAUAGAUUUCCUUAUCCAAAUCUCCAUGUAAAAAUGCAGUUUUUACAUCCAUUUGCUCAAGAUGCAAAUUCUCUGAUGCAAUAAUACUCAAUAAAAUUUAGAUAGUAGUUAAUUUCACAAUAGGAGAAAAUAUUUCAUCAUAAUAAAUACCUUUCCUUUGUGAAUAUCUUUUAACUACUAACCGAGCCUUGAACCUUCUUUUGCCAUCUGGUUCUGCCUUGAUUCUGAACACUCACUUGUUCAACAAGGCUCUCUUCAACAUCCACGUGUUAUUCUUCUUAAGUUAUCUCAUCUCAUUAUCCAUGGCUUGCUCCCACUUGAUUAAAUCCUCAACUUGCAAGGCCUCAGCAACAGACUCUGGUUCCCCUUCAUCAGUCAGCAACAGAUAAUGUAAUGAUGGUGAAUACCUAUCUGGUGCUCUAAUGGUCCUGGAUGAUCUUCUCCAAGCCUUCUCAGAUGCCACUUGCUCCACCCCUGGUUCUUCAACGACAGUUUCUAGAGUUUGUUGAGUUUUUGCUAUAACAUCUUUGGGUGUACUCUUCGGUAACUCAAGCUCAACUCCCACUUGCUUUGUGGUAUCUUGAACCUUUUGCUCUCUGUCCUUGUACAAUACAUUUUCAUCAAAUGUCACAUCACAAUAUCUUAGGAUCUUCUUGUUCCUAUCAUCCUAAAACCUGUACCCAAACAUGUCAGAACCAUAACCUAUAAAGUAGCACUUUAUAGCUUUAGCAUCAAGCUUAUCUCUCUUCUCUGGAUGAACAUGAACAUAAGCAGUGCAACCAAAAGUUCUCAAGUGAGAAUACUUGAGUUCUUUUCCUGUCCAUACUUCUUCCAGAAUGUUGAAACCCGAAGGAACUGAUGGUUCCCUAUUGAUCAAGUAUGCAGCUGUGCUUAUAGCAUCUGCCCAAAAUGCCUUAGGCAACCCACAGUGUAUCCUCAUGCUCCUUGCACGCUCAUUCAAUGUUCUGUUUAUUCUUUCAGCAACUCCAUUCUGCCUUGCCUUCCCGGGAACUGUCCUGAUCAAUCUGAUUCCCUCAGCUACAUAGAAUUGUUUAAAUUCUGACUUGUCAUAUUCUCCUCCAUUAUUAAACCUUAGGCAUUUGAUUUUCAAGCCAGUCUGAUUUUCAACUUCAGCUUUCCACCUCUUGAAAGUAGCAAACACAUUUGACUUAUGUUUCAAGAAGUAAACCCAUACCUUCCUACUGAAAUCAUCAAUGAAGAUGACAUAGAAUCUUGAUCCACCAAGUGAUAACACAAGAGAUGAUCCCCUAACAUCUGUAUGGACCAUUUCCAACCGUACUUUCUUUGGCUCUCCCGUAUUCUUCGUGAAGCUUACUCAUUUUUGUUUACCCAUGACACAACUCUUACAAAGACCCAUAUCAACAGAUUUUAGCCCCUCUAAAUCUCUUUUUGCAGUCAAAAUCUUCAUUCCUUUAGCACUCAUGGGUCCAAGUUUGUUGUGCCACAUACAUGAACCGGAAGCACCCUCACCAACAACAACCAUGUUUAUACACCCUGCAGUGGUGUACAAAGUUCCAAAUUUUGUGCCACGUGCUACAACCAUAGCACCCUUCACAAUCUUCCAUGAACCUUUCCUAAACUCUGUUGUGUAGUUUGUGCUAUCCAACUGACCAACAAAGAUCAGAUUCUUCUUGAGACCAGGAAUAUAUCUGACAUCCUCUAAUGUCCACUGAUUUCCUGCCGGAGUUUUUAUGCAGACAUCCCCCUUUCCUUCAAUCGCCAACGGCUUGUUGUCAGCAAGAUACACCUUUUCAAAAUUUCCAGACUUGAAAUAUUAGAAUAAUUCCUUGCUUGGAGAUAAAUGAAAAGAUGCAGCAGAAUCCAAUAUGGAUUCAACUGGCUGUCCACACUAAGGAUUAGAGCAUCCCCAAUGUCUUCUGCUGAAUUAAUAAAAUCAUUAUCAUCUCCAAAUUUUUUAUUCUUCUUCUUCUUGGGUUUCUUACAAUCUGUUCGAAAGUGUCCUUUCUCUCCACAAUUACAACAUGUCACGUUGGGUUUUUGUGGAGAUUUUCCAAGAUUCUUUGAUCUUGAUCUGCCAUGUGUAUUCUGACCCUUUGAUUGGUCUCUUCCCCUUUGGUCAGCACUGAGAGCACUACCAGAUGACUCUCUAAUUUCUCGUUUGCGAAUGCUUUUGCUAAGAACAACAUCUCAAUUUCAUCAAACUUCAGUUUCUCAGAUCCACAAAAACUGCUAAUCGUAGCAACAACAGUAUCCCAAGACUCGGGCAGAGAUGACAUCAAAAUCAAUGCUUUAAUUUCAUCUUUGAAAUUAAUAUCCACAGAACACAGUUGACUAACAAUUAUAUUGAACUCGUUUAUAUGAUCAACAACAGAUCCAUUCUCAGAUAUCUGUAAAUUGAAUAAUCUACGCAUCAAAUAUACCUUGUUCAUUGCAGAUGGUUUUUCGUACAUAUUUGAUAGCACCUUCAACAGAUCGGACGUGGCCUUUUCCUUGACGAUGUUGAAUGCCACAUUUCUCGAUAAAGUCAACCGGAUCAUCCCUAGAGCCUGCCGAUCCUUGAGCUUCUACUUCUCCUCUGUCAUGGACUCUGGCUUCACCACGGUCAAGGGUUCGUAAAGAUAUUUCUGGUACAAAUAGUCUUCGAUCCGCAUCUUCCAUAAACCUAAAUCAGAUCCAUCAAACUUCUCGAUUCCAAGUUCGAUCCUUCCAUCUUCAGUGAUCGUGAUGAAUCUCCUAUGCUUUGAUACCAGUUGUUAGGAUCGAUUUGCAUGCAGACACACUAGAUCUAUGGAGAGGAUGAAGAAAAUUAGAGAGAAAGUUCUUGAGGAAAGAGAGAUGUGUGAGAAUUAAUUUCGUGCUAACACCCAUGGGUAAACUUCACGGCGGACGAGCUAUUUAUAUUAAUGAUUCAGAGUAUGUACAGUUACACAGAGAAAUAAGAAUAAAAGUUGAAACGCGUGAACAUUAAUAUAUAACAGUCCAUCACAUAUUAAUUAGGCUACACAACCCAACAAAUACUGAAUUUUACAAUAUUGUCAUUAAUGGAUUGUGCAAAAAUGGUAAACUCGUCGAAGCUCGUGCUAUUUUUGAAAAGCUUUGUUUCAUUGAAUUGCUUCCGGAUGUGAGAACAUACAAUGUAAUGAUUAAUGGAUUUUGUCUUGAAGGGUUGUUUGCCGCAGCUAAAGAUAUUCUAAGAAAAAUGGAAGACAACAGUUGUUUUCCAAAUAAUGCCACUUAUAAUGCUAUCAUGCAAGGAUUUCUCAGGUGUAGUAAAAUUAGUGAAAUGGCUUUUUUCAUGAUGGAAAUGGAUGGAAAGGACUUCUCAUUUGAUGCAACUACAGCUGGGCUUUUGGAUGACGUUAUAAAAGAGAAUCGUUUUGUCCUUGACAUGAUAUCGGAGUGCUUCAAUUGAAAAUUAAGAAGUGAAUAUUUCUUCCACUUGGUUUAUUUGGCUACACUAUGGCUUCUAUUGUCAUAUUUUAAAGCUUGGUUUUUGGAAGACGAAGGGAAGGGAUUUAUUUUGAAGAUGUAGAAAUCUUUCUGCAGUUCCCUACUGCAAUUGUUUUUUUGAUCUAUUCUUUGCAUGUUACUUCAAGAAUAUGUGUAAAAAAAUAUUUUCUGCUUUAUCUUACAAUUCAACAUUAUGUUAUAAUUCACCCCGAGGGCCACCUUUUACACUUGAUGGCUACUGCCGGAGCUUGUUCUUGUGCAGCAGAUAUUUCAAUGACAAGAGAAGCACGAAUAAAAAGGUAUGUCGAGAAUGGAUCACCUUGCCUUAGACCCAUCUAAACUUCUUAGUAGGGCAAAAACCUUCUGUAGUACCAUUAAUAAUGAUAGAUAACUCUAAAAGUAGUGAUAAAAUACUUAUUCAAUGUAAUAAGAUGAGAUUUUCAACAAACUAAGAACUUAAGAGAAGCUGGAAUAAGAAAUCUAAUGCUACGUGUCUGGGUGGUGUUUUUUGUAAAGGAACUCUAAUGUUUUCUCGUGCUUCAUUGUGUACCCGUGUUGCGUUUUCUUCUUACUUAGUCCUUAGCCAUCUUCUCGUUGAAGUUUUACUGCAUUCUUGCAUCGAAGAUUUCUCUUUUUGCAAAGUUAAUUAAGGACUUAUUGAUGGAUUUUCCAAUGCCCCAUCGGCACCAACUGCCAUAUAUGCAUCUUUGUUAGUGUUAAGCAUGACCCAAGUGAGACCAAAAAUAGCAAAAAACAUGUCCCAAAAGAAUUGCUACAACUGUGCAAUGCAAAUGCUUUACACUUGCAAAAUUUUUUACGCACAUAUAGCAUCUGUUUACAGUUGGUAUUUUCCUCUUACAGUUGGGCAUUGUAGCACCUGCAAAAUAGUUUACUUCAGGUGGCAAUUUUGUCUUCCAGGUGAGUUUUCGGUUAGACUAUGAGAUUUUUCUAAGAUAGUCUUUUAUUUAAUAGUUUCUUUUAAUAUUAUAUGUUUAGUUUUUUUUUAAAAUAAAUGGUAAUCCUUAUUUUGAGAUAGCGUGUCUUGAAAGAUACUAUGAGAUGUGUCUUGUAAGACUCAUAUAGCUUAUAAGUGGAGUAUUUUGUAAAAUGUGAUAAUGAUGAAUGAAUGAAAAGCUACUGCUGAAACCUUCCUUUUUUCUUCUCUUAAGAUCCAAAUUAUAAUAGUGGUAUCAGAGCCGAUCUUCUUGAGGGAUCUGUGAAGGCUUAAAGAUAAUUUUUUUUUUUUUUAGAUCUUCUAAAAAAAGAGACCUGAACAACAGUAACAUGGCAUCCAACAACUUCUUGGGUGCAAGUCCUCCUAUAUUUACAGGAGAAAAUUAUCACAUAUGGGUGAUAAAGAUAAAGGCUUAUCUUAAAGCUCUUAGUCUUUGGGAAGCAGUUGAAAGUGAAAAUGACCCCCCUGCAUUGGGACCAAAUCCAACAAUUGCAUAAAUGAAGAAUUAUGAAGAUGCAAAGUCCAAGAAACCAAAGGCUCUUACUUGUCUUCAUUCAGCACUUUCAAAUGUGAUUUUCACAAGAAUAAUGGCUUGUGAAACACCUAAAGAAGUAUGGGAGAAGCUAAAAGAGGAGUUCGAUGGAAGCGACAGAGCGAAAUCUGUCAAACUCUUAACUCUCAAAAGAGAAUUUGAGAUGUUAAGGAUGAAAGAAGGAGAUACCGUGAAGGAGUACUCUGCCAAACUUCUGAAAAUUGUAAACAAAAUAAGAUUAUUUGGUAAAAAAUUUCCAGAUUCAAAGGUGGUGGAGAAGAUGAUGAUAAGCUUACCGGCAAGAUUCGAGUCCAAGAUUUCAGCAAUAGAGGAAUCGUGUGAUUUGAAUACUUUAUCUGUCACAGAGCUGGUUAGCAAGUUGCAAGCAAAAGAACAAAGAACAAGUAUAAGAGACGAAGAACUAGAAGAAAUGGCAUUUCAAGCAAAGCACAAAGGCAAGUAACCUGUGAAGGACAAUAGGAGAAUGGAAAGAGAUAAAGCAGCAAAGAAAAAGUCAUGGACUGAAUCUUCACAGAAAGGAAAGUUUCCACCUUGCGUCCACUGUAAAAGAACCAACCAUCAAGAAAAGGAUUGUUGGUUCAAAGGAAAGCCAUCAAUUCAGUGUAAAUUUUGUAGAAAAAUGGGUCAUAUUGAGAAAAAUUGCAGGGCAAAGUAGAAUCAUCCACAACAACAUGUUCACAGCAGGCAAAUUUCACUGAAAAGUCAGAAAAAGAAGAAAGCUUAUUUAUAGCUGCUCAUGAAGAAAACAAAUCCAACCAAUCCAAAUGGUUCUUAGAUAGUGGGUGCACGAGUCACAUGUCAUAUAAUGAAAUCAUGUUUCACACACUUGACAAGUCACUUAAAGCUAAAGUUAGAAUGGGAAAUGGUGCAACAUUAGAAACACAUGGAAAGGGUUCAGUUUUCUUUCAAACCAAACAAGGUACAAAGCUUAUACAUGAUGUGUUGUAUGUUCCUUCUUUAGCAUGUAACCUGUUGAGUGUUGGCCAAAUGAUGUCUAAAAGCUACUCCUUAUUUUUUAAGGGAAAACAUUGUUUGAUCUUUGAUAUUGAUGAUACUUUGAUUGACAAAGUAGAAAUGAUGGAUAGGAUCUUUCCAGUAGAUGGAAAGUUUGAUAGUGCCAAUUUUGUAAAAUUGGAUGAUUCAUGGUUAUGGCACAGAAGAUAUGGGUAUUUUAACUAUGCUACCUUAAAAUUUAUAUAUGAGAAGAGCUUGAAUAAGGAUUUACCUGAGACCUCACUUUCUAAAGAAGUGUAUGGGUCAUGUCAGAUGGGCAAGGUUCACAGGAAACCAUUUCCUAAAAGUGCUUCAUGGAGGGCAACUGAAAAGCUUGAACUUGUUCACACUGAUGUAUGUGGACCUAUGAAGACAUCAUCCUUGGGCCAAAAUAAAUAUUUUGUGUUGUUCAUUGAUGACUUCACAAGGAUGACUUGGGUGUAUUUGUCAAUAACAAGUCUCAAGUAUUUUCAAUUUUGAAAAAGUCUAAAGCUUUCGCUGAAAAACAGAGUGACUGCAAGCUGAAGGCUUUAAGGUCAGACAAUGGAGGUGAAUAUACUUCAAAUAAGUUCAAUAAGUACUGUGAAGAUGCAGGGAUUGAUCACAAGAUGACAGUACGUUAUUCACCAAAACAAAAUGGAGUCUCAGAGAGGAAGAAUAAGACGGUAGUUGAAAUGGCUAGAUGUUUGUUGCUUGAAAAGAAACUACCGCAAAGUUUUUGGACAGAAGAUAUUUCUACUUCAAUUUAUUUUUUGAAUAGGCUGCCAACUAAAGCUAUGGGUGAUAAAACUCCUAUUGAGGCAUGGAGUGGAAAAAGGCCAUCUGCCAAGCACUUAAAAAUCUUUGGUUCGAUAUGCUAUUCUCAUGUUCCUUCAGUCAGAAGAAGCAAGCUUGAACCAAAAAGGUGAAUUGGGGAUCUUUAAUGGUUAUUCAUUGCAAGCCAAAUGUUAUAGAGUUUUCAACUUGCAAACAAAAGGCAUUUCCAUCAGAAGAAAUAUAGUAGUGGAUGAGCAUGCUUAUUGGUACUGAGGAGCAAGUUGAAAAAGAAAAUGCAGGUUAUUUGAACUUGAAUCCGCUGCCUGAAACACAACCAUUUGGCUCUAAAAAUCUGGAAGAAUCAGAUGGUGAAUCCUCACUUGAUUCGCCAAUUUUAAAGACAAGGCCCCUUUUCGAGAUAUAUAAAAGAUGUAAUGUUGCAAUCAUGGAACCCAAUAUCUAUCAAGAAGCAUCAAAACAUGAAGUUUGGAUUGAAUCCAUGAAGGAGGAGAUUGGUAUGAUAGAGAAGAAUGACACUUGGAAGCUGGUUGAUAAACCCAAAGACAGAAAUGUAAUAGGGAUGAAAUGGGUUUAUAGAACCAAACUUAAUCCAGAUGGUUCAGUUAAUAAACACAAAGCAACGCUUGUUGUGAAAGGUUAUGCGCAAGUUGCAGGUCUGGAUUAUGGAGACACAUUUGCACCUGUUGCAAGACAUGAUACGAUACAACUUCUAUUUGCUUUGGUAGCUCAAUCAAAUUGGAAGUUGUAUCAUGUGGAUGUGAAGUCGGCAUUCUUAAAUGGACCAUUGUAGGAAUAAAUUUAUGUCGACCAACCAAAAAGCUUUCAAGUUGCAGGAAUAGAAGAUAAAGUUUACAGACUACAUAAGGCGUUGUAUGGAUUAAAACAGGCUCCUCGAGCAUGGUACAGUAAGAUUGAUGAUCAUCUCAUUCAUUGCGGCUUCAAAAGAAGUAAAAAUGAAGCCACUUUAUAUGUGAAGAAGGCCAAAGAUGGAGAUAUGCUAGUGGUAUCACUCUAUGUUGAUGAUCUUCUGGUAACCGAAAACAAUGAAGCUAUGGUGAAUCAAUUCAAGCAAGAAAUGAAGACCAAGUUUUAGAUGUCAGACUUGGGUGAAAUGAAUUACUUUCUGGGAAUAGAGAUUCAUCAAGCUACUGAUGGAAUUUUCAUUUCUCAGAGAAAAUAUGCAUGGGAUGUUCUUAAAAAAUUCAAGAUGGAGAAGUGUAAGCAUGUGUCAACUCCACUAGUUCAGAAUGAAAAGAUCUCAAAGUCUGAAGGAGAUGAUAGGGUUGAUCCAACAGUCUACCGAAGUUUAAUUGGUAGUUUUCUAUAUUUGACAGCAACAAGACCUGAUCUCAUGUUCGCGGCAAGUUUUUGGUCAAGGUUUAUGCAUUCUCCAAGUCAAGUUCAUCUUUGUAUUGCUAAACGAACAUUGAGGUAUAUCAAGGGAACUAUUGAUUAUGGUAUUUGGUGUAAAAGGGAAGAGCAAGGGCAAUUGAUGGGUUAUUCAGAUAGUGAUUGGGCAGGAAGUGUUGAUGAUAUGAAGAACACUUCUGGGUAUGCCUUUACACUUGGUUCAGGCAUGUUCUCAUGGAAUUCAAGGAAGCAAGAUGUGGUAGCUCAAUCAUCUGCAGAGGCAGAAUACAUUGCUGCUGCUGGUGCAUCUAAUCAGGCUCUAUGGUUACGAAAAAUUCUAUGUGAUCUAGAGCAAAAUCAAAUUGAAGCUACUGUCAUUAAGGUUGACAACAAGUCAGCAAUUUCUAUGGCCAAAAAUCCAGUGCAACAUGGUCGUAGUAAGCAUAUAAAUGUGAAGUUUCACGCUAUCAGGCAAGCAGAGAAGGAUGGGGAAGUUAAUCUUGUUCAUUGCAGCUCCGAUCAGCAGAUUGCAGACAUUUUGACCAAGGCUCUUCCUAAGGGGAAAUUUGAAGUUCUAAGGGCUAUGCUGGGAGUAUCCAAGAAAAAUCUCAAGGAGGAGUGUUAGACUAUGAGAUUUUUCUAAGAUAGUCUUUUAUUUAAUAGUUUCUUUUAAUAUUAUAUGUAUAGUUUUUUUAAAUAAAUGGUAGUCCUUAUUUUGAGAUAGUGUGUCUUGUAAGAUACUAUGAGGUGUGUCAUGUAAGAGUCAUGUAGCUUAUAAGUGGAGUCUUUUGUAAAAUGUGAUGAUGAUGAAUGAAUGAAAAGCUACUGCUGAAACCUUCCUUUUUUCUUCUCUUAAGCUCCAAAUUAUAACAUUUUCAUGGCCCGUUGUCAGUCAAUCAACUCUUUGUUGGAACACAAGUGUGCACAUCUCUCCUUCACUGUGAUGGCUCCAUCAGUAGAAUCACCGCACUGCAGUCUGUUAUUGGUCUAAGGAUUGACAGUAAUCCCUGGUAGCUUAGCUAGUAUGGCCAGUAGCUCAUUCAUUUCCCGGUCUUGAAUGUUUCUUCUGAGUUGCAGACCCCUUAUGUUGCCAAUUUUGUGCUACAUAAGAGUCUUGAUUGUAUUCGAAACAGCAUUUGGCAGAAAUGCAAGAUAAAACUACGUACAAUACACCCUUGUGGUGGGUCCCUUCCCCGGACCCUGCACAUAGUGGAAACUUUGUGCACUGGGCUACCUUUUAUAAGAGUCUUGAUUGUUCGCUAGCCAAUAAUAAUUGGGAAUUCAUCUCUUAAGAGUCCCCGGUCCCAACCAUGAAUCCUUCCAGAAUAGAAGAUGGGAGCUAUUUCCCAGCUUGAACAAUUAGAGUUUAUCUGGAAUUUGAUCUGAAAGAGACUUGUUUUUGUUCCUCCAAACAUUAUACAUGCAAUAUUUCUUUGAUAACAAUUUCAAUUUUUCUAACAUAACAUGUUACAUGGUCACUUGCCAGAUAACCGCAUUCUUCUUGUUGAUCAGACUGGCAUGAUAUGGAGGGUGUUUGUCCGUGAUGUUGCAAUUGAGCGUAGGGAAUAAGCCGAACCGUUCCAAUGCUUACAUACAAGGAGAUUACUAGAUGAUGAUGACAAGCAUGUGGAACCUGAAAAUAACUGGAUGAAAGAGAUGGAAGCCUGUAUCUAUUACUUUUUAAAUGAUGGAUUUGCACUUUUGUCAUUCUAAAGGUUCAUCUUAUUUAUGUGGUGUAAAUCGUAAAAUGUUACAUUAGUAUCAGAGGUGAUACCCAAAUGUACAGCAAAUGUUAAAUCACAAAAUGUGCUAAAAGUAACUCAGACAACAAAAAGUAAGCAACUUUACCACUUAAGUAACAUGUUAUUGCCUUAACAUAAGCAAAUAUUUAUUCUAGAUUUGCACCUUCCCUUCAAUGUGACUCAACUUGCAUUGGAAGCUCAGAAAAAUGUUGAACACCCAUCAAAUGCUUUGCAAUUUCUGUUUCUACAGAUCUGUUGCCAGAAACAGUGAGGAAACUCCAAGUGUCUCGAUCAGAAAAAAGAUCCUUGUCUCAAAAGGAUAUCAAAAUGAAAGUAAUAUACUGCUUUGCUUCUCAUCAUGAUUCCUUCUUCAGAUUAUGGACACUUCUGUAUAGCUCCUCUUCCCGAGCACGCUUUGCAGCAAGAGCCUCCUCGUCAAGCACUUGGAUAGGCGACCACUCCGGAAGUUUUAGCCAAUCAUCUUUCUUAUUGACCACGGAGUCGUAGUAGCUUCUCAAGGCUGGUUUUAAUCUUAUAGUAGCAUAAUCAACUGUUGUUCCAACAACUGCAAACAUGACAGAAUAACGCAUAGCACCAAGUUGACCACCUGAUAAUCAUCCAACAAAACAGGUCAACUGUUAUCUGGUUCAUCAAUAUCAAGCAUGAUCAAUAGUACGUCUGAGGAAAACAUAUCGAAAUCAUAUAUUUGAAGUGUACAGAUGAAAUGCUGUCUUCAGAAACACCAGCUCAAACUGAACUGGAUUCAACUAAUAACAUCAGUAAUAGGAAAAAGGGAUACAAAAAAUAUGUAGACGAAUAUCACAUAGAAAGUAGAGGAAAAAGAGUUCAUGCAUUGUGACUCUGGGCUUCAGAUCUAUGUUGCUCGAACUCUUCAAAAAUGCCAUGGAGUGCAUGUCAGAUCCUUCAAAAGUAGUGCAUGUUUGGAGGAUCCGACACGGGUGCGGUAACAUUUUUGAAGAGUUCGAGCAACUUAGCUUCAGAUCCAAUGAAUGUUUUCACCAAAAGAUAAGCAAGGGUAAUGAUGGCCAACGUGAAGUAUUUUCAAGAUUACUGAUCUCUUUGCACAAUUAUUUAGAGGAUGAAAAUCUAAAGUUUGAGCAAGCUACUAACAAUGUUAUGAGAAUGGAGAUUAUUUUUACAAGCUUCUGCAACGUGAGAAUAUAAACCUAGCAUUGAACUGAUUAAAGGUAUGAGAUAUAUACAAGCCUUUUACUGUAUCAAAGCCAUACUAAACUUUACAAGUAGACAUGCUGAGAACAACUAUUUUGAAUUGAUAUCACAAAAAUAUCGGUGCCAAUCCUAACUAAUUUGGGAUCGGGGGGAGUUGUUUAUGUUGUAUGACCAGAAUGUUAAAUGCAUAGAGUAACUGUUAUUCACCAAACAAUGGAAAAUUGAAAUACUUCCCUUAAUCAUUAGAUCACAAACUAAAGCAAGUGGAUAAAAAUAAGCAUUAUUAGCUACUUUUUUAAGCUGGAUCUAACAAAACAUCUUCGACAUAAUUUAACUGAUGCUUGGAUUCAUAGGUUGAGCAAGAGACCCAUUGGAUCUGCCACCCAAGGGUGUAUCCUAGAGGUCAAUGAGGUCGGAGGAGAACCAUCAAGCCUUAAUGUUUUCGAUCCGAGGAAGGAAGCUAAAGAAUUCAAUUCAAAUCCCAGUAGAUGAACUUUUCCCAUCAACCUAAACCGUAGUUGGCAGAGUUAUCCGAUACCUGUGCUGGUGGGAGGCAAUAGGUACCCAAUGGAAUAAUCGUGUAAGCUGGCCUGGACACCACUGUCAAGAAAAAACAUUGGAUCCAACAUCCUACAACUCUUCAUGGAAUCUUUUUGUAAAGAAUGCAAAAAAUAUUAUCUCCUAAGAACCUCUUGCCCCUGGUGUCAUCUCCAAUGGACACGUAAGAGACUUUUUCCCCAUUAAAGAUGAAAAAAGAAGGCAGUAUUUAUCAAAUCUAGCUGCCCUGAUUUGUAAGCAUGACAAUGAAAAAUCAGAAAAGAGGCUAUCUAGGCGAGACUAUUUGUACCAUGAUUAUUUAUAAACAUAACCGUUUCUUCUUUUUUCUUUUUUACCAACUAAACACAUGAUGCCAUUAAAAAGAAAAACCGCAUGUCCAGUUAAUGUCUAAAUUACCCUGUCCCACUGGGGCCUAUGAUGUGUUGGCGCGCACACACUAACACAUUGAGGAGGAGAGAGAGUUGCAAAUAUUAACCUUGCAGACGUCCAAGUAUAGCACCACUACCAAAACCUCCAAUUGCUGAGUUCAGCAGAUCAUCAGGCUUUCCUGUUCUACUCACUCUUACAAACUCACGAGCACCUGCCAUGUCAAUACAGAAGAUCAUAUAUUAACUUCAAUUCUUCUGUGCCUACGGACACAAGCAGCAUCAAACUUGUGAUAUGGCUGUCGUCACUCUUUUGACGAAAACUGACACAUGGACUUCUAUGUAAUAGAUAUAUAUUAAGUGGAAUCAAUGUCCCAAGUCCAGCGCCAGGUUUUUCAACAUUUUGAACAUGUCACUCAAGAUGAAGAAGUCUGUAAGAAGAAGAGUUUAUCCAUGACACGCACAGCUAGACUAGAUGCCUGCUAAAUUUGUGAUAAAGCCAUUACUAACAUCACCAAAAAAGUGAAGCGGUCAAGAAUUAACUAUAUGAGAAAUGCAAAUGAGAUGAAACAAAAGAUUGUCAAAAUAAGACAUGAAAUCUGAAAGAUGCAAAUAUACGAAUCAGAAAUCUGAAGCUUAUUGGCCUUCAAAGUAUAAACAGCAUAAAGGAGAAAUUAAUAAUGAAAUCAAUCAAGUACCAUCACUCUCAUGUUAGUUGGAAUUGGCUUAAAUACUUUGUAUCCAUUCUGCUUCAUUCAAGUUUAUUCAUUCUAAUCUCUAAGAUCACUAAAUAGUUUACCUUUUAAUACUCAUUAGGGGUUCUCUGUUCUGUAAAUUCAGUAAAUCUCCAGUCAUUCAAAUCUAACCACGAUAAAAAGGACUCCAACAAGAGCUAAUAUAAGUGCAAUAUAUCAACAUAAGUCUUUAUACCGACUAGUUCUUAUAACUGUGAUACUAAAUUGUGAAAUAACAACAAGCUGGACUUAUCAACCAAAAAAAAAAAAAGGAAAGAUACAACAACAACAAUGUACCCAAUAUUAUCCCACAAGUGUGGUCUCCCUCGAGAGGAUAGAGUGUAUGCAGACCUUCGCUAACUAGUCUGAACUUCGAAAUGGAGACAUAGAGCAUGUUUGGAUGUGCUUAUAGCUUAUGGCUUAUAAGCCAAAUCAUGAGUUAGCCUAUUUUUGUUAUUUUGGCUUAAGAACAAGCACUUAGAAGCAGUCUUUAAUCUUAUCCAAACACCCGAUAAAAGUCGAUCCAAACAGACUCAUAGUUGAUUGAUUGACUGAUUGAUAUAUUUCUAUCUACACAUUUGAUAAGAAGGGUAAAAAGGACAACCAUAAAUUAUUCACCCCUUCCCUAUCCUUGGGAGGUAGAGAGGUUCUUUCUGAUAGACCCUUAGCUCAAGGAAAUUGUGUCCCAGAAAAAAAAAAAGGACAAAGUAGAACCAACAAAAAAGGAUAAUAAUACAAAUAAAGAAGCCCAGUAGGUAGUGUCUUCAACGACUUGAGAACAAAAUCCUAAAAUUCUCCAACUUUACACCAUUUCAAAAAUCAAACUCGACUCAAUGUAAAUCUACAUAACAUGAUUAAGAUAUAUAAACAUUUUAAAUGAGUAAAGAGUGAGAUUACCGCAGUAACAUGCAGUAACAAUAGCAAAAUUAGUUGCAUAAGUUCCACAAAUAUUUGCUAAUCCAUGAACUUUCCGAUGCUUUGAUAUCAAACCAGCUCCUCCACCAGUCACCCCUAAAUUCCAAACAGACAAAGAGAGUAACAAUUUUCAAAAUAACUUACCAAAAUAUUUAGACGAACAAUCAUGUUAAAUUGUUCAAUCAACAAUACUUCAAUCUCAAAUAAACUGAAGUUAAGUAACCGUUUGGCAGAGAGAAAUUUUCAUUUUUUUCGAUUUUUUUUUUUUUACUUCACUUGAAUAUCAGCAACAACAACAACAUACCCAGUUAAUUCCCACAAAAUGGAGUUUGCAGAGGGUAAAGUGUACGCAAUCCAUCCCACUACUAAGAGGUUGUUUCCAAUAGACCCCCGGCUCAUGAGAAAUAACAGUAUAACAAACAGAAAACAUAAAACCAAACAACAAAUAUUUAUCCCAAGUUGUAAUUGAAAAUCAGCAAUGGGCAUAAAAAUUCCAAGUUGUAAUUGAAAGUAAAAAGAACACCCAAAAACCCAUUCACUUUUUUCACUUGUAUAAAUGUUUCUCUUUCAAAUUUAUCCCCAUUUAACUUAUAUUUCAUAUUUUUAUAACAAAAAAAAUAAAAAAAUACAUACAUUCAAAUUCAAAUUCAAAUUCACAAAUAUUUACUGCAAAAUAUAUGGACAAACACAAGUAGAACUCCAAUUCAUUCAUUUCCCCUCUAUUCGGAUAAUUUAAUCAUGUACAAAUUUGAUAAUCUUAGUAGCUCAGUUGAUUGGUUAACUGCAUGAAUUUUUUUAUCGAAAAAAAAAUUCAAACAACACAAAUAUUUAUACGAACACUCAUGUUAGCUUGUUUAAUGAAAUACACCUUAGUUUCACAUAAGUUUUCUAAGAUCAAAUAUUUAAAUCAUGUACAUUCAUUCAUUUCCCCUCUAUUCCAAUAAUUUAAUAACGUACAAGAUGGGGAAUAUUAGUAGCUCCGUUGGAAAUUCCACCUUAUUAGCGAGUUACCAAUUCUCCAACGUUUUUUCAAAAAACAAUAAUAAUAAAAAUGUAGAAGCUAAAUAAAAAACAACACAAAUAUUUAGACGAACACUCAUGUUAAAUUGUUCAAUGAAAUAUACCUCAAUUUCACAUAAUUUUUGUAAGAUCGAAUAUUUAAAUCAUGUAUAUCCAUUCAUUCCACCUCUAUUCCAAUAAUAUUAGUACCUCAAUAGAUUGGUUAACUGUCUGAAUUUUCACCUUAUUAGAGAGUUACCAAUUCUCCACCUUUUUUUUCAAAAAAAAAUAAUAAUAAAAAUGUAGAAGCUAAAUAAAAAACAACACAAAUAUUGUUAAAUACUAAUAAUAAUAAAACAACACAAAUAUUUAGACGAACACUCAUGUUAAUUUGUUCAAUGAAAUAUACCUCAAUUUCAGAUAAUUUUUGUAAGAUUGAAUACUUAAAUCAUGUAUAUCCAUUCAUUCCACCUCUAUUCCAAUAAUAUUAGUACCUCAAUUUAUUGGUUAACUGUCUGAAUUUUCACCUUAUUAGAGAGUUACCAACUCUCCACCUUUUUUUCAAAAAAUAAUAAUAAUAAAAAUGUAGAAGCUAAAUAAAAAACAACACAAAUAUUGUUAAAUACUAAUAAUAAUAAAACAACACAAAUAUUUAGACGAACACUCAUGUUAAAUUGUUCAAUGAAAUAUACCUCAAUUUCAGAAAAUUUUUGUAAGAUCGAAUAUUUAAAUCAUGUAUAUCCAUUAAUUCCACCUUUAUUCCAAUAAUAUUAAUACCUCAAUUGAUUGGUUAACUGUCUGAAUUUUCACCUUAUUAGAGAGUUACCAAUUCUCCACCUUUUUUUUCAAAAAAUAAUAAUAAUAAAAAUGUAGAAGCUAAAUAAAAAACAACACAAGUAUUGUUAAAUACUAAGAAUAAUAAAACAACACAAAUAUUUAGACUGACAUUCAUGUUAAAUUGUUCAAUGAAAUACACCUCAAUUUCAGAAAAUUUUUGUAAGAUCGAAUCUUUAAAUCAUGUAUAUCCAUUCAUUCCACCUCUAUUCCAAUAAUAUUAGUACCUCAAUAGAUUGGUUAACUGUUUGAAUUUUCACCUUAUUAGAGAGUUACCAAUUCUCCACCUUUUUUUUCAAAAAAUAAUAAUAAUAAAAAUGUAGAAGCUAAAUAAAAAACAACACAAAUAUUGUUAAAUAAUAAUAAUAAUAAUAAUAAUAAUUAAAAAAAAAAAAACACAAAUAUUUAGACGAACACUCAUGUUAAAUUGUUCAAUGAAAUACACCUCAAUUUCAGAUAAUUUUUGUAAGAUCGAAUAUUUAAAUCAUGCAUAUUCAUUCAUUUCACCUCUAUUCUAAUAAUAUUAGUAACUCAGUUGGUUGGUUAAGUACCAAUUCUCCCCCUUUUAAAAAAACAAAUAAAAGUAAAAAUGUAGAAGCUAAAAUGGAAUUAAUAAUUAGGGUUUUAGAGGAAGCAAAAAAAAAAAGGUACCAGCUAAUAGAGUGGGAAAAAGAAUUCGUUCCUUCCAAUUUAAUGAUGAAGAUGAUGAUGAAACUUGUUCUUGUGAACUAGUUUUAUUCAUGGAAGAAGCCAUUCGAUUCUCUUUUUCAAAAAUCUCUUGAGAUUUUAAACUUUCAUUUGAUGGUUGAUUGGAGAGAAUUGAGUGACCCGAGUCCAAAAUGAAGAAGAAAGUGUGGGCCGAGGUUUGGGCUGAAAGAGCCGGCCCAAAUAAAGUCCAUUUUUGAUGAACAUGAUUAUGCAAAAAUAACACAAGGGAAAUUUUCAUAAAUUCAUCUAUUUAGUACCUAAUUACUCCUUAUCUCUAUUUUUUUUUCAUAAUUACAUAAAAAAAUCUUCAAUAUUAAAUUGAUCGGAUAUAUUACUUGGGAGCGCGAUACAUUACUUAGUUGGUCCUGUGAUGUAUAUUUCUGGUCUCGUGAUGUAUCGCGGCCCUAAGUAAUGUAUUGCGAUAUAAAUUAAAAUUUGAAAUUUUUGUAAUUAUUUUGAGGAGUUGUGAUUUUAGGUAAUAAUGAUAAUUUAAGGUGUGGUAUUAUGUAAUUUUUUGAAUACAUGAACAAAUAUCUUAACUUAUCAUAUCUACAUAAAUUUUCACCCUUAUACAGUAACCACAAAAAUCUCUUAUGUAUAUUCGUUGGAUGUAUAAGGAGUUAAUUAUGUAUCUCGACAGAUUCAAAAUCAGAAAAAAAAAAUUGAAAACUAAUUAUGUAUAUUUAUAAAGAAAAAAAUGAAUUUUCACUGGAUGUAUUAUGUAUCUCGACAUAUUCAAAAUGAAAAAAUAUAUCAAAACCUAAUUACGUAUCUUUAAAAAGGAAAAAAUGAAAUGAUGAAGAAAGUGAGGACUGAGCUUUGGGCUGAAAGACCCGGCCCAAAUAUAUUCAAAAUGAAAAAAUAUAUCAAAACCUAAUUACGCAUCUUUAGAAAGGAAAAAAUGAAAUGACGAAGAAAGUGAGGACUGAGCUUUGGGCCGAAAGACCCGGCCCAAAUAAAGCCCAUUUUUGCUAAACAUUAUUCAUUAUUGUUGACCUUGCACUAACGAUUGUGCAUAAUGUGAGCUGCUCUAACUGAGUUGGAUCAUUCAAUUAGUGGUGACAACAAAGUUUCAAAACAUUAACAAAGAAAAAUUUUAGGGCAAACAACAUAAAUUCAGGCGGUUGGAAGUUUAAUUACAGAAAAUUUCGAUAUUUUAUAUAAUUAAUAAAAAAUUAAUUUUUUUUAUUUAUCGAGAUACAUAAUUAGUUCCUAGUAUAUUCAACAAAGAUAUAUUUUUUUCUUUGUAAAGAUACAUAAUUUGCUUUCGAUAGAUUUUUUUUUAUUUUGGGCCUGUUGAGAUACAUAAUAAAUCCAACGAAUAUAUAUUUUUCUCUUUAUAAGGAUACAUAAUUAGCUUCCUAUACAUUUUUUUCGAAUUGGCUCUGUCGAGAUACAUAACGGAGAUACAUAAUUAGUUGAGAUUUUUGUAAUUACUUUGUAAUAGUAGAAAUUUAUGUAAAUACGAUAAAUUAAGGUGUAUUUUUAUGUUGUUUUUCCUCAAAACCAAGAAAAAAAUUAUUUAUAUUAUAAGAUUUUAAUUGAAUUGAUGUGACAAUUUUAAGAUUAAUGUUAAUGACAUUAAAUUUUAAAAUUCUUCAAAUUUUAUUAUUUCCACAAUCUCCCUAUCUUCCUUUUCUCCCUCUCCUUCCCUCCACAUUACCUUUCUCCUCCAAUCGUGAUGUUCGAGUCAGCUUGCGCACACCUCGAUUAAUUUCACAAGAUACCUGUCACCUCCUAACAGCAAUAAGAUAAUUCUAUCCACUAAGGUUAGAACAGAUAAGAAAAAAUCAUCUAGCAUUUGUGUUUGUUGGAAACUGAACCUGAAACCUCAAUGAUGGUCAGCCCAACUUCAUUUUAAUUAAUUGAAGAUUAAAUAUGUUGUGUCAUAUAUUGCAACGAUCAAAUCAAAUAUCAAUAAUUUAGAGAUCAAAAGUGUUACUAUCCCAACUUUUAUUUCUUUCUUUUAUUUUAGGUGGGUCGAUAAAAAUAGUACUCCCUCUAUUCCAAUCAUGCAUCUCGUUUUAUUUUUCACUUUGUCUCAACAUAAAAUAACAGUUUUCUAUAAUUAAAAGCAACUUAACUAUAAAUUUUUCUUUUUAUUCUUAAUGAAAUAAUUUAGUCACACAAAUUUAUUUAUAUUUUUCUUUUUUAAAUUUUAUGUCUAAUUAAGAUGUAUCACAUAAAUUGAGAUUUAGAAAGUAAUUAAGGCAAAAAAGAGUAAUCUAUCUGGAAGAUUAAAAGGGCAAAUUUAGAGUUUGAUUGGGCUGUCCAAUAACGAAGAAAUAAGUAAUUUUUCUAGGACAAACGAUAUAAAUUCCGACAGUUUGAAGUUUAAUUACAGAAAAUAUUGAUAUUUUGCAUAAUCACUGAAAAUUUUAAUUUUAGGUAUGUCGAGAUACAUAAUUAGCUCCGAUACAUCCAAUGAAAAUACAUUUUUUUUUUCUUUGUAAGGAUACAUAAUUAGCUCCCUAUAUAUUUUUUUCGAUUUUGGGUCUGCCGAGAUACAUAAUUAGCUCCCGACAUAUUUAAUGGAAAUACAAAAUUAGGUGGAAUUUUAGUAAUUAAUUUAUAAGGCUGAAAAUUUGUGUAAAUAUAAUAAUUAAGGUGUAUGUUUAUGUUAUUUUUUCAAUAUCUAUAUCUAAUGAUAUUGAUGUGUACAUCUUAACUAGUUGUAGCACUAAGCUAGAUAGUAAUUAUGCACUUUAUAUUCUUUACCAUCAUUUUUAGAUUUAGAUAAUUAGGAAAGUAAAUAGUAAUUAUUAUACACAUGUUAAAUGUAAUUGACUAACACCAACUAGCUAGAUAAAAGUUUAAUCAUAUUGGGGACAAAGACUGUGAAAAUAUUGAAGGAAAGUGCCUUUUUUCUACAUAGGUCCUUUUAAUGCUUCUAUCUUGGCACAACGAUGGACUAAGAAUUUAAACGUUAUGAAUUUUAAAUUUCGGGAUAGCAAUAUCAAAAUGUUAGCGGCUGAAUUCUAAAUUUGACCAAAUAAAAAUAAAUAUAUAAUUUAAAUUAAAAUUAUUGAGUUCGACUGAAUUCAAUAUUAAAUUUAACACGGACAAAACAUGAGAUAAUCAAUAAAUAAUAUGAAUAUUACUCAUGAUUCCAUGAAUAAUAAGAUGAGAACAUAAACUAAAAAAUCAAAAUAAAUUUAGACCCCAAAAAUCAAGAACUAUUGAAAAAUAACAAGCUGACAAAUCUAUUAUAGUAAUAUAUAAGUCGGAAUGAAGUUGCUAAAGCAUGCAGCUGACGGUCGACAUGUCUAUUUCAGCUGCUUCAACUAUGAUUUUACUAUAUCACUCCUAAUUAAUCAUUAUAAGUCAUUUAAGUAUUAUAAAAUGAAUAUAUAUUUAAUUAAAAUAAAGUAAAAUAGACACAAAAUAAUAAAUUAACCCUUCAUAUUUUAAAUGAACUUAACAUCGGACUCAUUUAAAUAUUUUUUACAAGUACUUUUUUAUAAUAAAUUUACUAUAUCAUUUCAUUAGUUAUAAGACAUUUAAGUAUUAAAAAUAAAUACUAUUUAAUAAUAAAAAUAAAAUAUAUCUCUUAAAGAAUAAAUAAUUUAUUUAUUUUAAAUAUUAAAAAAUAACUCAAAAAAUUAUUUAUUUUUAACUAAAAGAUAUAACAAGAAGUUGUCAUUAGAUACCCUUUUAGAGGGAAAGUCAAAGUGAAUAAUUAAAAAGUUAACAACAGACAUUGUGGACACCCUUUUGAUAAAGGAAAAUAAAAAGGUAUGGUAUGUAAGGCAGUGCAAUGAGUAGAAAUUGAGUGGUUUCCCAUGUGAAAUUGCCUCAAGUUAGCCUCAUCAAUCACACUUCAAUAGUGGAUGUGCUGCUACUCUCUUAGUUAGGUAUCUCAGGUUCGAAUUUUGGGUAUGAAAUUUUUUUGAUUGGAGCGCUAUCUUCAAAUUGUCUCUACUCGACGUGAAUUCAAAUUAAUCGAGCUUCAUAAGACGUCAAACAUUGAUGAGAAACCAAAAAAAAUAACACUCUAUGUCAACCUCUCUUCACACUCUUCAACGAUAAAAUUUUAGCAUAAUAGUACAUAAAUAUGUGCUUUGAUUUGACUUCAAUUUGUAUGUAUGCUUUUUAAUUUUGAAUAUGCACAAAUAGACACUUAAACUUGUAUAAAGUUGAACCAGUAGAUACAUAUGUCCUAUGUGACAUCCUGCGUGACUAGUUCUUAUUCUAUAUGGCGUCCUACAUGUAUUAUGCCAAAUAAGACACAUGUGUUUCUUGUUCAAUUUUGUACAAGUUUAACUGACUUCUUGUGCACACCCAAAGUUGGAGGUAAUAGAUGUGAUUUGAGAACAAGUUAAAUGACAUGUUUAUGUAUUAUGUCUUACAUAAAUGCGCCCUUUGGCUUCAACUUAUAUUUAUAUCCUCCAAUUUUAGAUGUUCACAAAUAGAUAUUUAAGCUUGUAUAAAGUUGAAGCAGUAGACGCAUCAAUCCUAUGUGAUGUCCUACGUGACCAAUUUAUGUCCUGCGUGUAUUAUGCCAAAUAGGACAUAUGUGUCUACUUGUUUAACUUUAUACAAGUUUAAGUGUCUACUUGUGCACAUCCAAAGUUUGAGAUCAUAAAUGUGAUAUGAGGCCAAGUUAAAGGGCAUGUUUAUGUAUUAUGCUUAAAAUGUUUAUAUCACAAAAGAAUAACUACUUAAUCAAAAAAUAAUUUUAUUAUUAAAUUGUGAGAAUUCAUCAUAAUCCAUGGGUCUGAAGAGAAUAGAGUGAAAACUAAAGAUAGAGAAGUUAUUUUCGAUAGCCUCCUGCUACAACUAGUUUUAGCAAUACAAGUAAUAUUAAGAUUCCAAUGAGUGUGGACAAGUAAAUUUUCAAGAGAAAAAAGGCAAAUUAUUUGGUGGCUAAGGAAAAGAAAAUUUUCCAAAUGAAAUGAUGUUUCUCCUUCCAUUGGUAGUUUAGGCAAAUUAUUAUUAGGUGGUUAAAGAAGAAAAAAAAGUUCCAAAAGAAACCCCCUCCGUAUUAUUACUUCCCUUUUUGGAUUCUCACACAAUACAUUUUUUACUUGAAUUACUUUCACAAUAACACAAACGCUUCUCUACCUAAACAAAAUAGUAUACCAAAAUACUCUUUCUUCUUCAUUUCUUCUCUAUCUUCCAAUUUUCAAUGAAUUUAAGUUAUAUAUACUAAAUUUCCCUUCUUCUCCACUAUCUUCACAUUCUUACUGCAAGAUAUGUGACAAAUCAUUAGUUGACUAGUACCAAAUCAAGAGAUUAUACUUUGAAUCGUUACAAAAAAAAUUUUAAUCAAGUCAUUUUACAGCCUCGUCAAGUUUAAGAACAAAUGGAUAGCGAAUCAAUGAAAUCGUGCAGUUGAUUCUAUAGAUGCUCUCAAGAACAUCACCAACAAAAUACUAUCAUAUCGACUGGGAGAACAACUGUUGGAGAUUUUUGAAAAAAUGUCGGAACUAAGACCUCAGUAUUUUCAACUUGUCAAGUCAAAAUUCUUCUACUUGUGUUCUUUCAUUCUCUCUCACCCUCUCUACUUUUGCUACUUCAUUUUCUUCUCCCCUUACCUUCUUAAACUCCUUUCAUUCCUUUCUCCUCUCUUCAUCACAACUACACUUUUUCUCCUUGCCCUUCUUACCAUCUCUCCAAGUCUCAUUCUCCAUGAUAAAUCGAAAGAGCUAACACGAAAGGAUGAUGAACUCAAUGAGCUAGAAGAAUUUGAAGCCUACAAGAUAGUGUUUGGCGCGUCCAAAAAUGAUGAUCACGACAAUGCUGUUGACUUCUUGGACUAUACAUCAGCUGAGGAAAGUGAAUCCCCUAUUCUUGAGGGAGAAAAUUCGGCUGAAAUGGAGAGUACUAAGCAUGUUAUAGAGGAGAAGACAUUGGAAAAUUUCUUCAAAGAGUUGGAUGAAUUUGAAAACACCAACUUGACUCAUAAUGUGGAAGUGAAGAAAGUUGAUAAAAUCAUUGAAAAACAAAAGGAAGAUGCACUUGUGAGAAAUGGACUUAGCAAGAAUCUUGAAAAUGUGAGCAAGAAUAUUGAACAUGUAGGAAGUAUUGGUUAUGGAUCAAUGAGGAAAGAAAAAGAGUGGAAAAGGACAUUGGCAUGCAAACUUUUUGAGGAAAGGAACAAUGUUAGUCAUAGCAACAACGAAGGAAUGGACAUGUUGUGGGAAAAAUAUGAAAUGGACACCAUAAAAAACAAGUCAAAAAGGGAUUUAAAGAAGAUGAAAAAGAAGGGAUGUGAAAAAGAACAUGAUGAAGAUGAAGAAGAGAUGGAUGAUCAACAACUUUGUUGUUUACAAGCCUUCAAAUCUUGUCAAGAUUUCAAAGGCAUUUAAAGGUUUUGGAUGGCUACAUCAUGUAGGCAAGAGUAACAAGAAGGUACAUUGUGGUGAUGGGUUCUAGUUAGAUUAUGUAUUUUGAAGAUUCAUCGUAAAUUGGCUAGCUUUGCGCGUAUGUGGACUUGGAAAGAUGUCAUGAGCAAACUCACAUAGGCGGAGUUUAUGGUGAACAAUGUUUCUAGUAUUAAAUAUGCUUUGAAGAACUUUACACUACUUGUCAAGUAGAUACUUUGUACUAGAGUUAGUGAUAUGGACUACGUACACUUUACCAUCCAAACCCCCUCACCCCCACCCCACCCUCCAGACCCUACACUGGGUAUGUUGUUAUCGUUGUCGAGUAGAUACUUCUUGUGUUAGUCAUAUCAUAUUCUAGCAUAGUACUGCAAUUGGAUCAACUGUUGCAUUCUCCAUGAUAGUGUGCUUUUGUAAGCCCAGAUUUUAUUUACGGUCUUCCUUUUUCUUAACCAUCCGAUUUUGAUUAAUCCAAAUUUAUGCUGUAAAAAGCCUAUCGCGAUAUUCUAUUUAUGUCUUAACAAUGCCUGCAAAGAAAUUUAAAGUGCGUGAAUGUUAAGAACUUUAAAAGUCGAAACAAUCAAAGUUCAAAUCCUAAAUCCGUCUUAUAUCAGAAAAACACAGUUGCUUUACACAUAGGCAGCUAAACAUCUACCCAAUAUUAAUUGGAAUUUUUGUAACUUAAAUCCUCCAUGUUUUACAUAAUAGAUCCAAGCAAGCCACCUCCAUCUCCUGUGAAAUUGUUGUUUGUCAAACAAACCUUACCCUCAUAAUGAGUUUAAGUAACACAAACAUAGAUUAGCCAGACCAGUGAAUUAAACUGAUACUAAUAUAGAUUAGUCAGACCAGUGAGCUAACCAACGGUUCAAGAAAACGCGCAGAUUAGUCAGACCAGAGAUCUAACAAAUGGUUUAAGAAAACGCACAGAUUAGUCAGACCAGUGAGCUAACCAAUGGUUCAAGAAAAUGCACUGUUCUCUGAUUUCAAGACUGAAGAUGGACAAAACAUAAAAACAGCAUCCUCUGUUGCCAGCUGAUAAUAGAAUCCAUGAGAGAUUUAUAACUAACAUAAACUCAUUUCCACAAUUGCCAAAAUGAUUCAACUCAUACAAUUGAGUAAAAGAGACUGAAUAAUCACUUUCUGGGGACUUAAAUGCUCUAUUAGAUACUCUAUAUACUGCAUAGAAGUCA